Molecule: long non-coding RNA, 97780 nt
Filed under: Citrus sinensis (sweet orange)
Lineage: Eukaryota; Viridiplantae; Streptophyta; Magnoliopsida; Sapindales; Rutaceae
Description: long non-coding RNA (CSIN_LNC000762)
Source: RNAcentral
UUGCUUUUGCUUUUUGUUCUGUGGUAAAACUGAGAGAAAUUGCACAGUACCUGGCCGUUGUGAAAUAUUAAAGGCAUUUUGAUUAGUCUAAAUUAUUGGUCAGUGUAGCCAAAUAUAUAGAUAUAUUGGAACACUCAAAAUCCUGAUUAUGCAACCACAAGGAGCAAAUUAAUUCAGAUUGUAGCUGGUUGAGUGUACAGUUGAAAUCAUGUGGCUGAAUCUAUUAAUUUCUUGUUUGAUGGGCUAUUUUUUUAAAAAAUGAAGAUUAAAGAGUUGUUAUGGGGGGUGGUUGAAUCAUGUUGCUUCUGUGGAUCUAGCAAUCAUAUUGCCUUUUCGGAUGUAACACAUGAAUUUCAUGAUUUUUCUUUUUGAAUUGGCUUCUUUUACUUUUCGUAACUGAACUCUUUUAAGCUUAAUUUGUUCCUGUCAUUUUUCGUAAUUAAUCUGCUGUACGGCCAAGGCGGAUGUACGGUACAGCAGAAACUUGAAAUCAAAUGAACUUUAAACUGAGGAAAAUUAACAUGAAACUUGGGAUCAUUUACAUGCAACCUUGAAAAUCAUGCAGUUAAAUGGUCGAGCUCGAGUAGACAAAAAACAAAAAACUUUGUCUUACCAACCAGUGAAAAUUGGAGAGCCAUGUAGUCUUGUAUCAACGACCUAUAGUGUUGAGGCUUGUAGGGAAGCAAUUGCUAAGUUUAUUAUAAAAGAUGAGAUGUCAUUUAAAGUUGUAGAGGGUGAAGGGUUUAAGGAAAUGUUGGGAGUUUUUGAAAAUAGAUUUAAAGUACCAUCUCGCACUACUAUUGCUCGUGAUAUUUUGCAACUUUACAAAAAAACAAAGAAAGAUUUGACUGAUUUUUUUGUUAGUAAUCAUCAAAGAGUUUGCCUCACUACAGACACAUGGACUUCAGCUCAAAAUCUUUGUUAUAUGUGUCUUACAGCUCACUUUAUUGAUGAUAAUUGGACAUUGCANNNNNNNNNNNNNNNNNNNNNNNNNNNNNNNNNNNNNNNNNNNNNNNNNNNNNNNNNNNNNNNNNNNNNNNNNNNNNNNNNNNNNNNNNNNNNNNNUGUUUUUUAUUUGUCAAAAGUUGUGAACAAUUGGAAUGGUGUAAGAUAACUUUAUACUUUUUAGUGUAAUAUAAUUACAUCGUCCUAAAAAUGAAACCAUCGGUAAUUCAAAAUCAGAUAUUUUUAAAAAUUCUCUUAUUAUUAUUCAGAAACGCACAUCCAUUACUAAAAUUAUUCUCAUUGUUGUAGAGGGGUUAAAAGAGUAUCAUCAGUCGAUUUCUAAAAUUCGUAAUGUUAUAAGAUUUGUUAGAUCUUCACCUUCUAGGACACAAAAGUUUAAGGCAUAUGCAGAGCAAGAGAAAAUUUCUUCAAAUAAGUUGUUGUGUCUAGAUGUCGUAACUAGAUGGAAUUCCACUUUUUUCAUGUUAGAGGCUGCUGAAAAGUAUGAAAAAGUAUUUGAUCGGUUAGAGCUUCAUGAUGCACAAUACAUUCGUGAGUUUUGUUUGAGCGAGCAAAAAACGUGUCCUUCGUCAAUUGAUUGGGAAUAUGCUCGUUAUUUCAUUAAAUUCUUGAAGGUUUUUCAUGAUGCCACUUUGACAUUUUCGGGUUCUUUAUAUGUGACAUCCAAUACUUUUUUGUGCCAAUUAUGUUUGAUUCAUACACAAUUGCAAGCUUGGAGGGAUAGUAAUACUAUUAAGUGAUUUAAUAGAUAUUGUAUUUCACAUUUUCGCUAGUUUUUUAAGGGUAAUAUUUAUGCAAGUGAAUCAAGUGAUAAAUAUUUGAAAUGUUUUGGGCCCUACUAUAAUUUAUGAAUAUUUUAGACUAAAGUGAAAGAUUUUGAGAACUUUGAAAAAUAUGGGUAUUAUGUUGAAAAUGAUCUUUUUGUGAAAGAAUAAUAUUUUUGGGGCCAUAUCAUAAUUUUAGAAAGUUUUGGGAAGACAAUUAUUAUUUAGAAAUUCUGAAAUUUGACCUAUUUGUAAAGUUGUAUGACGUCUUGGGCCAUAGUAUAAUUAUUGAAAGAUUUGGACCUAAGUGUAAUUUUAGUGAACAGUGUUACUGUAGCAAAAAUGAAAAAUAAUGGUAAUAUCACUGUUCAUGAGCGGCUAGCCGGAUAAAUCAAGCGGCUAACUGCUUGGGCGCGAGAAUUUGUCUAUAACGGCUAGUUUUCAGGCUUUAACUAUAAAAACUCAACUCCAACUUCAUUUUAAGGAUUAAUAUAAGGAAAAAUAAGAUCAUAUAACAUUUAUUGAGCUUCCAUUUUGUAAAUCAUCAUUGAGAUAUAAUUUGUUAUCUACUCUUAAAGAGAGUUUCAUUGUUGUGAUUUUCAUUUCUCAUCAAAUUAUGAGUGUACAAGUGUGAGAAACACUUGGGGUGAAGAGAUUGAGGAGAUAAUCUCUUGUUGUAAAGGUCAUUAACACUUUAGAAGUCAAUUGUAAACAUUUGAAGCAUUGAGAGGCUUGGAUAGUGAAAUCCUCAAGCCGGGUGUGCUUGGAGGCGUGGACGUAAGCGGGAAUAGCCGAACCACGUAAAAAUCCUUGUGUUUGUUUUCUCUUUCCUUACUCUUUUAAUAUUGUUCUUAAUUGAAUUUGUUGUUUUUGAUUUGAUAAAGGCAAUAGAUUAAAUUGUUGUGCGAAUUGUAUUGUAUAAUUUUAAAAUCCCAAUUCACCCCCCUCUUGGGUUGCAUAACUUGCAUUUCACACUGAACAAACUAUUGUUGGAUCAUCCAAAUUAAAAGCUGUCGAAUAAAGCUUGGCAUAAUAGGAAACUAGAUUGUUAGAGAUCUCCACAUGAUUAGAGUUUACAACACCAUCAAUGUGUAAACUAUUAAUGGAAGAGUGGGCCACCUUCGUUCUACAAUAAGUAUGGAAAAACUUUGUGCCUUGAUCACCAUCAGCUAGCCAUAUAACUCUAACCUUCUCUAGGCUAUUAAUAGGAAAACAUAAACAAGCAAAGCACUCUGAUAUGAGCAUGAGCGAGGCAAAAUAAGGCUUUUAUUAUUUGGCCAAGCAUAAUAGAAAGCAAGGUUGCAUAGUGCCCUAUCUAAUCUUUCUUCAAUCUGACCCGUGUUUGAACUAUUACACCAAGUAAAGAGAUUCCUUCAAUUGAGAGAUGGGUUAGACAACAUGCAUCAAUCAUAUUAGAAAAAUCUAAGCAAGAAAUAGUGGGAGGAGAAUUACCACCAGCCUUUUCGUGAGUCCCCAUAAUCACAUUAAAGUCUCCAAUAACCAUCCAAGGUUGGUCAUAAGAAGCAGUAAAGGAAAUAAGAGCAUCCCAUAAAACCCGUCUGUCAAUGUAAUUUAUGGCAACAUACAUAACAGAUAGAGCACAGGGUGAAUUAUCAAGACAAACUUGUAUCGAUAUUAAUUAUUUUGAACAGUGGACUACUUAAAGGUAAAUGAGCAACACUAAAAACCCACAUAUAACUCACCUCUGUCAUUAGAGCAUACAAAUUUCAUUUGAAUAAAAUUCUAAAAGGUAGAAGGAAUAAAAAACAAAGAAACCAUAGGCUCAGAAAUGCAAAGAUAAUCAAGAUUAUAAGUAAAGCAUAAAUUAGCCAAUUCUGACUGAAUGCUAAGGUUGGCUACACCCCUCACAUUCCAAUAUAAGAUCUUCAUUUUGCCAUAUUCUGAUAACUCCCUUUUGCGAAGUACGGCUUAGACAGAAGAGAGCGAGCACACACUUUAUAUCUUUUAUGCUUAUGUAUUGUUUAGAAACCAUCCUCAUCAAUUGGUGAUGUAUUUUUAGUAAAAGACAUGGUCAUGGUCAUUUGGUCGGUAGUAAUAAGCUGCUUAAUAAAUGGCCCAAGCUGAUUUGUAAAAUGAAUCAUAGAUAAGGGGUUAGUCAUCUAGUGGUUUUACACUGAAACAUCAUUGGUCAUCCUGUGAAAAGUCAUCAUCAUCAGGGCGAUAGGUUUCUAAGGUAAGUAAAUCAAUUUCAAAUUGUCUAAGUGUAGUGUCCAUAAGUAAGGGUGCUUUAUGAACCACAAUUGCAAGAUUUGUAGAAGAUUGUAGUGAGGAAGCCUUGUUGCAACCAAGAGCUUUCUCAAUAACCUCAUCUGAAGAUUGGUUUUGCACGACCUCUGUAUUUGGAACUGGUCGAUAAACACGUUUGAAGGGUUCUUACUAGGCUCGUGGGUGGCAGCGGCUGUUUCACAGUUUCGGCAACAAUUAGAGGCAUUAUGACCAAGAAAACCACAAACAAGACACUAAGAGGGAAGGUUUUUGUAAUAUACGAUUAUCUCAAAUGAAUACUCUUCGCGUUCAACCAAUAUUCGUGAUGGCGGGUUUUCUGAGACGUCCAUAUCAACCAGAACUCGGGCAAAAUGUCCAAAAAUUCCUUCCUUGGUUUAUUUAUCAAGUUGCAACAGAGCCCCUAUACCAUAUGCAAUUUUCCAAUAGAAUCUUGAUUCCCAAUAUUCUUGACUCAAAUCAUAUAAACACACCCAAACUUGAGCAUGUGUGUGUAAUGUACGGUCGUAGAGAUCAAAGUCCUUUUUCCAUUGAUAAAGAUGAAAACACUCAUGAAACAAGUACCACCACUUUAAGCCAUUCGCAAGCCUACUUUACUGGAAAAAUGUACAUCAAAGUAGCCACGAGUCAAAGGGACCAAAGUUCAAAUAGCUUCAGGCUUCCACACAACUUGAAGCAAGUUACGAAGCUCAUGAGUUUUAAGAGGUGUAGAUCCUAAACGUAGUAGUAAUUGACCAAUUAAAUUAGUGCGACACUUCUACAAUCGAUGUUGGUAAAUGGAUUAUGUGAUUUUGAUACAAGUCAAGUCACACUACUUAAGAAGUUUUAGCAAUUAAGGCAUGGAAACAGGUGGAGUUGAACUUGUACCAACAACCUGAGCAAAGGAUUUGGAGGUAGAAGUAGGGGAAGGAGAAAGGGAAGAGAUAGAAAUGUUCGCCAUUGAUUUUAGUCUGUGGGACCUUUUAUCAAACACUUAGCGGGCAAGUUUGUAGCAAACACUCAUGAAAAUUAUAACUUAUACUAUAUAAUUAUAAUAAUUUUUUAUUGUUAUUAGGCUAUCCAAUGAUAGUUGUUACUGAAUGUAACACUUAUCUGUUCGAGUCUUAUAAGAUCUUUUAUUAGGAAUGUAGAAAAAUUUAACUAAAUCUCAACCUAAGUGGUUCAGAUGCACGACUCCUAAACAUUAAGGUCGGGCGCAUGCCUCACCUAAAAAGUUGAGACUAGCUUGAAAAUUUUAGAAAUACUUAACAUAUAUUUAACACACUCGUAAUUAAUAUUUAAAGUUUUAGUUUCGUUUAAGCCCAACUUUUAAAGCCUAAUCUAACAAAAAAUAAAUUUUUAUAAACCAUGAAUUUGUAAAUCAUAAUUAAAAAUAGGUAUAUAUGUAUGUACAAUGUAAAAUUUGGGUUUUUGGACAUGAUCCGAAAAAAUACAUGCUAGGGGGUGGGGCUCGAGCUUUACUAAGCCGGUUGAGCACAACAUACUACCAUCUCUCUUUUUCACAACUCAUUUUUUUUUUCAAAAAUAGAUAUAAUAGUAACAUACUCUCUAAAAAUGAGAGGAAAUAACUUUAGGUGGUUGCAUGGCUUCCUAAUAUGUAUAUCAAAUUAUUGAAAUUACCAUAGAUCAAAUAGAUAUAUUAAGAAUAUAUCUAUUUCAUUUAAUUAUGUAACCAGGAGGAUAACAUAGUGUAAAUAUACAUUGAGACUUUGAACUUUUACCUUAAAAUUUUAAGAAUAUGAUAGUAAAAAAAGCUCAAAUUCAAUUUUUAAUCCCCUAAUUCUUCCAAAAUUCGAAUUUACAUAUUUACAGAGCGAGAAAAUCUAAAUAUAAUUUUUAGUCUCUUAAUUCCCUAAAAAUUUAAGUUUACAUAAUCAGUUAAAUAAAAUUACAUGAGAACCACUUAUCUGCCUCGUGGAACUGUCAUAAAAUUUAUAUGAAAAUGAAAUGAAUAAAUUAAAAAAGACCUGGGUAAAUAAGUUGUAAUCAGGGUUUCUAAAAGUAAUUGAAAAAAGAAAAAAAGAAAAAAGAAAAAAAAUUGGUAUAUCGUCCUUGAACCUUGAUUAAAGCAGCGCUCACUAACAUUCGUCUUCCUCCUCUGAGCCAUGCGGGCGCUCACACGUGCGUCCUCACACGUGCUCAAUGCCAGAACCAGACCCAUGCCCACGCGCCGCUUCUCCUCACAAACGCAGCUCACCGAACAAGAAGCCACAGUACGACAAAUCACUAGCAUCCUUACGCAAAACGACUGGCAGCGACUUUUGACAUCCUCAAACGUACCCAAGAAGCUAAACCCAGAUGUGAUCCGAUCCGUUAUCCAUCUAAACCGGGCCCACAAUUUGACCCGCUUGCUCAGCUUCUUCCACUGGUCCGAACGCCAAAUGGGUACCUGCCAAAACGACUUAAAAGUCUUGUCUUUGCUUUUUGUUGUUUUAUGCAAUUGUAAAAUGUACGGGCCCGCUAGUGCUAUUGUUAAACGAAUGAUAAGUGAUGGAAAUAAUUCGGGUUUUGAGAUUUUGAGUGCCGUUGAUGGCUGCUUUAGAGAAUCUGAUGAGUUUGCGUGCAAAGGUUUGGUUUUUAAUAUGUUGAUUGAUGGGUAUAGUAAGAUUGGGUUGUUGGAUGAAGCUGUUGAUUUGUUUUCGUGUGACACGGGAUGUGAAUUUGUGCCCAGCUUGUUCAGUUGUAAUGCAUUGUUGAGGGAUUUGUUGAAGGGUAAGAAAAUGGAGUUGUUUUGGAAGGUUUGGGCGAAAAUGAAUAAAAUGAAUGCAGGGGGUUUUGAAUUUGAUGUUUAUAGUUAUACUACUGUGAUAGAUGCUUACUUUAAGGUGAGGAAUGCUGAGGAAGGAAAGAGAGUGUUUUCGGAAAUGGGGGAGAAAGGGUGUCGUCCAAAUGUUGCUACUUAUAAUGUGGUUAUUGGUGGCUUGUGUAGAGUGGGAUUUGUAGAUGAAGCAGUUGAGUUGAAGAAUUCGAUGGUUGAGAAGGGGUUGGUUCCUGAUAGUUAUACUUAUGUGAAUCUUAUUUAUGGGUUUUCUGCAGCAAAAAGGUUGGGAGAUGUGAGAUUGGUUUUAUCGGAGUUGAUUGGAAAGGGUCUGAAACUUGAUACUGUUGCAUACUAUGCACUGAUUGAUGGAUUUGUGAAGCAAGGUGAUGUGGAAGAAGCUUUCAGAGUAAAGGAUGAGUUGGUUGCUUCUGGUAAUCAGAUUGACUUGGUCAUUUAUAACACACUGCUUAAAGGGUUUUGUAAGAGUGGUAAAAUGGAAAAAGCAAGGGAAGUGUUAAAUGAGAUAAUUAGAAUGGGUAUUGAACCUAAUUCAAGAACUUAUACUUCGUUAAUACAGGGUUACUGCAGGAUGCGGAAAAUGGUUAGUGCUUUUGAGUUGCUUGAUGAGAUGAAGAAAAAGAACUUGGUCCCCUCUGUAUUUACUUACGGUGUGAUUAUUGAUGGACUCUGCCAUUGUGGAGAUCUACGGCAAAUCAAUGCUAUUUUGGGAGAAAUGAUUACGAGGGGAUUGAAACCAAAUGCCAUUAUCUACACAAAUCUUGUUUCGACUUACUUCAAGAAAAAUAAACUUCAAGAAGCAGGAAAGUUGGUUGAGAGGAUGAGAAGAGAAGGAAUAACACCAGAUGUGUCCUGCUUCAAUUCUCUAAUAAUUGGUCUUUGCAAAGCCAAGAGGAUGGAUGAAGCAAGGAUCUAUUUGGUCGAGAUGUUAAGGAGAGGAUUGAAGCCUAAUAUUCAUUCGUUCAGAGCUUUUAUCCUUGGAUACUGUAUGGCAGGGGAGAUGCAGACAGCAGGCAGGUUUUUCAAUGAGAUGCUAAAUUCUGGUCUAGUGCCUAAUGAUGUAAUUUACACAUCCAUUGUUGAUGGGUACUGCAAAGAGGGAAACAUAGCAGAAGCUAUCUCCAAAUUUAGAUGCAUGCUUGCCCGGGGUAUUCUUCCAGAAGUUCAAACUUACAGCGUGCUCAUCAAUGGCCUUUCGAAGAAAUUAGAACUAAGAGAAGCUCUUGGAAUCUUCUUAGAACUCCUAGAGAAGGGGUUGGUGCCUGAUGUUGACACUUACAAUUCCCUUAUCACCAGCUUUUGCAAAAUAUGUGAUGUAGAUAAGGCUUUUCAACUGUAUGAGGAGAUGUGUGAAAAAGGAGUUGAACCGAACACCCUUACUUACAAUGUAUUAAUAGAUGGCUUCUGCAAAGCUGGAGAUUUGACUGAGCCAUUUCAGUUAUUUGAUGAGAUGACAAAGAGGGGUGUUCCUCUCGAUGGUUCAGUCUACAAUGCCCUUCUCUCUGGAUGCUGCAAGGAAGAAAAGUUGGAACAAGCUCUGGAGCUGUUUCGAGAUAUGCUGGAGAAGGGCUUGGCUUCUACCCUUUCCUUCAACACUUUAAUUGAGUUUUUGUGCAUAAGUAACAAGCUUCAAGAAGCACACCAAUUGUUGGAUGCAAUGCUAGAAGAGCAGGUUAAUCCCAAUCAUGACACCUACACUACACUUAUCAAUCAGUAUUGCAAGGUGCAAAACAUGGAGAAAGCAAAACAACUCUUCUUAGAGAUGCAGCAAAGGAAUCUGAAGCCGGCAACAAUCACUUACAGAUCACUUUUAAAUGGUUACAAUAGAAUGGGGAAUAGAUCUGAGGUUUUUGUUGUGUUUGAAGAAAUGUUAGGAAAGGGAAUUGAGCCUGAUAAUUUCACCUAUUAUGUUAUGAUUGAUGCUCAUUGUAAAGAAGGUAACGUGAUGGAAGCUUUGAAGUUGAAGGAUUUGAUUUUUGAUAAGCGUAUGCCAAUUAGUGCAGAAGCAUAUAAAGCCAUCAUAAAAGCUUUAUGCAAAAGAGAGGAAUAUUCUGAAGCGUUGAGGUUGCUUAAUGAAAUGGGAGAGAGUGGCUUUAGGCUUGGUUUUGCCUCAUGUAGGACUGUAGCUAAUGAUUUUCUCAGAGAAGGCGUUAUGGACUAUGCUGCAAAGGUUCUGGAGUGUAUGGCAUCGUUUGGAUGGGUUUCAAACUCCAUUAGCUUGGCUGACAUUGUUAAAGGAGAGAAUAGUGGUGUAGAUCUUGAUGAGUCCAAGGAUCUUAUGAAGCAAACAGCUUAGAAAGUUGACAAAUAUUGGUGAAUCAUUAUUGCUCAGUUUCGUCCUUGAGUUGACUCUUUGGAGUCCUGAGCAGACUCUGCACAGGAAUCAGCGUGCUAGCUGCCUAGCUCCCUACUAAAAUGGCUACUGGCUAUUUUCUGUUGUUUUAAAAAGUCUUAAGAGGUUGAUGCUUCAGACUGAAUUGCUUGUUCAGUCACCUGUUGAGGUAAAUAUAAAUUAUCUACUUUUCGAUUAUGUAUUCCAUGCAUUGCUAUUAUUGCCCUGAUUAAUUUAUUUACUAGAAACUUAUUUCAUUGCAGGUGACCGGUUCCGAUUCAGUGGUUAUACACAGGUUAUUGCACUGAAAGAGGAUACUCUUCCUGUAAUUUUGAUUCUUGCCUGAGCUUAUCUGCACAUCUUAUGCCUUUAAUGAGGUGCUUCAAUCCCGCAAGUGCUAUGCAAAUUAUUAGCCUGUGAGUAAGUUGAAGAGGUGUCUAAUCGUUUGGGGGUUUUUUUUCCUGCUACUUGACAUAUUACUCUUUACAAUGCCCUGAAAGCUGAUGAUUCAUUUAUUCUGUUGAGUAUGUAUGUAAUUCAAUCAAAGUGUUUGUAUGAAUGAAAGAAAGAAACGCAUGUUUCUAUGAAAAAGAACACUGUUUUGAAGUAACCAAGCUGAUUGUAUUUAUAUUUCUUUUAAUUUUCUUUAACAAAGCAGUUACAUUGUACAAUGUAUACAGCUCCCAAUUUACCAACAGAGAUCAAUUUAUUUCCAUCCAUGUUGCGUAUACUAAUACAAAGAAUAGACCCUCCAGCUUACAGAGAUUCCUAGUGUUGUAUAAAAAUGAGAAUCAAGAUUUAUACGCUUACAAAGAAAAUCGAUGUGAUGGGUUAAAUUCAUAUCAUUUUCUCAAAUUUGUCAAGCUUCUUCACCCUCUGCAUUGAUCUUAAAAGUAGUGUAAAGAAAACUCCUGCAUUUUUAUAAAUUUAAGACUGUCAGUAAUAGAACCUUGAUGAAUAUGAACUUAGGUUUCAAUUGAGAAAUAUUAGCAUCUGAGGGAUCACCUGCACCAAUGAAUGAUCCAUUUGCAAUAAUUUGACUGCCUUGACCAGUGAAUGUGACCCCCAGAUUCAGCAGGGUACCCCCACAAACUGUAUACAUAGUUGCCAUUUGCAGUAUUGUUGCUUUUCGAGCUGCUCUUUCAGACUGGUACACAUAGUUAUAGCCAUUCAAAAUCAAUGCAGUCAAAUUAUAUACAAAGAGAGAUUUCAAAUGCUGAAUCACAGUCCAUUUUCUCCAUUUCUGUUUGUGAGUUCUGGAACUAUUAAGACAUGAUUACCUCAAGCACCCGUACUCGGAGUUUCAAAUCUCCUGCUUCAAGUUGUUUCACAAACUCUUCUAUUCGUUGAACCCUGGAUGGCAUGGACAUGGUCGAAGAUCUGGCCUGAAAAUAGAUGGAAAUGUUCUUGAUACUAACAGUGAUGGAAAUUCAGCCUUCUCAUUUAUAACAUAAUUAUCAGAAGAAUAACAGGUAUUUAUUUGUUUAUUUUUUAAAAAAAGAUUUUUGUUCAGUGUUAUCCGUUGGGAAAAAAAAAUAUGGCAACAGUAGAAAGAAUGCAAAAAGCAAUACAUCAUCAGCUUGUUUCCUGAUUUGCUCCACUAGCUGUGUUCCAGACUGCUGCUGCUGUUUUAAAUCCAAUAGCUCCUGCAGGCAGAGUAGAAACAAUGAAUACCAAGCUAUUCAAGUUUCAACCAUAGAAAUGAUUACCAAAACGUGCAUGAAAAUUCCAAGGGAAGUGAAUUUAACCUGUGCAUAAGGUGCAGCAACCUUCACAAAGGAAAAAUCUGGGUCAAGAAUGUUGCCGAUACCUGUAACAGGACAAUGAUACUCAGAAUAAAGCAGUAAAAUGGCAAUGGACUAGCUGCGGUUAUCAAAUUUUCUGGGUUUAAUGAAAAAGUUCAAAUAUUACAUCGCAUAAACUUGAUAUAUGGUCUAAUGUGAUUCAGAAGUGAAUUUUUUAAGGCAAUGUGAGAGUGAGAGGACCUUCAAGUGUGGAGAAUGCCCUUAUAACGAAAGUAAAGGUGGAUGGAAACCGAAAUGGUUGAUCUUGAGCUAUUGCAAACAAAUCCUACAAAAGCAUAACAAACAAACAAACAAACAAAUAACCUUAACUUACUGAUACCACAUAAGGGUAUUCAGAAACUACAUAAAUUAAAAAAUUAAUAGAACCUCUCCAAUUGCAGCCAAAGUCUGCUGCUGAUCUGGACUCUGGCUUAGCAAAUUGUCCAAGAAAAAUUGCACGGAUCUCCUUACCUAGGAGUAGAAUGAACAAUUAGUACUACUGUAAGAUGGAUACUACAGAAUAACCACAGAAUACACAUUUCCUUUUCAAUAACCAUGCAAGUACACAUUUCCAUUUCAAAUGUUGACACUUGGAUGGUGUGGCAUGAUGACCUACCGAUGACAUAUCUCCUGUGGGUUGAAGUGCUUCGAGAUCAAUCAACCUUUGGAUAACCUGCAUAAUAGCUGCUCAGUUUCGGCUAACAAGCAAGGAGAAAAAAAAUUUGAUUUACUUUCAUUAUAAACAAAUUACCCAUCCAAUUUCAGUAGAUGGGUACCAAACUCUUAUCAACCUAAAUUCACAAAAGAAAAAUCAAAGGGAGCAGUUGAUAGAUCGAAAGUACACCUUUUUGGCAUCUUUCUCAUAAACUGCAUAGAAAAGAUCAAGCAAUCUUUCACGGGUAAAGGAUUUAAUCUCCCCCAUCAUACCAAAAUCAUAAUAGAUGAGUGCUUCAUCUAAAUCGACAGCAAGAUUUCCAGGAUGAGGAUCAGCAUGAAAGAAACCAGUUUUGAGUAUCUGCACUUUUAGAAAGAUACUGUAAACGACUACAUUAUAAGCGGGGUAACUAACAUUACAAUUUCACCGUUGUACAACAAAUGGAGGUACUUAAUAGUCAUCAACUCAUCAUAUUGUCAAAACUUAAUAUCAAUUACCUGAUUCAAGUACGCUUCAAUUGCACGCGAUGCAAUUUGAGAACGAUUAUAACCCUGCAAAUCUAGUGCUUUCAACUCAUUGAUCUUAACUCCUGAUACAAAAGUAAAAAUCUCAAUCCAUUAAAUUUCAGUUUCACAAAAUUUAUGUGGAACUAUACAAUGCAAAUUCUUGCUAUCAUUUUGAAUUAAUACACACACAUGCGCGCGCACAGAGGUUUAGGCUAAAACCUGGUACAUACUCCAAUGUCAACACCUUUGUAGCAGUAUAAUCCCAAAACACCAGCUACAGAGGGGAACAAAAUUCCAGUUAGGAAUCCACAAGAGACUCUAAACUUAAAAGACUAGAUCUAUGCUCACUAGAAAUUGCAAAAUUAAUAAGUUUAUAGUCAUAAUUGAUGAGAAUUUUGAGAAAAUUUUUGCACAACUAUUUGAUUAUGUGCCACUUAAUAUUUGUAGUCUUGAAGCUAGAAACAUACAGGUACCCGGACCCACUUUAUAUUCCGAAAAUCUCGACGGAAUCUAUCAGCAUUUUUUCCUUCAUUUAUGUAAUCGAUUUCUUGAUACAAAAUCCUGAAAUCAAUAAGAUAAGCAUAGCACAAGUUAACUGUGUCACACUUCAUUGAGACAAUUCUAGAACCAUCAUGUUUCAUCAGAUCCAUUAUAACAAAGAUCAAUAACGCAUAAAUAUAUUAUAUCAAGUUUCAUCAGAUCCAUUACAACUCAAUAAUGCAUAAAUAUAUUAUAUCAAAAUAAAAAAAUAAUCAACUCAACACAACAUGUUAUUUACACACAUUGAUCCUACUUAGUGUUUCAUGAUCCUAGAAAAAUAUCUAACAAAAAAGUGACAAUACUUAAUACUUACGUGGCGCAUUCGUCAUAUAUACCAAUCCAGUCUCUUGUUGGACCACCAAAUGUUUCACUUCUCUGAAAGUAUUCUGCAAUUAGCUUUAAAUUUCCUGUAUGGAAAAAGCAGGAAUAACGGAUAAUAAAAAUUUACUUCUUCAAGUACAAUUAAGAACUAAAAACAUUGUUUCAGUUGAUGAAAUCACAUAAUAAGGGAAAUGAGAAAUAAAGCAAUUAAAUACAAUUAAAAGAAACUACAAUAUCACUACCGUCAAAUUGACAGAGCAAGUGCAUUACUUACGUAAAUCAAUGUCAAACAGCCUCUUCAGACCAGGUCUUUGAACCUUCACAACAACUUUCUCUCCAUUAUGCAGGAUUGCACGAUGUACCUAUAGAUGGUAUCCUUUGAAAUUCAAAUUAGCGAAUAGGAAUCACCUCAAGUAAAACUUAAAUAAAAUGUCAAGAAUUUUAACAAUGACAACACUAUUCAAGCUUCUUAAGUGAAGUUAAACGGACAAACCAGCUUUAAUGUACGAUGUUCAAUAAGAAAAAGAGGAAUGUAACAAGAAUCAAACACCUGACCAAGACUAGCUGCAGCAAUUGGCCGGUCCUCAAACGUUUUGAAAAAUUGCUCAAUAGGAGCUCCAAGUUCAUUCUUGAUGAAGUGUCUUGCUUUCUCUGGAGAGAAGGCAGGAACCCUAUCCUGAAUUAUAUUGAAUAUGAACAUAAAAUUUAUAUGAAAAGUAAAAAGUAAUACUAGUUAUAUGGAUUACAGGAUAUCAGCACCUAAAAUCAAAUGAUGUCGGGGAAAUUCAAUGCUAAAUUGUAAAGACAGUAAAAGCAGUACCUGUAACUUGGCAAGCUCAUCCACAAACUCACGUGGAAAAAGAUCUGACCUUGUUGAAGAUAACUGCCCAAGUUUAAUAAAAGUUGGACCAAGCUGCAGCACACUCUCCCUUAGCCAUGAGGCAGUCUUUCGUCUUCUGUUUUUCUGAAUGGAAGAUAAUUAUUAACAAAAAAGCCAGAAGCCCCCCAAAAAAAAAAAAGAUUUAAGUCGAAGAGACCAAGAAAUGAUGAGAAACUUGGCCAAAUAUGAAAUCAGUAAUGAUAAUGACUGAUCAAAGUUUGAAGCCAAUCUGGCAGCAUCAUAUACCUGUUUAUCUUCUGAGAAGCCUCCCAAAUAGGCCCAUUUGGCAUUGUCAAACAGAAUACGGAUUUGUAAUGAAAGGACAAAUGACCAAACAUCUAUAAUCCUUUGCCAGGAAUUAUAAUUCUCAUUAGCCCAACUGAAACUUUCAUCCGAGGGCAGAACCUUCAGCUCCUCCACUGGUGGAAGUUCAUUUGAACCCUUGCCUUUCAGUGCCUUAACGAGGGCCGAAGUAGAAUUUUUCUUAGCUAAACCUGCAACAUUAAUGACCUGCUUUGUCCCAUUGACCAUCUUAUUAACCUUACCAUUGGGUGGAUUAUUCCUUUUCACCACCUCACUAGCAGGUACCAUCUUAACCGAUCGUCCAUUAGUCCCAACUCUUGAGGGAGAUUCAGUUUGCCGCGCUUCAACAUGAAACUGAAAUGCUUUAUUAGUCAAAGUUGGAUUACAUGUUUUCCUCUCAAAGCUUGAUAUGGAACUCGAGAAACUAAGAUUGUCCAUAUCUCUUCCUUGGUUUAUCAAAUCAAUAUUGUGGCAAUAACAGCCUUGUGAAGCCAGUAUUGCCGCCAUUCAAUCGACAAACACCUAUGGAUUGAUAUCAAUACAGAAAUUAGACUGAUGCUAAACCAAAUAACAAUACUAAGAAUUAAAGCGAGCAAAUGUCAGUUAUAAUGGGAAACACGAAAAUUAAACCAUUAACACGACAAAUCUGAAGCCAGAACACUCAAUGAAAUAAAAAAAUAAAAAAAAAAACUCAACUGAAAGCAAGAUAAUGAAACAAAAGAAGAAAACAAAUGAGCAAUGAAUAUUCACCCACCAAGUCAAUGACUCUUAAGUAUUAAUUCUAAUUAUCUAAACAUGAAUGAACAUAUAUACUAAGUUAGUUAAGAGAACAGAAGAGUUUAAACUUAAAAGACAUUAAUACAUGCAAAUUGAAUAAUGUUUGUUUGAAACUAAAGAGAGCCCAGAUGAAGAUACUCACAAGAGAAGAAGAAAGAGUAACUAUCAAGUCUUAGAAAUGAAUCUCGAAGCUGAGAGAUUUAUUGGGUUUUAAGAAAAAUGACCAAAAAAUUGAUUUUUUUUUUAUAAGAAAAUAAAUUGACUAAAUAAGUGUUAUGAACAAAAUGUGGACGAGCAAAAAGAACGUGGACAGCACAGUGGCAGCGUGUCUCCCUUGCCAAUUCUAGUUGAUUAAGUUACUCAACAUAUUGUUCGGUCUGAUUUUUCUUUCUCUUUUUGUUUGGGUAUAUUUGUAAUUUCAUUUUAACGACAAAACUGAAAGUUGAAUCUUCACGACAACCAUUCAGUUGCGUGGCGGGUUUUAUUUUCUUGUCAAGAAUGGGUAAAAUUAUAUAUGAGUCCCUGAUGUUUCUUUAAGCGAUGACUUAUUUAUCCGUAUCAACAGGUCCAGGAUUAUCGCCAUUAAAAAUUUGAAAUGAUCAUCUUAACCUUGCAAUUUUGGACUUCCAAGAGUAUAUGUAAUAUAACUUAACUCUAAAGGGUAUUUCAGUUAUUGCGAUUGAAAUUAUCAAAUUGGGGACAUAUUUGAUAUAAAUGGAAGAACUAUUUAUUAUUAUUGGGAAAUAAUAAACUAUUAACCAAUAGCGUGGAUGUUAAAAUAAGAUCUAUAAUAACAAUUUAGUGAUUUUUUUUUUUAAAAAUUUUUGAGAAGAUCAAUUUAGUGAUCUUAAAUUAUUAACAAAAAAGCCAGAAGCCCCCCAAAAAAAAAAAAGAUUUAAGUCGAAGAGACCAAGAAAUGAUGAGAAACUUGGCCAAAUAUGAAAUCAGUAAUGAUAAUGACUGAUCAAAGUUUGAAGCCAAUCUGGCAGCAUCAUAUACCUGUUUAUCUUCUGAGAAGCCUCCCAAAUAGGCCCAUUUGGCAUUGUCAAACAGAAUACGGAUUUGUAAUGAAAGGACAAAUGACCAAACAUCUAUAAUCCUUUGCCAGGAAUUAUAAUUCUCAUUAGCCCAACUGAAACUUUCAUCCGAGGGCAGAACCUUCAGCUCCUCCACUGGUGGAAGUUCAUUUGAACCCUUGCCUUUCAGUGCCUUAACGAGGGCCGAAGUAGAAUUUUUCUUAGCUAAACCUGCAACAUUAAUGACCUGCUUUGUCCCAUUGACCAUCUUAUUAACCUUACCAUUGGGUGGAUUAUUCCUUUUCACCACCUCACUAGCAGGUACCAUCUUAACCGAUCGUCCAUUAGUCCCAACUCUUGAGGGAGAUUCAGUUUGCCGCGCUUCAACAUGAAACUGAAAUGCUUUAUUAGUCAAAGUUGGAUUACAUGUUUUCCUCUCAAAGCUUGAUAUGGAACUCGAGAAACUAAGAUUGUCCAUAUCUCUUCCUUGGUUUAUCAAAUCAAUAUUGUGGCAAUAACAGCCUUGUGAAGCCAGUAUUGCCGCCAUUCAAUCGACAAACACCUAUGGAUUGAUAUCAAUACAGAAAUUAGACUGAUGCUAAACCAAAUAACAAUACUAAGAAUUAAAGCGAGCAAAUGUCAGUUAUAAUGGGAAACACGAAAAUUAAACCAUUAACACGACAAAUCUGAAGCCAGAACACUCAAUGAAAUAAAAAAAUAAAAAAAAAAACUCAACUGAAAGCAAGAUAAUGAAACAAAAGAAGAAAACAAAUGAGCAAUGAAUAUUCACCCACCAAGUCAAUGACUCUUAAGUAUUAAUUCUAAUUAUCUAAACAUGAAUGAACAUAUAUACUAAGUUAGUUAAGAGAACAGAAGAGUUUAAACUUAAAAGACAUUAAUACAUGCAAAUUGAAUAAUGUUUGUUUGAAACUAAAGAGAGCCCAGAUGAAGAUACUCACAAGAGAAGAAGAAAGAGUAACUAUCAAGUCUUAGAAAUGAAUCUCGAAGCUGAGAGAUUUAUUGGGUUUUAAGAAAAAUGACCAAAAAAUUGAUUUUUUUUUUAUAAGAAAAUAAAUUGACUAAAUAAGUGUUAUGAACAAAAUGUGGACGAGCAAAAAGAACGUGGACAGCACAGUGGCAGCGUGUCUCCCUUGCCAAUUCUAGUUGAUUAAGUUACUCAACAUAUUGUUCGGUCUGAUUUUUCUUUCUCUUUUUGUUUGGGUAUAUUUGUAAUUUCAUUUUAACGACAAAACUGAAAGUUGAAUCUUCACGACAACCAUUCAGUUGCGUGGCGGGUUUUAUUUUCUUGUCAAGAAUGGGUAAAAUUAUAUAUGAGUCCCUGAUGUUUCUUUAAGCGAUGACUUAUUUAUCCGUAUCAACAGGUCCAGGAUUAUCGCCAUUAAAAAUUUGAAAUGAUCAUCUUAACCUUGCAAUUUUGGACUUCCAAGAGUAUAUGUAAUAUAACUUAACUCUAAAGGGUAUUUCAGUUAUUGCGAUUGAAAUUAUCAAAUUGGGGACAUAUUUGAUAUAAAUGGAAGAACUAUUUAUUAUUAUUGGGAAAUAAUAAACUAUUAACCAAUAGCGUGGAUGUUAAAAUAAGAUCUAUAAUAACAAUUUAGUGAUUUUUUUUUUUAAAAAUUUUUGAGAAGAUCAAUUUAGUGAUCUUAAAAUAAUUUUUUAAUUUGGUGCUUUGUGGUUUAGAUAGGUUUAUGGUGACAGGCAAGUAGGUUGCUUUGCUGAGAAUUGUGACAUGUUCUAACUUGUAGUUGAUAUUCACGGUCUAUUUGGAAUUGAGGUUGGACAAUUGUAUCUUUUAAGAUACAGCUUUCAAGUGUUUGGUAAACACUAACUACUGUAACUUUGAAGUUAGAUUGAUUUGAAUUUACAUUUCUGUGAUGAAAAAUAUAUUAUAUCUUUAUUAAUUUAUCAAAAUUAUUAUUUUAAAAUUAUUAUUUAUUAUAUAAUAUUAACUUUUAUUUCAUCGUUAUUGCUUUUUUCUAUAGAAGCUGUAACUUAAAAGAUGUAGUACAUCAAUCCCAAACAUAACCUUAAUUAAAUGGUCAACCUAGCUGUUCAAGGAGUUGACUUGGGUUUAACAAGUUUAUGUGGCUGCUUUUCAACUAUUUAUUUAUUUUAAUGUUUGCUAAAUAGAUCAUGUUAGCUAAUUGGUAGGGCUAAUCUUUGUUAACUAAAAGGGAAUAUCAAUAACAAUUAAUAAUAUCGACUUGUUUUACACCAUUUAGAUUAAGUUAAAUGAUCAUGAACAAUAUCAUAUUUUUUUACUUUUUUGUUUAUCUACAAUUAGCUGAUAAUUAAACUUAUUUCAAAAUCUAACUUUUGUAUAUGUCCCUAUAAUUAUACAGGAAUUAUGUGAAAAGGUCAAUUUUUUAUGAAAAAAGAAAAGGAAGAUUCUCUAUAAUCAUUUUCAACGUGAUAUUGAUUUCUUUUUAGGGAAAAAAAAAUGAGUGUUGGACCUUUAUAACAAAAAAAUAAUGAAAAAAUAACUACCUACCAUUUGGUUUUUUUAAUUUGUAAAAAGUACUUCAAUUUUUUUCUUUUGAAAGGAUCUAUCAAAAAUAUAGUGCAUCACUUUUUCACUUUUCUAUUAAUGCCGAUAGAGGAUUUAACAGAAUAUUAAUAAGAUGAUUGUUUUACACGUGAAUGUAAAAAGAUUAUUUAAUCCUAUCAAAAUGAGGAAAAAAAAGGAAGUAGUUGGGACUAAUAAGGGCUACAAAAUUAACUAUAUAGACUUAUCAAUUACCUAAUUUAAAAAUAUAAAAUCAUCAAAAUAAGUAACCUGGUUAAUUUGUAGCUCAUUUAUAACAUAAAUUAGGAACCCUUGUUCAUAUAAGCCAUCCUAAAUAACAUAACUUCAUCAAAAAUAAUAAAUCUUUAAUAAACAAUAAAUAGAAAUAGGCAUAGUUAUUUAAAAUACAUUCAAAAUAAUCAUAAAAUCAAUUAUGAGAAACUUUGAACAUUAUAAUUUGCUUCCAUCAAUAGAAAAUAAUAACAUUAAAUCAGUUUUGGGAAACUUGGAGUUUAUAGUUAUUUCUUGUCAAUCCAAAAUAAUAGUAUAAUUCAAAAAAUCCAAACUAACAACCAAUAAAUAUAUAUUUUUUUUCACAUUUAGGGAUCGAAUAGUCAUUCUUUGAUAUUUUGUUACAUCCUUUAAUGACGACGGUAAUAGAAAAGUAAAUACAUAAUACAUUAUAUAAACUUCAUAUGGAAAACUACAAAACAUAAAAAGUUUAGUAAAUCAUUAGUGGUGUUGGAUAUUUAUCCAAAAAUAGUUGAUGCAUUUUGGCCAACUUUUCAUCAGUUUGUUAGAUGCUAGCUUGGGCCUUGGAUAUACAAUGAGUUUGCCUUGGUGUAAGUGUACCUAAAAGUGUGAGAAAAUUGAAUAUUUCAACUGAUGCAUAUGCCUUGUUUGCUUCAAAUACAUGAUUUUCGUAUCACAAGGUUCGGAACUAGACGAAAGAAAAGGUUGACCUCCCCAUUAAUAUAUUGAAUGAAAAAAGAAGGCUUCUUGUAUGAUCACCAUCAAUAUCUAGUUAGGUGUCAUACUUCUUUUGACCGUGUUGGCUUUAAUAUCUGUAUGGCUAGGUUCUAGAGAGAAUUUGCUAGGUACAUGGAAAAGAUCAGGAACCUAUCAUGGAGGUUUCUGAUAACUGUCUUCUGAUCUUUUUCCACCCGUUUGACAUUUUGACAAACCUCAAAACGGUACCAGAGAAAAGAGCCCUUUAGAAGUCGGAAUCCUCGGUUGCUUGACUAGAUGUAGAAUUAAAGUCGAAGAAAGAAACACAGUAAUUUAAAGCAACCUAUCUAGUUGAUGAUCUAUUUUUCUUUUCCUUUUUGCUUUCACAAGUGAUUUUAAGUGUGCAAUCUACAAUGCUCCCUGGGAGCCAUUUCUUUACUUAACAAUGUUGCGUAUAUGUUGAUACAAAGAGCAGAAUCUAAAGGAAUAGAAUGAAAAUCAUAAGUGUAAUGUUUAUAUCAUUUUCUCAAUUUUGUUAAGCUCCUUCACUCUUUGCAUCGACCAAAGAAACAGUAUAAAGAAAACUCCUGCAUUUUAGGAAAUAAUAAGACAUUCAAGCUACUAGAGCAUUGAUGAAUAUGAAAUUGGAACUUAAUGGAGAGUAAUGGCAUUGUUUUGUGAAAGGCAUAAGCGCACCUGCACCAAUGAAUGAUCCGGUUGCCAGAACUUUAUGGGCUUGACCACUAAGGGUGACCCCGAGAUUGAGCAGGCUACCUCCAAAUACAGCACGAAUGGUUGCUAUUUGCAGUAUUGUUGCUUUUUUAGCUGCUCUUUCUGACUGGUAAAUGUAAAAUUUUCAAUUUAGGAGAUUUAAAGGCUGAAUGAAGGAUCUGGUUUGAUAAUAUGAGAAAUAAUGGAUAAUGUAUUGAAAAAUGAAAUAAAACCAACGUUGCAUCACCAUUAAAAGAUGAUUAAGUACCUCAAGCACCCGGACUCUGAGUUUUAGAUCUCCCGCUUCAAGUUGAUUUACAACCUCCUCUAUUCGUUGAACUCUGUAUGGCAUGGAUACGGUAGAGGAUCGGGCCUGAGAAACAUACAAAGGUGAUCUCAAUACUAGUAAUUAUUGAAAAAUUAUCUUAAACUAGAGAAGAAGCAAUAAGCAUUUACAUGAUCAAUUUGUUUCCUUAUAUUUUCCACAGGCUGCGUCUUAGCGAUCAUCUGCUUUUGUCUCAUCUCUAGCAGCUCCUGUAAGAAGGAAUAAUAAGUAGUCUACUCCCAACUAUAGAAAUGAUCACCAAAACGUCAUGAAAUCCUUUUUUAUUUGCAAAGGAGUUAAUCAUAGAUGCCCAGAGAAGUGGAUAUAACCUGCAAAUAAGGUGCAGCAACCUUCAUAAAGGAAAAAUCUGGGUCAAGCAUAUAGCCAUUACCUGUAAAGAAAAAUGAACAGUAAAAUUGAAGAUUUAAAGAUCGAUUUGAUAUAUUAUUAUACUGCGAUUUGGGGAUGACGUAUAUGGGGAUAAGAAUAGAGGACCUUCAAGUGUUGAGAAUGCCCUUACAACAAAAGCAAAGAUUGAUGGAAACUGAAAAGGUUGAUCGUGAGCUAUAGCAAAUAAAUCCUGCAGAAAAACGAACAAACAGACAAAAAGCCUUAACAACACAUGUGUCGUUAACUUCUGUUUAGUGUUCUUAUGCAGGAAGGUACUGCCUUUUCUUUAAGCUUCUAUAUCACAUGAGAAAAUUUUCAGUGUCCAGGUUUACACACCUCACCGACAGCAGCAAGCGUCUGUUCCUUAUCUGGUCUGCUGAAUAAAUUGUCCAAGAAAAACUGCACAAAUCUCUUCACCUAAGGAUAGAAUAAACGACUAUUAAUCUACGAGAUGGAUCUACUGAAGGAUUUGGCAAUCCAUAAUGAAUAGAAGGCCACAUCAAUGUGUAACAAUGCCUUUUCUAAUGUUUAAUAUGAAAAAAUAUGGCAUGAUGGCCUACCGAAGACAAAUCUCCUGUGGGCUGAAGUGCUUCAAGAUCAAUUAGGCUCUGGAUAACCUGCAUAAUGACUGCUCAGUCUUGGGCCAGCAAGCAAGGGGAGCAAAAUUUGAUCUACUCGAGUUUUUCUAAUCACUUCAAUUGCAUUUCUGAAAUGGGUUAUUAUUCAAAUUAUCUAAGCAAGAAAGAAAUGAUGAUCCUUAAAACAUAACUGACAGUAAAAAGAUUCUGCAGAUGGAUGUGUGGGGCCCAAUGUUCAUAACAUUCUCAGAUAAACAUCCAGUUUAAGAAUAAAUUCUUUCGUGUCUUAUGUACUGGCAGAGGGUAGACAAGAGGGUAGACAACUAUGAUUUCGAAUUUGUAUAGAGAAAAUAUCAGUAUAAAGUCUGGUAUGUUUAGAACUUUACUGUCUAAACUUUAAUGGUCAACAUCAACUUACAGCAAAAAGAACAGUGACUCAAUAUAUAGAAAGUAGACCUUUUUGGCAUUUCUCUCAUAAACUGCAAAGAAAAGUUCAAGCAAUCUGUCACGAGUAAGAGGUGUGAUCUCUCCCAUCAUACCGAAAUCAUAAUAGAUCAGUGCUUCAUCUACAUCGACUGCAAGAUUUCCAGGAUGAGGAUCAGCAUGAAAGAAACCGGUUUUGAGCAUCUGCAAUUUUGGCAAACUUCAGUAAAUUACUAUAUUAUAAUUGGGUCAACAAACCUUACUUAAUCAUGGGGGAACAUAAUGAAUAAGGUCCUGAGGGACUUCGAUAUUUACAUGGUUCAUAACAGUCAUCAUUUCAGAAUUAAGAACAAGAAGAUUAAUCAAUUCAGACAGGGUUAAACUUAAUAACCUGAAUCAAGAAUGCUUCAACUGCACGGGAGGAGAUCUGAGAUCGGCUAUAACCAUGGAAAUCUAGUGCUUCCAACUCAUUGAUAUUAAUUCCUGAUAUAGAAGUAACAAUCUAACAUCAAUUAUCACCAACAUAAGAAAUCUGCGUUUGGUCCCCAAACAUACAUUGUGAAACCUCCAUGGCUUCUUGAACCAAAAACUUUUGUAUUGGUUUAGGGUAAAACCUGGUACAUACUCCAUGGUUAAUACCAUCGAGGCAGUAUAGUCCCAAAACACAAGCUACAAAGGGAGAAAAAGUUAAUUUAAGAACUCAUAAUAUGUCUGAAAUUCCAGAAAAAAAAAUGUGUUAGUGACAAUAAAAUUGAAGAACUAAUGAAAGAAGUGGCAGGAAGGGAGUAUUCUUGAGCAAGAAACAUACAGGCACUCGGACCCACUUUAUAUUCCGGAAAUCUCGACGGAAUCUGUCAGCAUUUUUGCCUUCGUUUAUGUAAUUUAAUUCUUGAUACAAAAUCCUGGAAUCAAUAGGAGGGUGAGCUGUGAGUUUUAAAAAAGGUAGAAGAUUACUGCAUUUUAAAAUAAUUGGAAUAGAAGAUUACUGCAUAAACACAUUAUAAUAAUUGGAAAAGAAUUGUCAUCCCUAAGGUGCCUAGUUGAUUAGUCUCUUGCUCCAGAAGUAAGACCAAGGGUUCAAUCCAUGUUUAAUUCAAGGGCUGGGUGCAUGAAAAAGAGGACGGAAACAAAUUGUCCAACCAAAAAAAUUUGUAAUAAUCCUGUAUUGAAAAGUACAAUUUGUGGAUGCUGAGUAAAUUUUGUGUUUUAGUAUGGAUGUUGAGGUGUCAAUAUGAAACUAUAAGGACCCAGAUAUAUGUUAUCAUACUUAUAGUUUCAUCCUUUGAAGUCUUUGAAGAACAAAGCUGGGAUAACAAUUAAUUCAACUUACUACUUACGUGGAACAUUCUCUAUAUAUACCAUUCCAAUCUGCUACUGGACCACCAAAUAAUCCUCCUUUCUUAUAAUAUUUUGCAACUAGCUUUAAGUUUCCUGUAUGCAAGAAGCAGGGACAUGAAAGAUCAAUGCAGCAAACACCAAAAGGACAAAGCCAAGGUUGAUUUACUAUUUCAGAAUACAAAGAAAACUGCAAAUCAAAUUAACCUCUAUAUUAAUGUGUACAUAGAGAGAUGCAUGGAUACACGUACAGGUAACACAAGUACAUGAGUAAUAUUGGUAUAUUAUAAUGAAACAAUGUAUUACCAUUGUUGCGCAAAUGUUAAAGUAAAUGUAACAGGGAUUGCUUGCUACCCGACACUUCCUAAAUAAAUGUACUGAACUGGACGUAACUCUCGCAUGGAUCAAAUAUAUAGUUACGGAAAAGAAGAAGAAGAACAGUAAAGAUUGUCCUAAUGGAUCCAACCAAGAAUAUUAAAAAGAAAGGGCAGCUAGUAUUUUAUAGUGAUAAGAAUCCAAAGUAUCAAUUUGGUUGAACUGAGAGAAACAAUGCUCUACUCACCUAAAUCAAUAUCAAAAAGCUUCUUGAGACCAGGCCUUUGAACUUUUACAACUACUUUCUCUCCAUUAUGCAGGAUAGCUCGAUGUACCUGUUGAUAUUGUAUCCAAAUUUGUAAACUUUCUCAAGAUGCACUAAGAUGUGCUUCUAAAUGCUGAUAGUGGAACUGUAUCUCAUUUUUUUCUGAUACUAUGAUAAAGGAAAAAAAAAAAGCUUAAACAAUUGGGUGGAAGAGCUAAAGAGAAUCAACACCUGACCAAUACUAGCAGCAGAAAUUGGCUGGUCCUCGAACUUUUUAAACAAUUGGUCAAUGGGAGCCCCCAGUUCACUCUCAAUUAAGCUUCUUGCUUUCUCUGGUGAGAAUGCAGGGGCCCUAUCCUGAAUAAUGUUAAUUAAGAACUUAAUAUUUAGAUGAAAGUUAAGAAGUUGAGAUUACAUUUCAGUUUAAAAUGAAGUGAGAUUACAUGAAUGAUUGGAUGUGUGCACUAAAAAGCCUAAUCAUGUUGGGAAAAUUUGUAUUAGAAAAUAUAUAAAGACAGAAAUCAAGAAGUACCUGCAACUUAGCAAGCUCAUCCACAUACUCACGUGGAAAUAGAUCGGACCUUGUUGAAGAUAACUGCCCAAGUUUCAUAAAAGUUGGUCCCAGCUGCAGUAUACGCUCCCGUAGCCACGAGGCAGUCCUUUUUCUUCUUUUUUUCUGAAAGAGAUACAUUUUAUAAACACCAAAGUGUGAAAACAAAAGAGUGAAAGACUGAAGUAUAAGAAAUAAAGAAACGGUCAGAAACUGGGACAAGUAGGAAAUAAGUAGUGAAGACAAUUGAGUAGGACUUAGAAUAUCCAAUGUUCAGCAUUGUAUAACACUCUAAAUGUCAGCCAAAUUCACCUGCUUUUCUUCCAUGAAGCCUCCAAAAUAUGUCCAUUUGGUAUCAUCCAACUGAAUACGGAUAUAGAAUGAAAUAACAAAUAACCAAAUAUCUAUACUUCUUUGCAAGGAAUUAUAAUUCUCGUUAGACCAACUGAAGUUUUGAUGUGAAAGUGUAUCCUUCAACUCCCCUAUCGGUGGAAGUUCUUUCAAACCUUUACCUUUUGGUGUUCUAACCAGGGCUGAAGAAGAUUUUCUCUUAACUACACUUCCAUUAACGGACUGCUUUGAGCCAUUGACUGUAUCUAUAUUAUGACUGAGCUGGGGGUGUCUUCCCAAUACCUCGCCAAUGGGUACCAUUUUAACAGGUCUUCCAUUGAUUCCCAAUGUUGAAGGUGACCCAGUAUGUUUCAUUUGCACUAGAAACUGGAAUAAUCCAUUGGUAAUUGUUGGUUUGCAUGUUAACCUCUCUAACGUUGAUACCGAGCUUGAAAAACUCAGAUUUUCCAUUGUUUUUUGUUGAUUAAUCAAAUGAUUACUGUGGCAACAGCAGCCUUGUGAAGCCAGUAUUCCCACCAUUUAAUCAACAAAAACCUAUGUAUUGAUAACCAAUAUCAAAAUUAGAUUGAUGCAGAGCUAAGUAAUGAAAUGCGAAAUGCAAGCUAACCAAAUUUGGUUUGAUCCAAAACAAGUGAAAAGAAUUAAAAGAACAAUGCACCUUCAAUCUAACAUCAACUAGCAGAUUAUAUUAUGCAGAUUUCAUUUGCUAUAAUUAGGAUAAAAGAAACCAAUGUAGCAUUCAUAAGAUAAGUCAAGCAUAUAAACUGGAGAGAAGAAGUGAAGGGUUUCAAUGGAAACUUAUUGACUAACAAACUGAAAGCAAGAUAAUUAAACAAAAGAAAGAAAUUACAUUCCAAACCAGAUCAAGUCAACAUAUUUAACAAAUGUCCAACAAGAGACCAAACCCAAAAUCAUUCACCCACGAACUCAAAAUCAGUUGCUAAUCAACAGAACAGAUGUUGCGGUUGAGGGUCAGCAUCAAAAAAAAAAAAAAAAGUUCAGAAGCUCCAUUAAAAUUAUGUGAAAGUAAAAGAACCCAGACUAUGAUACUCACGAAACAGAAGAGUCAGCAACAAGCUUAGAUAUGAAUCUUAAGAUUUGAAAAUUUCAUUGGAUGUAUAGGAAAAACAAACUAAGGGUUUGUCCAACAACUAACUUAUUUUUAUAGAGGAAAGAUAUUGACUAUACUAGAAAUGUAAUCAAAAAUAGAAAGACGGGGGAAAGUGAGAAAAUGGGACGCCAGCAAAUGGGCAAUUGUCAUUUGCAAUUCUAUAAUAUUUUUAAAUCAUUAAUUUGUUCAACUCGGAGUUCGGACAAAUGGUUGUGCCUUUGUGUUAUAAAUUCUCUAACAACGACAAAAACCGAAAACAACUCCAAUAUUUGGGUGGGUAAAAUAGCCUUUUUGUUUUGGCUUGCAUUAGUUAAAUAAAAAUAAUAUGAUGUUACAGGCUCACAGCUUUGAAGUUCACGAUCACACUUAAAAGAACACCAACAUGAAGUUGAUGACACAGCCGAAUGUGAUGCACAUGGACUGCAUUGCCUCUAAAUACAUAAAUAUAUGAACUCAGAUGUGCAAAAAAGACGCAAGUCAAAAAUGGAUGGCAUUGAUUUUUCUAUAUCCAAUAGUCAUCUUUCUUUUCUGAACUGUCAAAAUAUUGACCAAAGUGCCAUCCCAUAAUCAUAGUACUUACCCAGUACUUAGUAUUUACAUUGAUAAAUAAAAAUAUACAUGUUGCUUUAAAAGCAACAGUACAUGUAAGCGUCCACUGUGAAUCAGUUUUUUGUUAUUAGCGUGACAGCUUUUCAAAAAUAUUUACUCCCGAAAAGCCAGUACACUUAAGUCAGUAGCAUUUCAAUUUUUUUGGCGGCAUUUCGGUAUGGCUCACACUAUCAUUGUGCCUGCUCACCAAGUGAUCAUUGUUCUUUGGUAUGUCUUCAGGGAAUCUGGAGCCUUCUGGAAAAUUGCAGUACCAGACGAUGUUAGUUGCAAUGGCACCGACAAAAAUAUCAGUCCUCGGAGUUAGACGAAUUUUUCUUUCAACUAGUGAAACCUGCCCACAGCAUUGACUUUGGAUUGCUGCAUUCCUCAGCUUCCGAACAACGGUGUCCUUAUCAUGGCUGAUGUUAUCUGCUUCCUCCUGCAUUACAUACACAGACGGGAAUUAAGUCGAUGGUUUUCUGUGACCUUUCCUUGAGAGUGUAAUUUCUUCAAAAAGACUAAUAGAGCAUGUUUACAGAUAUUACAUCCUAAUUAAUGUUACCAUGGACAAAUUACUGAUUUAAAAAGUUGAACUGAUAACGUAGUUUCAAUUAUGAUUUCUUAAAUUACUGCAUAAGUUUUUCUAGUGACAAGGAGAAAUUCCAAGAGGCUAAAAGGAUUCAUACAGCAUUAGUUUGACGUUAUACCAAAGAUAAAGGAAAAAAGAUGAACGGGCAUUUGAGGGAGAAGUAUAUAAGGGAAGUCAACAUUGGCGCACCGACAACCACAACCAUCACUAAAAUUGAGUUUUAGGGCUAUGAUAAAUGGUCUUGUUUUAAGUGUUUCCCUAGUGUGUUCAUGCACAUGAAGGGGUAAAACAAUUAGAAUCCCCCUCACAAAACUCAUUGGCGAAAGCAGCAGCUAAAAUCAAAGAAUAUGUACAGUAAAUUUAUUGUGUAACAGUAAUAUAAUAUGAAGACAACCAAAUUUUAUGUCCAAUGUGCACAAAAUGUGCUAUUUCACACCAGUGAUUGCAGCACUAUUUCUGAUGGAUGAUACCUUUUCAGCUUGAAUGGUUGUUUAUUCAAAAUGGCUGUUUUAAGAUCUGGCCUGUCUGAGAAAGAAACCUAUAUUUCAAAUACAGGAGAAUUAAAUACAGAUUCAAUCAGAAUAUGAGCAAGGGAAAAGCAAGCAAAAAGGUAAAGAGUCUUAAAACAUAACAGGAAGUGAUUGAGAGGGAUAACUGGUGCCUUUGUUUGAAGGUUAAACUGUAUUCGCAGCAACUGCAAAAAAGAAAAUCAUCCCUCUAAAGAUAUUAAUAUCUAAGGUGAAAAGGAAAUACCUCGACUGAUUGGACGAAGGGCGAUGGAGCUUUGGGUCUGUGAACACUGCCUACCCUGAGAGCCCAUUUCACAUACUUGUCUGUAUUGCUCCCAAAAAUCACAAAUACAAUUAGGCACUCCAUUUUAUUUUUGAUUUAUAUCACUCACCACACAUGGGAGCAAUAAUAACUAAAAGAUAGUCUAAAUAAGUAUUUUUCCAGCCUUUGCAGCACAGCAGUCAUUAUUCACUCAGAAAGAAGGUAAAAUGCAAGCUUAAGUCACUCACGAAUUGUGACAAAACUUCGUAACUUUGAAUAAAAAAGCUUGGGAUCCCAAAUGAUGUCUUCCAUCAGCAAACCUAUUACAUAUCGAUAUAUGAAAAUAAGCAAAAAGCUGGAAAGAUACCUGAUCGUGAUGGCCUAGAGUACUGAUCAAGAUUAAUCUGAAAAAGAUCUACUCGAACAUAAGGAGGAAUCCACAGAUUAAGAUGAUGCAUAACCCCUGCAAUCACCUGUCGUUUUUCAAGUUACACUUUUGUUGAUCAAAAGAAUCAAGCCAGUUCGAAGAUGUCUGAUAUGCUUGAUGAUCUAGCAUGUUAAGAUAAAAAAGGCACUGAAAAUAUACUAAUGCAACUGAUUAAUAAGCACUACAUACUUUACAUAUUUCUUUUAUAAUAUACAGACAAAGUUUGGUUCUUUGAAAUGUAUAAUAAAUAAUACUGCCCUUUGGUUCUAUAAAAAAAACCCUUAUGCAUCCCAUAGUAAAAUGCAAGGAAUGGAAAAAAAAUUCAAUAUGAGCAGGGUCCCAUCCUGUAGUUUAUUGGUUUAUACCAGGAGCUUCUUAUGUAUUGGUCAUGGUACGAAUAGGACAGCCACCCUGAGUUACAAUGCAGCACUGCAAUGAUGUUUCAAUAUGUGCUUCAAAAAAGCCAUCCUCUUAUUGCAUAACAAAUGAAUUGUCAGAACUUAAAACUAUUAUGGUGGAAUUGACAACGAUGAGAGAAAAACAUGGAAGCACAAAAUAUGCAGUAACACAAAAAAUUGUUAAGCAUUCUAUGCUUAGUAAUUCAGAAUAAGAUAACUAUACCUUGUCAACAGGAGCAUGAACAACCAAACUUGCUUUCUUGUCCUUUGGCGUUUGCUGGACAUAUAAGUUGAAAAGUAAAGAGAGCAGUCAAAAAUGAUGCUGACUAAUCAUAUGCAUAAAAUACUUGCUCUGGAUGAGAAGAGAAAGUUAAGUCAAUUGAUACAAAAUUAUUUUAAUGAUCAUGAGACACAAGUCUCCCAAGAGACUUAUACCAGUAAAGGUCUUUGUCAUAGUUUAUAAUGUGAAAGAAAAGCCCAAUAAUGUCAUGGCCUUAGUACAACCUUGAAGUAGUGAUCAGUUACACAUAAAGAUUUCAGCCUGUACUAAAAAAUAGCAUAGCAGAUUCAUGAGUGAAGGAAAAAGAAAUAAAGAAAUACCUGUAGGUUUACAAUUACGAUCUUACCCCCACCACGAAGUGAUUUUAAAGGAAGGUUGCAAGCUGGAGUAAUCUGCAAACUGCACAACAGCAAUCUGAAUGAAGUACUAAAAGAGACAAAAGAAAAGGAAAAUUGCACACAAGAAAAUGUUGUUCACAUAAAAAGAUGACUACUUCUAAGAACCUCGGCUUCAAACAGUCUAAAACCACAUGCUGAUGGAACCUUAGACAUAAAGUUUUAAACUGCUAAAAUUCGAGCAUCUAUAUACAAUUUUUACUAGGCUGACUAGUAAGUUGUUCCAAAUUUACUUGAUGACAUGUCAAAGAGUUUUGUGUGUAAUUACUCCACCACUCUGAAGCAUAGCAUGUGAACACUUCCUGAGCUGAACUAUCAGGUAAAGUUGAAAAAAAAAAGGGGCACAAGAAAUGAAUAAUCCAAAGAAUAGCAAAAUACUCUUAUCAGAAAAAGAGGACGGCUAAAUGUGAUUUUUAAUUACCAGACGAUUGCAACAGAUAAAUGCGGGCUAAUGGGGGCAUUAAUUCAUUUAUUUUUAAAAUAUCAACUCCAAAGCGUAGGUAAGAGAUUGAAGGGGGAAUUAAACUUCCAUCUCCACUGCAUGAUCUAAAGCAAAAAAUUACAGCUUUAAUGAAGAUAACAAUGGUGCAGCACAGACAUAUAUUAAGGAAACACACCUGGUACCCAAGCAUAGAACAACAUCUGCCAUCCUACAGUUUUCCUCUGCUGGAUUCAUCUCUACUGGUGGCAAUGCAUCCUGAAAUAAAAGCAAUAAGACUAUCAGCAGCAUUAACUUUGUUAAGAUAACUAAAACAAUCUGAUUUGUCUUUGUAUCAAGUGACUAAAUAAUACACAAGAAGCAGCAAAGCAGAUGGCAAAGCAUGAAAUCAAGUAUUACAUUAACAGUGCAGUGUAGAAAAGCAGUAGAAAGUUACCUCCCAAUCAAGAACAGUGUCCUUAAGUCUUGACCCACAUUUAACGUCAGAACAACGGCGUGGUGUUUUCUUCAUACCAAUGGUUUCUAUCUCAAAAUCACGCAUAUACCUGUACAUGUCAAAUAAAAUUGAAUUUCUAUACCAACUGAAAUCCUAAAGAGAAAGUGAGACAGGGAGAAAGGUUCUUCCAAAUGAUUAAACCAAAAUACUGAAGCACAUUGUGAACAGGAAAAAUAAGUAAAAGUACUCUACUCCACAAGAUGGGCAAAUUUCUCGAAAAGAAUUGCCGUGCAACUCAGCAAGUUUCUCCCUUGGUAUUCCAGAACACAGAUGCAGGCUAUCGACAUUCUGAAAAUUGAAAAUGAAACAAAUAUCAAAAGCAUCAGAGCAUGAAGUGUCUAGACAUAUGGAAUGGUAGGUAAGAAAAAGUAACCAUCUCAGGCUAAUAUCUCUUGCAGGUUAAUGAUCAUAAGGUUCAAUUUGUGCCACAUAUCUAUGCGUUAACUUCAGUCAAUAGAAGACCUUUAAUUGAGAAGCCACAAAAUUAAACCAAUUACCAAAAACUUUAACUCAAGCUUUUCUAUCAGACUGUUAGAAACAAUUAAGUAGAGAUUUAAUCUAUAUCCUUCGGUCAGCACUAAUAUUUAGCCAUUGACCCAAAUGUCUAAGAAGUUUAUGUAAAAAGACACAAAGGAUUAAAAGAAAUAGUCAACAUGUAAGUUCAUAUUAAAAUUUUCAGAGUACAAUAAAAUGGAAAAUUGAACAAUAUAUUGAUGGGAAGAUGCAUGAAUCAAACCUGGCUUAUAACAAACUUUAAGAUGCCGGCUUUCUCAAGUUCAACCAAGGCCAUAUGGGUAAUACUUGGCAUUGCACGAUCAAAUGGUAGUGAUGCUUCAGGCACACCUUUGCCUUCACGCUGCAAUUCAACAUGUAACAGUCAUUGUAACUGCCAAAAUGCACCAUGUUUAUGUGUUUGUGUGUGUGCAACUGAAAGAAAAACCAACUACUAAAAAUAAAAAACAGUGAUUCUCACUUGAAGCGUCCAAACUCCUUUGGGACCUCUAAAAUCAGGAAUCCCACAAGAAGUUGAUAUCCCUGCACCUGUAAAUGCCACCAGAUGCUUACUCUGCAAGUGCAGGAAAAGAAAACUUAAAAAAGGCUUUGGUUAUUAAUCCUGCAAGUCAACAAUAUGAUAGGAUUCUUAAGGAGUUCCGCAGCUUCUUUAUCAUUACUGCAAGCUCUGCAAUCUACCAUUAAACAGAAAAAGAUACUGAUGUCAGCCAAAUCAUGUCAAAAUCUACAAUCUCCUGGUGCUCAAAAGAACUCCUCAUGCAAACAAAACAUUGGAAGCUUACGUGUUUUGUUUUGAACAAGACAAGCAACGAAACAAAAUUUUCAGAAAAUAGCCAGCGCACAUGGAAUUGUGAUCCAGAAGUUCCAUACAUCACAAAACACACACGCCUUCCUUCGCAAUCAAAAUAAAAUGACUUAGAAUCCUAAAUAUAAGACUCAAAAUUUUCAUUACCAAGAAAACCAUGUUGUAUGUUAAGGAUUACUUGCUAGAGAUUAUCUAGCUAGAGAUCAUCAAAGGUUUUCAUCACCCUUACUAGAAUUACUUGCUCCCCUGCUCCAUCCCUAACAUCUAAUAAUCUUGUAAAACAAGAAUUUCAAAGCACACACUUCUUUAAAACCCUAACUUCCUUUAUCAGAUAUCAACAGAUGCACUACCCAAUUUUUUUAUUAAUUUUUUUUAAAUAAAACCACUUCUUGCACCACAAUCAUCGCCAUAUAAUAAACAAACACAAAAAUGCAAACAAACCCACGAAUACAAAUCACACACAACCCAUUACAGCAUGCAUGCCACAUUCAAAUUUGAGCACAUUUUUACAUGAGUUUUAAAUUCAAGAAUUUCAAGAAACACAAGAAAGUACAAAACUUUAAAGCAAGAACAAAAAAUGAACAUGCAAAGAAGUAACAAGAAGUUUGAACGAAAAAAGAGUACACUUUUUGUUGUAACAGGUGAGGUGGGUCGAAAAUUUCGGACAUUCCAACACUGCCCACAUCUUCUCUGUAAGAAAGCUUCUCUGCAUAACCCAAAGACAUGUCUUUAAUUUUUUCUGAAACAAGCAAUUUUUGUUCUGCUGGGUUUGUUUUUCUCUGUGAGAUUCACUUGCUUUUGCUUUUGCUUUUGCUUUGCUUACAUGGCACCAGAGCUAUUAAGAAUGUGCUUUUGCGUUUUGAUUUCUUUAAAAGUUUGUUCAACAUUUUCAAGAACUAGACAACAAAGCAAUAAUCGCUUUCUAAUUCUUUACGAUGCGUUUGUGUUUCUGUUUGGCAUUUGCUAACUAUAAGAAGUUACGUAUUUACCCCUUCAUUUCCCGGGAAAAGUGCGACAACAGUGUAGCGGGGGGCGCGUGCCGUGUGUGCGAUUCGUGUUUCGUUUUGUUCCGUGUGAAAAGUGCCGAUUGCGCCCGGUACACCUUCAUACUUCAAAAAUUAUCUCAAUACCCUAAAAUUUAUUUUUGCCAAAAAUUUCAUCGAUACUCUUUAAAAAUUAAUAGGAAAUUACUAAGCUAUCCUCAUUUUAAAACAUUUCAACUCAACGGACAACGCCUCUCCCUUCUCUACUGAAGCAAACAAACACUCAUUUGCUGCAAUUCCCUCCAUUAUCAAACUCAAACAAACAAACACUGCAAUUCCCUCACCGGCAUCACCUCUACCGAAACAAACAUUCAUUCUCCAUACAUGAUAAAUCGAACUUCAACACGAGCAAACUAAGCCUGAGAAGGGGAAGCUGCCACAACUGAGAAAGUGAAGCAUAGUUCGUCACUACAUAAUCGCCGGAGAGAAUUGAUCAUUUACUGUAAAAUUGUCAGAAUAUAACUAGUUGAGACAAGUAAUUCCAUGUAAUUAGUUUUCUUGUUAAUAUUCAAGGGGAAAAAACAAAAAGUUAGGGUUUUAUAUUGAAAAAACAGAUUAAUUAGUUGUGGGUCUCUCAUAACAUGUUCGAAAACAAAUUUCUAGUUGUUUUGCUGCAUGCAAAUUGUGAAAAAUUAAUGGAUUGUGCUGAUUAUAAUUUUGUUAUGUAACACAAGAUUUGGUCGUGUAAGAUUAUGUAAGAUUCAAGGUUGUGUAUUACACGACCUUCAUGUAUUGCAUGAUUACACGACCUUCAUGUAUUGCACAAUUAUACGACCUUCAUGUAUUGCACAUUUACACGACCUUCAUGUAUUACAUGUUUAUACGACCUUCAUGUAUUAUACAAUUACACGAUCUUCUUGUAUUACACAAUUACACGACCUUCAAUUCCACAUUUUGUUUCUUGUCAAUAGAAUCUACACAUUACAUUUAGUUUAAUUAGGCUCACAAUAAAUUGGAAUGGUGCAUAUACCUUUACCUUGUGAAAUGUCAUUAGUUAGAGAGAUUCUUAAUUUCCAAUUAUAAGCCAUGGUAAGUCAUGAUAUGUCUAGUUAUGAGUGGAAAUAUUUUAUCACUGCGAAUGGUGUUCUUAUGUGUAUAACAUUACAUUAAUUUCCUAUAGUUGAUAUUUUUUUUUCUUAAUUGAUUUCAUGGAUUAAUUAUAUGCAGGCAUUCCUCAUGUAUGCUUGUAUGCUUGGCCAGAGGAAGAAAGCACUUUGAAGAUUAAAAAAAAAAAAAAUUAAAUGGCUGUAAUAUGUUUAAUUGUGACUUUAAAAUUACACGAAUUUUUCCAUUAAUCAUUAGAUUAAUUUAGUUCUUUAAAGACUUAAUUUGUGCUAAUAAUUUAUAUUUGCUGCUAGACACAAAAUGUCAACGAAAAUUAUUAAAAAAAAGAAGUGAAAUUAAAUUGGAAUCUAAAAAAAUUUCACAUCAUCAUUGGUUUGAAUUGUAACUGGUGGCAUAAGAUCAGAUGUCUUAAGUUUGAAUUUCAUUGUGAUUUCGAAUUCCGAAGUAUUUAUAUCAAUAACUUCAGCUAUCUUCUCCACCAAUUCGGCAUAUGUUGUCGAUCGUGGUAUCAUUAUCCCUUUAGCCUUUGAACCUUUGAACUUAUACUCGUCAUUUUGCUCAAUCCAAUAAUAUUAAAUUUCAUAUACAAGUAACUACACGACCUACAUGACCUACACGACUAUAUUACAUACACGACUUACACGACUAUAUUUCUUACAUGAUUUACACGACUAUAUUUCUUACAUGAUUUACACGACUAUAUUUCUUACAUGACCUACACGACUAUAUUUCUUACAUGACCUACACGACUUACACGACUAUAUUACUUACACAACCUACAUGACUAACUAUAUAACGUACACGGUAUCAAAAGAAUGCACGACUUGAAACAUUUUCGCCAUAAAUAAGUUAUAUUGCUGAAAAAAAUAAUUAAACAACCUACAUUGCAUAUAUUUCUAUGUAUAAGAAAAAAUGGUGAAAAUAAAACAUUGUAAUGUGAGGAAAAUUUCUAAAUUUUCCUAAAAAUUAAAAAAUUUAAAACCCAACAACAUUAACAUACCUUAUUGGGUUGUUUAAUAAGCAAUGCACCUUUAAAGAAAGAGUGGGUGUUAAAGAAAUGAAUACAUAAUUGUAUUUGUGUAAGAAAUUAUGAGAGAUUCUAAGAGAUUUUGAAAGAAUCGGCAGCAAAAAUAAAUUUGGGUGAAAGAAAUGAGGAAAGAAAUAUGAAGACAAUUCAUUGAGUGAAUUUGAUGCAUUCAUUAAGAGUAUUUCCGACUUUGCUCACAUUUGUUAGAGUAUCCAUGAAAACCAAAAAGGGAGGGUAUUUGAAUAAUUUUGAAACUAUUAAAGGGUAUUUAAUUAAAAACCCCGUGUGAAAAUAUCUUUUUCCAUUUUUUUCUUAUUAUCAUUUAUUGCGAUUUUAUUUCAUCAUUAAAAUGUUUUCCAAAGAUUGCAAGAGCAAUGCUUUUCAUUCAAAGUACAAUUCGUUACAAAAUCAAAUAAGUGAGGGCAACAAUGUUAGGUAUCCCAAGGGAAAUUCUAUAAUGUCGUCAUUAAAAGUCCGGUAUCAAUGUCAUGAUAAAGAUAAAUUUUAUAAAUUACAUAUAAUAUUAUUAAAUGAAAAUAAAAUAAAUGUUAUGAAUUACAUAUACUAUUAUUAAACGAAAAUAAAAUAAGUAAAUUAAUAUAAGAGUGGUAAAUUAGUGUUUUAAAAUUAUAAACAAAACAAACACUUAUAAAAAUAAUAUAAAAAAUAUAAAUUAGCAUUAAACUUUAAUAAGAAAAUAAUUUAUUAAUUUAAUUUAUUUGAGUAAAGUAAAAAAAAAUCAUCAAUUGAAUUGGAAACAAUUGGAAUAAGUUUUAUUAAAUUGGUUUAACCAUAAAUUCAAUAUUUAUACUAAGACAUUUAUAAACUUUUUUUUCUAUCAUAGUGUUUGUUUACUAUACAAGAUAAUUGAGCAAAAUUAUUUUUCUUGUGGAUCAAGUCAAAACAAAACAAAAAUACAUUCUUAUAUUACUAGACAUAUAUGAAAUAUCAAUAAAAUUAGAUCUAAUUUUUAGUUUUAUACAUAUUUUAUGUAGUUUUAAAUUUUACUUCUUACUUAUACUAAAAGAUGUUAGGAAAUUGAACUUCCUCCCAAGAUCACUCCAAGAAAUUUGUCAAGCAACAAAUUAAUAGAAAAAUUGAAUGAAGAAAAUACAAAUCACACAAUACAAAUUUACGUGGAAAACUUUAAAUCUGAAGAAAAAUCACGAUCGUUGUCAAAAGACAACUAGAGAAAAAUAUUCAUUAUGUGGAAAAUUUUUACAGUCACAUUCUCAUAAAUAAUUUUUUCUUACCUAAGCCUCAAAAAGAUGAUUCCUAGAAAUAUCCCUUAACAAAGCAAACACGUAAUACCCAUAUUGAAGAGUCAAAUACUCCUACAAUAUAUCUACAUGUUUAAGAGUAUUUUUCUCCUCUCAAUUUGAAUUACGUCUCUAGGAUCAUAAAAGCUUAUGAAAGGCUCUCCUAUUUAUAACCAAACCGAUAACACUGUUCAAAUCGCAUUACUGUUCAUGUCGCAUUAUUGUUCAAGCCGCAUGGUCAAACCGUGUUACUUUUCAUAGCGUGGUUAAAUUGUGUUACUGUUCAUCAACCUUUUUUCUUUUUUUUUAAUCAAUUUUCAAUAAUCUCUACGUUAAUUUUUUUAAAAAAAAAUCAUAAUUACUGCUAUAAAGCACUGUCUUCACCAACAAUCAUAAUUCUCAACAUAGAGAAUUACCAUACUCCACCACAAAAAGAGAAUAUCACUUAGAAUAAACAAUUUUAAGAUUUUUCUCGUCACCUGUCGAAACAUCCCGUUGAAAUUUAUGGUACAACUUCCAUAUUGGCUUUCUUGGAAGUCGUCAGCCAUCGACAUAAAUUCCACCACACAGCCUACAUCAAUGACAACCAUACCUUGUGUGCAAAUUUUGUAGGCCCCACUAACAGUAACAUGUUCUCUUUCAUGACAACUUGGAGAUCUACAUGCCAAAAUAACUAACCCAAUCUUUUAAAAAGAAACUCACCAUUUGCGAGAAUAUUAGUAUUUCCUUUACUGAUUCUAGAGCAAUUUGCCAAGCUCACUCCACCUUUUUAACAAUUUCCUUAAGGUGUCAAAUUUGUCCACACCUUCAAAUUUUACCAGAUUGGAUACACCUUUAACUUGAAUUUUCCACAAGCCAAAACAAAAUCAUUCUCCCAUUAAUUUUUCAACAACAUCAAACUCCACCAAGUUUGAAAAACAUCAACUGCUAACAUAUAUGCUUUACAAAUUAGUCUUUGCUCUUUACCACGGACUAUUUGGAUUGGCUCCACUGCUUCAUGUAAACAAUAUUGUAUAUAUGAACAAUAUUGUUCAUGCCGCGUGGUCAAACCGUGUUACUAUUCACCGCGUGGUAACUGUGUUAUUGUUCACUGCGUGGUCAAACAAUGUUACUGUUCACCGCGUGGUCAAACAAUGUUACUGUUCACCACGUGGUCAAACCGUGUUACUGUUCAUCGACUUUUUUUUCUUUUUUUAACUCAAUUUUCAACAAAAGAUCAUUUGGGGUUGUUGUUAAGUAGGUUUAGAAGAAUGCAAAAUCAAUUAUCUUACAAAUAAUUUUGAAAAAUAUAAAAAAAAAUUUCUAAAAUUUAAUUUUGAGAAUAAGUUUUAUCCUUAAUAAAAUUUCACAUAUAUUAUCACAUGUAGUACAUAAGACUGAAAUUAUUAUUAUUCAAUUUAGAAAUAAAAACAGUAAAUAUAUAAGGUAACAAUUAUUACAAUGAGUUUUUAUUUUAUAUUUGAAGUUUUUAUUUUUUUUUCAAUAACUCUUAGAAUAUUUACUUGUUUUAUAUUAUAUUUCAUUUACAAGUCUUCUAUUUCAUUUAUAUAAUUUAUAUGAUAUUUAUACUUAAUGUUGAUUUAUAAGCUAUAUGUUACAUCUAUAAAUUUAUGUUUUGUUUACCAAGAAUAUAUCAUUUUAUUAUUCUUAUGUUAAUUUACUUGUUUUACUUUCCAUUUACAGGUCUUAUGUUUUAUUUACUUAAUUUAUUUUUUAUUUUACACUUAUCGUUGAUUUACAAGUUUUAUGUUACAUUUGUAAUUUUAUGUUUUGUUUACCAAUUAUACAUCAUUCUACCACUCUUAUGCCAAUUUACUUAUUUUACAUUCUAUUUACACAUGUUAUGUUUUAUUUUAUAUUUUAUUUUACACUUAAUGUUGAUUUACAAGUUUUAUAUUAUAUUCAUAAGUUUUUGCUUUAUUUACCAAUAAUAUAUCAAUUUAUAACUCCUUAAUUUACUUAUUUUGCCUUAACUCCUAUGUUAAUUUAUUUAUUUUACCUUUUUUUUACAAGUCUUAUGUUCCAUUUAUUUUAUAUUUAUUGUUGAUUUACAAGUUUUAUAUUAUAUUUGUAGAUUUUUAUUUUAUUUACCAAUAAUAUAUCAAUUUACCACUCUGAUGUUGAUUUAGUUGUUUUACCUUUCAUUUACAAGUCUUAUGUUUUAUUUGUUUUAUCCUUAAUAAAAUUUCACAUAUAUUAUCACAUGUAGUACAUAAGACUGAAAUUAUUAUUAUUCAAUUUAGAAAUAAAAACAGUAAAUAUAUAAGGUAACAAUUAUUACAAUGAGUUUUUAUUUUAUAUUUGAAGUUUUUAUUUUUUUUUCAAUAACUCUUAGAAUAUUUACUUGUUUUAUAUUAUAUUUCAUUUACAAGUCUUCUAUUUCAUUUAUAUAAUUUAUAUGAUAUUUAUACUUAAUGUUGAUUUAUAAGCUAUAUGUUACAUCUAUAAAUUUAUGUUUUGUUUACCAAGAAUAUAUCAUUUUAUUAUUCUUAUGUUAAUUUACUUGUUUUACUUUCCAUUUACAGGUCUUAUGUUUUAUUUACUUAAUUUAUUUUUUAUUUUACACUUAUCGUUGAUUUACAAGUUUUAUGUUACAUUUGUAAUUUUAUGUUUUGUUUACCAAUUAUACAUCAUUCUACCACUCUUAUGCCAAUUUACUUAUUUUACAUUCUAUUUACACAUGUUAUGUUUUAUUUUAUAUUUUAUUUUACACUUAAUGUUGAUUUACAAGUUUUAUAUUAUAUUCAUAAGUUUUUGCUUUAUUUACCAAUAAUAUAUCAAUUUAUAACUCCUUAAUUUACUUAUUUUGCCUUAACUCCUAUGUUAAUUUAUUUAUUUUACCUUUUUUUUACAAGUCUUAUGUUCCAUUUAUUUUAUAUUUAUUGUUGAUUUACAAGUUUUAUAUUAUAUUUGUAGAUUUUUAUUUUAUUUACCAAUAAUAUAUCAAUUUACCACUCUGAUGUUGAUUUAGUUGUUUUACCUUUCAUUUACAAGUCUUAUGUUUUAUUUACUUAAUUUAUUUUUUAUUUUACACUUAAUAUUGAUUUAUAAGUUUUAUUUUAUAUUUAUCAAUUUACCACUCCUAUAUUAAUUUACUUAUUUUACCUUUCAUUUACAAUUCUUACGUUCUAUUUACAUAAUUUAUAUUUUGUUUUACACUUGAUGUUGAUUUACAAGUUUUAUGUUAAAUUUACAUGUCUUAUGUUUCAUUUUACACGAUUUAUGUUUAAUUACGGUAUUGAUGCCGUGAUUUUAAUUACGACAUUAUAGAAUUACCCCCAGUCUUAGUAUGAAUCUCAUCAUGUGAUAUUUAUUUACUAAAUUGUGGUUAAAUAAUUUUAUAAACUAUAAAAUCUAUCAUCUAACAGAUGAGUGACACAUAACAUUAGAACUUAAGUUAAAAACUUAAAUAUUGGGAUUUCUUACAUUAUUGCCUAUCUUCAACCUAAAAACUUCUUUUCUAUAAUGACUAAAACAUGCAAAAUUUAUAUUGGUUCAUUAAGAUAAUAAAAUUGUUUCAUAUGGAAAGCAAGCAUGGAUUUGUUUAUGCCAUACCCCUUUUUUGGUUAUUUAUUGUAUUUAUCUAAAUACACCCUCAUACUUUAAAAUUUCUCAUAAAUAACUUUUUUCAUGUGCAAUUACCUUACUACCCUCAUAAUAGGAUGCUCAUAUAUAUUCAAGAAAUGCUCAGCCCAAAUACACGAAUACAGCCGGGUAUUUUCAUAGAUACACAACUAAAAUAGAGUAUUUUCAUUGAUACAAGAUUACAGCCAGGUAUUUCUAACUACAUAGUGUCAAAUUAUUUUUUGUUAAGUGUAUUAUUUAAAGACAACAAGAUAGUUUUGUACAAUGUAUGUGAUAUUAGAGGAUGGUCAUACACACUCAAGGAAUGCUUAACCCAAAUAUAUGAAUAUAGUUGGGUAUUUUCAUAGAUACACGACUAUAGUCAGGUAUUUUCAUUGAUACAAGAUUACUGACGGGUUUUUCAAACUACAUAGUGUCAAAUUAUUUUUUGUUAAAUGUAUCAUUCAAAGACAACAAGAUAAUUUUGUAAAAUGUGCGAUAUAUAACAGGAUAGUCAUAUACAUUUGUAGAUACAUGACUACAGUCUGGUAUGUUUAUUGAUACAUGAUAACGGUUGAGUAUCUGUCUAAAUACACAACUACAGUAUGAGAUUUCAUAGAUACACGACUGUAGUCGAGUAUCUUUAAAAAAACACACAUUAUCCAUUACUGAAAUAUCAAUUAUUCAUCUCUUAAUAAAUGACUGUAGUCAAGCACAAUUAGAUAUACAAGACAAUAGUCUGGUAACUUUACAAAUACACGACUAUAGUUGAGUAUGUGGACAUACUACAAAAACCACCUAAAACAAUCAUUAUAAUGAUAACACUAAUCGUUUUCUUCUAGAAAAUAAUCUACAUCAUCAUCAGUCGUAAUUGGAACGAGCGACAUUGGAUUGAAUGUUUUAAGUUUGAACUUCAUUUCAAUGUCAAAUUCAUAAAUAUCAAUAGAAAUAGCCCGAGGUAUUAUUUCUAUCAAUUGUGCAUACGUUGUAGAACGGGGCACUAUGAUCUCUCUUGUCUCUGUACCAUUAAAUCUAUAAUGGCCGUUUUGCUCAAUCUAUUCACCACAAAACAUAAUAGGCACACGUACUGAAGUCAUUUCUUGCAAUAAUAUAACACAUGAUUAUACAACAAAUAAAAAAAAUAAAAUAGUGCAUAUAAUGAAUUAUGGAACCGUUUGCCCAAUUAAACAACUGUAGUCGUGUAAUUGCUCGUUUACAUGACAACAGUCAUGUAACUUGCUAAAAUUCACAAAUAUAGUUCUGUAAACAGUCAGAUGAUAUAUUUAGUAAAAAUAAUGUAUUCUUUACACUAACAGAAUACUAUUGUCAUAACAACUACUAUAUUUUUGACACUUGCACGACUGUUAUUGUGUAAAUUCGUACAUAUACGAAAAAAGUUGUGUAACUUGUAAAAAUACACAACUACAACCCAGUAAAUAGUCAGAAAACAUAUUUCUUCCCCAGAAGAUUUUUUUUAGUUUUUUCACUAAUACAAUACUAAGGUUUCAUAACAAUUGGAACAUUUUAUAUAUGUGCAUGAUUGUAGUGUGUAGUUCAUACGUACAUGACAAUAAUUGCAUAACUUAUCAAAAUAUAUCACUACAGUCCACUAAUAGUCAAAGGAUAUAUUUAGUGAAAAAAGCACUAAUAGAAUGCUAAGGUGUCAUAAUAGUUGGAACAUUUUGAACACUUGCACGACUAUAGUCGUGUAAAUUCAUACAUACACUACUGCAGUUGUGUAAUAUGAGUGUAGAAAAAAAUUUUGAGAAUAAAUUAGGGUUUUAACAAAUGUAGUUAGAAAAUUGAUCGCAUAACAUAUGCAAAUGUAACCUAAAUGUUUUUUUUUUAAUUUAUCACAAACUAAACAAAAUUCUAAAAAUAAUACAAUGUAAAGAAAAUAAAUAAAUCAUAUAAAAUAAAUAAAAAGGGAAAAGCAUGAGAAAAACAAAAACAACACCAAGAUUACGUUAAAAACUCGAAAAGCGGUGACGGUUAAAGAUUGUAGAAUAAUGAGUGAUAAUACAACCACAAACUAUUGUAUAAACUUAUCUUGUACAAACUGAUUAAGCAUUAAUUCAUUAGUUGAAUGAAAAUACAAAAUAAUAAAAAUAGAUUAUGUGGGCCAGUAGAUAUUUAAUUCAACCAAUUUUAUCAUACCACAUCAAUUUGUAUAAAAUAAAUUUGUAUGAGAGUUUGUGGUUAUAUUAUUACUCACAGAAUAAUUGUAUAUAUAUUGAUUGUAGAAUGUAGCCAAUCUGAUCAAAUGAUUGUUUUAGCAAACACAAAUGAAAUUGUAAAUGUUAAUUUACUUGGGAGUGAUGAAUAUUUGUAUGGGUGUGCUAAGUAAAUAAACGUUUAUAAUGAAUAAGUUCAGCUGAGGGUGUUUUUGGAAUUUUUAAGGGUAUACAGCAUAAAAUAGAAUCUAUAAAUUUAGUAGACGAACGUACAAAAUAAUAGUAUUCAAAAUGUUUUUUAAAGUAGAAAUAAUGUGAUACUUGAAACUUUCUUAGUUUUGUAGGCAUAAUAAAGAGAGUUUUAGACGACAAUAUCCCGAAGGGCAAGUGUGAUGAUGGUUUACGUUUACUGAUUUUCCAAACCUUAGCUAGGUAAUCAACUAUCAUACUUGAGUUAUUAUUCUUACCAAAACAGUCUCUUUUUUUUUUUUUCCUUUUUUUGGUUGCAACAAAAGCAAUACAAAUUUAAGUUGUGCCAUUUUGUAAAUUAACUUUAAUUUUACGCCAUUAAAGUCAAGAAAUUAGAAUUGAAUAGAUGGAACAUACACUGAUAUUACCUAAAGAAUUUCAUAUUACUAUUAAUUUUUUAUUUCAUCUUUUUGAAAAAUUAGGUAAUCAGUAAAACUCAAAAUUGAUACGAUUCUAGAGACUAGAUAAAGAAAGCAGUUUGAAAACCGUUAGACGAAAUCCUCGGGCCUCAUAUUACGUUAGAGUAGUGCUAGAAAGAGAGAAGUACAAUAAAAAGACGAGAAAAUUUUUUUUUUCUCUCUCUACCCACUCUCUCUCUUUACCCCUUUCUUCAUUGUUUCUCUCAUGUUUCUCUAAACAAAACAUUUUCCAUUACGUUAACAACACGGUGAUGUAAACAUUAUCUCUUCCAAGACAACGUACAUAAUGAUGCGUCAAAGAGCUCCCACGCGUCAUUUUAUUAUAAAAUGAAACAACGUGGAAACCAAUAAACACAAUGAAUAAAAAAAAGAGACUAAAAUAAAUAGAACAAUUAAAUUCAGGAAGAAGCUGCGAAUUAAAUUUUACUCGUUCCAUGCACGGACAGUCGGAAACCUCACGGCAAACACGCAGCAAUGAUCAAACAACUGACAGGAGCCUCUGUGGCGUUUCAUUGACCAGUCCCGUCUACGACGUUACUGCCCUCUCGUCACCUUAUAUAUUUCAGCAUGCAUUUGAACAUCUUUUCAUAUGUGCGUCAGAAUUGAGCGUAUUUGAUUUUAGUUCGCGCCUAGAAUUUUUCAGAACCAACAAGUUAAUUUAAAUAUACACUUUUGCCAGCUGAAGGCUAGCUCCUUGGCGUCUUAUAUAUUUUUUGCAGCCCCAUUUGAUUCCAUUAUCGACCAAUAGGUAUACAUAUAUAUACAUGCGAACAGAUUAGUGCGUCUUCCGAGUGUUGUCAAUUCUGGUUAUUAUUUUUAGUGGGUUUGCUCCUAACGCAAUUUGCAUUGUGGCUUGUGAUAUCAUUGGCCAUUUGCUUUAUUUGUUUCAAAGUUGAAUCAUUGAUAAACUUGACUUCAUGCUUCAUUACUCUUCGUUCAGGUCGCAGGCUAGAGUACAGAGGGUUCCAAUAUUAAUAGAUUGGAAACAUGUCCAGCGAUCCAAUUUCAACGAAUUUAAUAUCAGUUGAGGAGGAGCAGAACAUGAUGCCUGAAGAUGGCGUUCGGUGUCCAGAAUUACUCACUGCUGUUGGUGAUUUGCAUGGUGGGGUUACAGUAGAUAUGAAAAAGCCAAUGGAUUCUAAGGUCUUUUCUUCUAGGCUUAGAGCUUCAUUAUCGUUAUGGAGGCAGCAGGUACAUUGAUAUAUUUAAUUGCUAGCCAUUAAAUUUGUAAACUUUAUUCCUACGUACGAAUUAUUCCAAGGGGUAUGUUUUUUAACUAACUUGUGAGAAUAUUUACAUCUUGCAGGGGAAGAGGGGUGUUUGGAUUAAACUGCCUAUUGAACUUGCUAAUCUUGUUAAACCUGCAGUUCAGGUAAAUACAAAUAUAUAUAUACAAUACGUAAAUAUGGUUAUAUAUAUAUAUAUAUAGAGAGAGAGAGAGAAAUGUUCCAAUCCAGAAUUUUAAAAUGUGAGAUAAUCCGAGAAAGUUUUAAAACCGCAUGAUUUGAAGGCUUAAAACUGUAAGCCUUUAAAAUCGUGCAGUUUUAAAAUUUUCUCAGACUUUCCUACACUUUUCUGCACUUUAAAAUUCCGGAUCAGAAAAUUAAUAUAUAUAUAUAUAUUUGAUUUGAUCCAAGUCCUUAUUCUGAAUUUUGUUCAGGAAGGAUUUCGGUACCACCAUGCUGAACCAGAUUACUUGAUGCUUGUCUAUUGGAUCCCGGAAACUGCUGAUGUUCUUCCUGCUAAUGCUUCUCAUCGCGUUGGUGUUGGUGCUUUUGUCAUGAACAAUAAAAGAGAGGUAUUGCCUCUCAGCUUCUGUUGAUUUUCCACCUUAAUUUAUUAAUUUCACAUAAACCACGAGCACUGGCGCCCUUUAUAAAAGUCCGGUCAUGGUCAACAAAACUUGACUGGUUGACUUUUCCCUUUUUUCAUUUUUUUUUCAAUAUUUGAAUGCCGCUUAAGUUGAAUUGUUCUACUUUUGGUUGGCAGGUUCUGGUUGUGCAGGAGAACAAUGGAGCACUCAAAGGUACCGGCGUCUGGAAGCUUCCCACCGGGACCAUUGAGGAGGUAUACAGAUUCAGCGUGUUGUGCUUUAUAGAAUUAUAUGAAAAACAACAUAUGGAAUUUUGUGGGCCUAAUUGAAAGUUAAUGCUUGUCCUUUUCUCUUUUUUUUUUUUAAAUUUAAGUAUUCAGUUCAAUAUUUAUAUAUUAAAAAGCAUUUCAAAACACUUUUAUUAUCAAAUAUGUUACAACCAACAAGUGCGUAGAUCAGCUCGCAUGAGACUAUUUUAAUUUAACCAAGAUUUUCGGUUUGAGAUUUGGGAAUGCAGCUACAUUAAAUACUUAUUGAGCAAGUUUUAUUGCCUUAAUAAUUCUACCAUGCUCGAAUCUGGAUUAAUUAAGGCCCAAUGUAGUAUACCAAAAAAAAAAUUAAAUAUAUUAAACUUUUAUGUCUAUUUUUUCUUUCUUUUUAUAAUAAUAUCCUUAUAAUGAUAUUUUUGUCUUCUUGAGGAUAUUAAUGAAAAAAAAUGUGAAUACUUGUAUUAAAAAAAAAUCUCAAAACACUUUACUAUUAAAUUCUUACAAUUCUAUCCUUUUUUUUCUUUCCUUUUACAACAAUAUCCUUGAAACAAUAUUAUUACCUUCUUGAGAAUAUUAAUAAAAAAAGCUCAUUUAUCAAAUUAACUUUAAAAGUAAUAUUAAAAUUUUCGUAAUUUUUUAUGUUACUAUUCUACUUUUAGGAUUAAUUUUGUAAAUUAUUUUUUAUAAAACGACUAUUUGUAAACAUUACUUUAAUUUAUAAAAUAAAUUAUUAUUGCUUGACGUCUUCGCGUACAUAAGGGGCUUCCCAAAACAAAAUCAUUUUCAAAGUAUUUCGUACGCUUUAAUUAGAACAAAAACAUAUUUUCUUGCACUUAAUCUGAAUCGUAGGAUAGCUCAGUUUGUGAUUCCAAAUUAGCCAUGUAAAGUUUUUUGUAAAUAUAUAAUUAUUGACUAAUUUACUAAUUAAAUUUUUAUAAAUUAAUUAAUUAAUGUGAAAAACAUUAUUUAAAGGAUACUAUUGCAAAGGUAAAGAAAAAAUAGAAAAAAAAGAUAACAUAUUUAACUUCAAGAGUGUUUUGAAGUAUUAUUAAAAUAUAAGAAUUAAACGAAUAUUUAUCUGUCUAACUCAUACUUAAAAAGAUAUAUUAAAAAUUAAGUUUAAAGUUUAUUUUAUAUACAUGCAUAUACAUACAUCCAUACACAUACAUACAUGCAUGCAUGCAUGCAUACAUACAUAUAUAUAUAUAUAUAACAUCCGUUAAGUUUUAGGGUGAUUCUUGUCAUGUAGUGAAAUAAUGUGAUACUCGUUUCAGCAAAAAAAUGAUUCUAUCAAGUAUCAGGCAAAAAUAUAAGCCUGCACGUAACAAAGAUGAUAGAAAACAUAUCCCACGUCAAGUGAGAUGGAUUACUAUGCGGCCAAAUGAUUUUUUAAGAACAUUUAAUAAUCUGAAGUUUUACAAUCCACAGGGUGAGGACAUUUGUGCUGCUGCAGUGAGAGAAGUUAAGGAAGAGACUGGAGUAAGUGAAAAAUGUGCAAAUCCAUAGAGCACAAUCGAAUUAGUAUCAAGUCAUUUUAAUUCUAAUUCAAUUGCCUUUUUGUUGUUUCAGAUCGACACAGAAUUUGUUGAAGUUUUAGCCUUCAGGUAAGGAAACUUCGGCAGCUGCACUUGUCUCGGUUUUGGUUAUCAAAUUCUGUGGUCUUGACAGUGUUUGUGCUAUUUGCUUAAUGAAACAGGCAAAGCCACCGUUCAUUUUUCCGGAAAUCGGAUCUGUUUUUUGUUUGCAUGCUACGGCCACGCAACUUUGACAUUCAGAAGCAAGACUCAGAGAUUGCGGCUGCCCAGGUACUGAAUAUAAUUGCGGAAGGUGAUAUUUGUACUGGUUUUGUUAACUCAAUUAAUCGUCAUAUCAUAUAGCGUUGUUUUCAAAUUUUUCUUUUGCAGUGGAUGCCGGCUGAGGAUUACGCAGCACAACCUUACGUACUGAAACAUCAGAUGUUCAAUUAUAUUUGCCAGAUAUGCCUAACAAAGUCAGAAAAGGACUAUGCUGGUUUUUCUCCGAUGCCUGUAACCACAGGCUCCGGGAAAGAAAGCCACUUGUACUUCAACAGCCGGUAUUGUGAUCCGUCUAACGGCCACCAUUAGUCAUCUGCAGGAAGAUUCACCAGCAGAUUAUAGAACUCCAUUGCAGAUGCAUGUAUACUACAAAGCAGUUCUAACUGCAGAAUAAAAUAAUUUUAAAAGGGUGGGUGACUUUUUUUGUUUUGAAUUACAUGAGAAUAAUGCUCAGAUUACAACUUAUAUUAUAUGAGAUUUACAACUGAUAUUUACAAUCAGAUAAUUACUGGGCCUAAUUUACAUUAAUUCUUAUAUAGCACUGCCGAGAUUUUACUCUUUCUAAUAUUCGAGGGGUGUCUACUCCACUCACAUUUCGAAAGGUAGAAGAUUGUCUUUACUUAAUAAUUAAGGAAGGAAAUAAACCCCUACAUGCGUCGCGGGGGCUCGAACCGCUGCGCUCACAGUUAUAAGUACAGGGUCCUGGCCACUGGGCGAAAGGGUGGGUGACUUGGUUGCUCAUAAUUAUUCAUAAUAUUGUUUCAUGUUGAUGUAAUAACAAAAGGUUGUAUAAAUGGCCUUUAACUAUUCAAUUUGUAGCAGAGAUAAAUGCUUAUACAUACGUCUGGGGUUCAUGUGGUUGUGGUGAGAUUCGUGCUCUCAAAGGCAAAACAAAAUAACAAAUAAUUAAUCCUUGGCAACGCAUGAUGAUGUAAGGCGCAGGGAGGCAUCAUGCCUUGUAGUUGGAGAAUGAGACAAAUUUUUUUGGGUGUAUUUGGUAUCUAAAUAUUACAUUAAAUGGUUAAUUUAGAUUCGAAUCGGGUAAGACUAUUAAAACAAUAAAACUCUUUUAAUAAAUAUUUAAUAUAACUCCAUUUUUAAGUUUCGAACCAAAAAUCUUAGUGAAAUUAUUCCAGUUAAUCUACCAACUUGUUUGUAAAUAACACUAAUUUUAAUAAACUACAAACAGGCACAUCCGGGGCAGGUGGUGGUCAGUGAAAAGAAGAAAUAAGGAAAACAUUUUAAAAUUGUUUUGAUGAAGCAAUUGGGUUAUUAGCUUCCAAUAGAACUUUUGACAGCGACUUGGGCUCAUUCCAUGCCACGACACAAGAGAAUCUAAAUUAUAUUUACUUAAAACACCGUGAUAAUGGCUAAUUUUGCAGCAUAAGUUGACCAACACUUCCUGGAAUAUUGUUACAAGUUGAGGUGCAUCCAUGUAGUUUAGACAUAGGACUUUUUGUAAGCGGGUUCAUGUGCUGUGCAUUACCCAGAUAUGCCUAACCUCGGGGGGGAAGUUACGAUAUUAGCCUCAGUUAAAAUAUUUUAGAUAUAAAUACAAGUGGUUGCAAGUUGGAACCCAGAGCCAGAAGAAAGAAAUCAGGCUGCAGAGUGGAGACUGGAGAGUAACUCUUGGGUCUUGGCCAUUCUCCCCUAUCCUUAUCCCAAGUCAUAAAUGGCUUCUGCCAAAGGCACAUGGAUCAAGGUUUGCUUUUAUUACUCUUUCCAUAUUCUGCUCUGAUAUUAUUUUCUGCAGACCCAACCGAAUUAUCUAUAAUUGGUUGGUUGUCUAUUUUGAUUAUCGUUCAACUGCCGCUGCUGGAUAAUUAUUACAGGUAGUGGGUUUGGUUUUCUUCAUUCCGUUUAGGGAAUGCUUGUAAAUUUCUUGGAAGCCUGCCUAUCUAAAAGUCAUCAAGAGUUAAUGGAGAGUCAAUUCUUAAUUCAUUUACAGAUCAUUUUGAUUUCUUCAAAAUGGAAAAUGACAAAAUUAUUUGGUUUGCUGACACGCGAUCGAGAAUGGUUUUUAUUAUCCCAAAUUGACUACAAAUCAGUCAAUUUUGUACAUGUAGUUGUUCAAUAUUAGCAUUUUUGGUUGUGAUCUUCGUUUUUCAGCUUGACCAAAAGGGUUCCGGGCCUGGAGCCAGAAGCUCGCAUGCAAUUACCAUAGUAGGACAAAAGGUCUAUGCUUUCGGGGGCGAGUUCACACCACGUGUCCCGGUUGACAACAACCUCCAUGUCUUCGACCUCGAAACCCUAACAUGGUCUGUGGCCGAUGUUACUGGGGACGUCCCUCCGCCACGCGUCGGUGUCACAAUGGCUGCGGUUGGACAUACCAUCUAUAUGUUUGGUGGUCGGGAUGGUACACACAAGGAGCUCAAUGAGCUGUACUCUUUUGACACGCGUACAAACCAGUGGACCCUAUUAUCUAACGGUGAUGCUGGCCCCCCUCAUAGGAGCUACCACUCAACGGCCGCUGAUGAUCGACACGUGUACAUCUUCGGCGGUUGUGGUGUUUCAGGCCGGCUUAAUGAUCUAUGGGGUUUUGAUGUUGUUGAUAGAAAAUGGAUCCAAUAUCCAUCGGCAGGGGAGAACUGCAAGGGUAGAGGUGGGCCCGGGUUGAUAGUGACCCAGGGGAAGAUAUGGGUUGUGUAUGGUUUUGCUGGAGUGGAAGUGGAUGAUGUGCAUUGCUUUGAUCCAGCCCAUGCACAAUGGGCCCAGGUAGAGACGAGCGGCGAAAAACCAACAGCUCGGAGCGUAUUUUCUACUGUUGGGAUCGGAAAACACAUAGUCGUCUACGGCGGAGAAGUAGACCCCAGUGACUUGGGCCACCUUGGGGCCGGAAAAUUCGCCGGUGAACUUUACUCAUUGGACACUGAGACAUUGGUGUGGACACGGUGGGAUGAUGGGCCCGGCUCAGAUCAUCAUCCCGGGCCUCGCGGAUGGUGUGCAUUUGCUGGUGGGCUUAGGGGUGGAAAACAUGGACUACUGGUAUACGGUGGCAAUUCUCCAAGUAAUGAUAGGCUUGAUGACAUUUACUUCUUUACUCCUUGCUUGGAUGGGAUUGAAGAUUAAUCAUUUUGAUAAUGAUGGUGAUGUAAUUAUGGCAAUAUGCGUAUGAGAGAAAUCGUGGAGUGUGUGUGUUUGUGUAGAGCAAGUCCUUGAGCGGUGAAUAAAUAAAUAUUAAGGCAGAUAAGAACUGAGAAGUUAUAAUGUUACAUGCAAUCAUGAUGGGUGUGUGUAAUAUAUGUAGCUGUUUACUACUUCUUUCUCAACGAAGUGAUAUCAGUUGUGUGAAUUCUCCCAAGACCUUGAUGGAAAACGUUUGAAUAGAUCAACCGAUGUAGCUAAACUUGACAAUUAAUGUACAUUUACAAUGAUUCCACUAGUGAAUUUAGAAACUUAGUUCAUUGUUAGUAAAAAAUUAAUAAUUUAUGAAAUUGACCGUUAUAUCUAAAUUUCUUUGUACUCAAAACAAUAUUUUCUAAAAGAUAGAGAAACUUUUUUGUUAAGCGGGGUCAAUUGCCCACACUACCUUCCAUGUAAAUCUAUACUUGAAUCUGGGUGCUUUAAAAUUAUUGAGUAUAUUAGAAUAUUAUUAGGCAAUGAUAUCUAGUCUCAUAUUCAUAUAUAUAUAUAUUUUGGUACAUAGGGAGCUCCCAAAGAGGGUUAAGACGUUACUGGACGGGGAAUAGACAACCCCAUACGUAUCAUUCCGGACAAAAGGAUUAAUAAAGGCUGGUGGGGAGCUAAAAAUAUGGAGGCCCUCGUAUUCACAUUUUAAACACAAAGAUAUUAGACAAGAACACUCCAGAUACACAUAUAAUAGAGUGAAAUUACUAAUGGUACCUCUAAUUAAGAUACUGCAAGUGAUUAUACAGCGUCUAGGUAGAUAUCUACUCUUCUGAACAAAGCCUGAUAAAUGUUGUGAAUUCUCUCCGGAAUUGAUCUAAUUAAGUACAAGCCGGGCUAUUGUAAAUUUGUGAUAAGUUGUGUGCAUGGCUACUGUUUCCUUGAUCACCUCCAUUGCGUGCCCAGUACUUGUCCAAUGACUAGUUGACAUUGUUUGUUAUGAAAAGUUACUAAGCUGCUAAAGAAUGGUUGGUCGAAUUAAUUAGGAAAAUUUACAUAAAUAGCCUAAAAUUUUUAAAAUUUUUCAAAAUCAGCCAAUUUAAUUUUUUAUAUUAUGACUAGGAAAUUAUAUUUUUUUAAAACAUAUUUACCGUUAUUACUCUCAACAAAAUACCAUACAAGUACCACUAAGUAUCAAAAACCCCACCACUCUCAACAAAUUAACGAAUUCAUGAAACAAUAUGGGCGAUAUUUUAAAUGUUGCUUUCUAAUAAUGUGGGUUCAACAAAGUACCAUACGAGUACCACUUUUAGAACAAUCAAAUUUCUAGUAAAAAUGAAGGAGGGGAUGGGAAAAAAAAUAUUCGAUAAACACUAAUAACAAGAACAACAACCAACAACAACAAUAUUGGAUGCUUGCCGCAAGUGGGUCCCAUUGAAAUACCAACAUAAAACAAUAUAAAAUAACGUAAGUACAUGCAUUGGUGCAUAACCUUAAUUAAUACAAACCUUAGUCAUUUCACGUAAAGUGAUAUGUAUUAAAGAAAGCACAAACAAAUACAAGAACGAGCACAACAGAGCUUCACGUAAGAUAAGAACAGAAAGCAAUAAACGUACGAAACAUUUAUUUUAUUUUUUUGGAAAUAACAUAAUUCAUUUCUUUAUCAAGUAAAUGAAGAGAACUGUGUAAGCUCCUAGCCCCAUUUCCAAAUGUGCACUUAUCUUGAUUGUAAAUCGAUGGAACAAAUCAUCCAUGAUUGCACUUCCAAAAUGAUUGGCCAGAAGGGACUCUGAGACUGCUCUUAUAUUAUCUGCCACGUUCUUGGCUCUUGCGUGCUCGUUUAACUCCAAGCCUUUGUUAUUGUUCUCAUAGCCUACUGACCAACUUAUAUGCGACGUUUCAAGCUGAUGGAUGUUAAAGGAUCCUUCUCUUUCAAUUACUUGUCUUACUUCUUCAACACAAGGGUUAUACAUCGGAAAAUGAAAUGGCUCCAAUUUUGAUACUUCAAUCAAACCCUAAAUAAGUUCAAAAGAAAGAGUAAAUCUCUUUAAAAUAUAUAUAAUUUUUUCACACACAUACAAAUGUCUGAGCUAGAGAUGUGAAACAUAAUGAUUGAUUUUUACAAGUGCAUAUCAUAAUUACUUUGUUACAAUAUAACAUCUUUAGUGAGAAUUCACCUAAUAAUUUUCAUGUAAGAGAAUAUAUAUAUAUAUAUAUAAUAUAGUGGUAUGUUUGUGUUCAAAAAGGGGAGAGAGAAGAUACCUCAUAGACCAUGUCAUUUAACACCAUUCCCAUCAACUCGAAAACACCAGUAUGGUAUUUAUCAUUACCUAUAAAGUUAAGAACCAUACGGCCUUCAGUUUUUAACUCUUCCGAUCGAAAUUUGAGAAAUGAUGUGAAAUCAAUCUCAAAUUGAUCCAAGUAUGCUUUAUGCACACUGAAAGGGCUACAGGUUUUUGCUACGCAGACAUCCCUUUUAUUUAAUAAAGGAAUUCCACAUUCACUUACUAGCUCUUUGGGCAUCUGUUAAAACAUAAAAUUGACGUAUUAUAAGAAUAUGAUUUUGUACACUAUUUUUUUAAAUUUUUAAUUUUUUUAUUAUCUUUAAAAGAAUAAAUGGGACGGGUUCGUUUACCCGAGAGAGCCAGUGAAGACAGAAAGAAGAGUAGACCAAGUUUAGGAAACACGGAGGAAAUAGCCUUCCAUGGAAAGAUCCAGGGGCUGCAGCAAUGAAACAUGAACCAAAAUCGUCAUGGCCCCUCUCUGUCUUCAAUCUCUCAUAAAAGCUUGGAAGAGAUUUGGAAACGGUAUUGAAAUCAUUUCCAGGAAGAUCAUUGAGAAAAGCAUGCAGUAUUGGUGGCUUAUGUUUCAAGCGGCUGCAAAUAGUGUCCAGUGCCUCUAUAACUUGCAAUGUUGGCAAAAAUGCAUUAGGCCCUGAAGAACACCCCAUAUCUGUAAAUCUGAUGCAAUCUGGGAAGCCAUUGCAAUACAAAUCAAACAAGCUUUCAUGCAGUAGGGGCUUUGUUUUCAAGGUUGCCUCCCUCUGAACAAAAGAAUGGAAAAGAUAAGAAAAUUUAUAAACAGAAGAAAUUAAAGUGUGAACAUCAAGAAAGAGGGAAAGUGAGAUUGAAGUUUAUAAAGUGACCGAUGGCGCUGAGUUGUUUGCAUAGCUGUUAUCUCCUUCUCCUCCAUUCAUGAACAGAACUUGUUCUACUUGCAUGGCUCCAUUUUUGCUAGAACCUUGCCCUAAUUCCAUGCUUCUCAUCUGAGUGAAUGAUCUUCGUCGUGUCCCUUGCUCUAGUUCUAAGCCACUUACGGUUUAUAUACAGAAAUCAAUGGAAUUUAAUGGGACUCUCAUCUAAAUUUUUCCCUCGAAAAAUAAUUAGUUUCAGUUUCACUCGUAACCGGCUACCCCUCAUGUACUAGAUGACAAAAUAAGAAUAGCAUUAUUGUGCUUAAUUUUUAGAAGGAAAAGUGUUAAUGUUUUACCAUCCUUUGAGGAUGUUUGCUUUGAAAAAAAAAAGGAAACGAAAGAAAAGAAAAGAAAAUUGUACCAUCCAUAAAAUUAUUUUAAUAUCCUCUUCAAACCAAAAGUUAAGAUUGGGCUAUUUUUAAAAACCUCACCUGAGGUUUGAUAUAAUUUCAGUUAGAUGGUGAAAUUGAUUGUAUUUUCACUUACCUCCCCUCCCGUUAGUAUACAUACGCGUAUAACAUUAGUAUUUGAGGGCAAAAAUGUAAAAAACAUGCUAAAAAUCUAAAAAAAUCAAGUAACAAUAAAAAAAUGGUUUGAAAUUCAUUGGAUAAUUGUAUUAUUCGAUUACACACAAUAUCUAUUGUGUAAAAGAGUUAAUUUCUCUUUCUCCAGCAUAAAAAAGCAAUGGAGAUUUCUUUCUCUCACAUUAACAAUCAAAGCAUUUUUCACUCGACUCCCCUAUUCUCAGUUGCUGGAAUAAAAAGAAAUAAACACAAAGAGCAUAUAUAACCCAUGAAGAAGACAAACAUGGUGGUCAGAGAAGGCGACCGACCGGUGACGAUCGACAGCGGUCGGGAUAUGCCACUGGUAUUGAAGUUUGUAAGAGGUUAAUUACUUUAUCAAAGUCUAAAAUUUUUAAAUACCUUUGAUUUUCUUGUUUUUGGAGAUUUUAUAAGUGGUUGUUGGUUGUGUUUGAUUUGUCUUGUUUAUGGGUUGGGUGGUUGUUGGUUGUGUUUGAUUAGAUUUUAUAAGUGGUUGUUGGUUGUGUUUGAUUUGUCUUGUUUAUGGGUUGGUGGUGAAAAAAUUGAUUAAAAGGAGAAUGGGUUCAGACAUAUGUGGCCAUAAGUUGAAAAAAAUUGUUAUUAGUUUUUUUUAUGUUUGUGAUUUACACCAUACAUAGUGUAAUAAAGUAUAUAAAGCCAAUAAUUUGUUAUUAUUAUGCAAAUGAGUAUGCAAAACAGAAGUAGUCUUAGUUGUAAUUUUUAUUUUUCUGACCAAAGUUUGCUCAAGUUGAUAUGUUUAUGAAUUUGCAUUGUUUUUGUAUGUCUAUCGCACAAAUACAGUUCCUGCGAUUUUAAGCGACAGGGCCUGUCCCCCAUGCGACAGACUCACGUUGCACGAACACAGUUUUUGUGUUUUUGGACGACAACGUUGUCGCCCGUGCGACGGCUUAGGUUGCCCGAAUUCAGCUUCUGUGUUUUUGGGCGACAUGAUAGUAUUAUGGUGCAACAAGCAUGUCACACUAAAAACACAAUUUGUGUUUAAUAUUAAUUCAAAAUAAAAAUAGUACACACACACACACAUAUAUUAUCAUCACAAUUAUUAUUAAUAUCUUUAUUAAAAUGUAUUACUAUUAUCAUUAUUUUUCUUUAUUAUUGUAAUUGUUGUUGUUGUUUAGUAAUGUUAUUAUUAUUAUUAUUUUUAAUUAUUACUUUGCUUUCACUUAUUAACGUGUGCAUAUUUACAUAUGAUAGGAGCGAAAGGCCAGUUGUUCCACUGGAACCUGCAGCAAAAAUGGACUAGUUUGACUUAGCAAACGAGAAUGAGUUUGCUCUCCUUGAUUUGAAUUAUGAGGUUCACAUUGAGCAAGUGACGGCAAUAGAAGAUUCUCUUGAGAGGAUGCCGGCAAAUUAAGAAGUCGUAUCAUCUUUUUGUACUCAGUCAUUGAUACAAGAUUAAGUUUUUGUAUAUUUUGUAUAAAUGUGAUACUAACAAACUCACAUUAUAGUGACAAUGACAUGUAUAAAGUAUAACUCAGCUAUCAUAGCACACUGUUAGUGUAGUUGUUAUUUUUGUUAUUUUUGUGUAUAUGGGUGGUUACCGGAUGUAUAGGCUGAUGAAAUUCAGUCAAUUUGUGACUGUCACCAAUUGUAAGCUGCGGAAAUGCACAUGUGACUAUAAUUUAAAUUAUGGUGCCAUUUUACUUAGUGUUAUUUUCCAAUUCAAUUAACUCCUACUAAUGUUUUUUUUUCCUCUCGGUACAAAUUUAAAUGUUUGUUAUUUGUUAUUUGUGUUGCUGGUUUGAUGACAUAUAACUUGAUGGUUUGGAAUUUACUUAUUUCUUUAAACAAGUAAAAUAUUAGUGGUUUGGUGGUGAUGGAAUCCCUUAACAUAUUUUGGAGACUGGUAUAGUCUAUUGCUGAGAGAAGUAAAUUAUUUUUUAGUGAUUUUUGAUUUCACGUGUUAGUUAAACAAAUUUUCUGUAAUUUGGGGAGACAUGUACCUGUACCCCGAGAGACGGUGCCUGUCACUCUAAAUCACAAGCACUUGUUGCGAUAGGCCCUGUCGCGCAUGCAAUUUUCCAUAAAUGUAAAAUACCCUCUUAAGCUAGUUGUUGUAAACUUUUCAUGCUAGAUAAUGAGCUUACAAAAUAGGACUUCGCAUGAAUGCACCAUCAACACCUUAAUCUACCUAAAAUGAGACAAACAAACCCCAAGAGGCAUUUUGUCGAGCACCUCAUGUGCCAUUUAUUAACUACCAAUUUCAGUAAACCAUUUUUAAUAUUUACACACCAAUCAAUCCUAAUGCUCAUCUAUAAUCAUUUAUAUACCCAUUUGUCAUCAAUCAAUCUUAGGAAAACGAAAAACAAAAAGAAUUUACAAUAUAAGGCUUGCCAAAAUUACCGAAAAUUAACUUGAUAUAUUGCGGCCAAAAUGGCAGAAGUAGAGCCACGUGCUGCCGGAGAUCAACUUGCUGUCAAACGCAUGUCCAACUGCCGUCCCCUGUUGCCGGAAAACUUAAGACCUAGGUUUAAUUUGGAGAGAAGAGAAGGUAUAUAUUUGGCAAGCUAUUUUCGUCGUACCCUUACUUUGUUGGCGCCAAAAUUUUUGGUUGAAUAAUUAGUUUGGAUAUUUCAGUCAUUUCUCAAGUCAACUAACAGUCAAGUUGUAUGUAUACUAACGACAAGGGAGGUAAGUGAGAAUACAAUCAAUCUCACCAUCUAAUUGAAAUUAUAUCAAAUCUCAGGGGAGGUUUCAAAAAAUAACCCGGAUGAGAUUAUAAUUUUAUUUUUGAAUAAAAUUACACUAAGAGAAAAAUUAAAAAAUCUAUUUAGAAUUCCACUCUUCAAAGUUAUUAUUUUAUCCCCUUAUUUUUCAUCAAUGAAGUUCGCGAUCACAUCACACGACAGUGACAUUUAGCCAGAUGAGGCCGGGAGGCUUUUGAUUUGAAAGAAAUAAUAUCCAGUAGGCACUAACAAUUAUUAAUUAGAUUAGGAUCCACUUCUUCUCCUACUAAUUACUCAAACUAAGAAAAAGUGGAAGGCUUCCCAUCUCAAAUCUGAGUGUGUGCAUGCCUAUAUGAAGAUAAUUAAUUAAAAACAUAUUAAAAGUUCUUAAACAAAACAGUGGCCUUUUAAUUUGUACUUUUUCUUAGUGCUAACCUUGGCUGGAUCACUAAAUUUCACCGGUCGCACAGCAAAUGACAUUUUCAAUGGUUUCACAAUAUAACAUAAGUUCCUAACACAUCAACAGUUGUGGUUGGCAAAUGCAUUUUCUUAGAUAGUUUAAUUAACACGUCUCAAUAUCUGUUAUGUUUGAUUGAGACUUUGAGACUUCGCUGCCAACACUCUAACAAUAAAUGGUUUUGGAAUCGGUGCUUGAUAUAUUUGGGAUUGGAUAUCGACGUAAUAUUAGGUAUGAAAAAGCGUACUUCCACCCGGCCCUUAAUUACCUAAUAUAAUGAGCCCUUACGGGGAUUUUUGCUAUGCCCAUUCUUAUAUAGGUAGAUUGUUAAUUUCCAGUUAACAAUUUUGGUUACAAAUUAUAAUCAAACACGUAUGAUGAAAAUGGCCACAGCCCACCCACAUGUUCAGUCUCUGUUUUUGCAAAAAUAGUUGUUCAUAUGCCAUUGACAGGCGUUGUCUUUACUUUCACUGCGAGCGCGAGAGAUAUUUUGCUUCAUCAAAUUCAAUAGCCCUUCAAUACGCCGAAUUUAAAUUAGUCGAGUCUCAAUAUAGUUUUUCAAUACCAAAUUAUAUAGAGUUGGACCAUUGGCACCCCUCUAAUCUCUUCAUAAGAUUCUAUUUUUAAUUAUUUUUAUUUUAUUUUCGAAAAUGCCCCUUUUUUAGAUACACUUUUUUAAGUUUUCAAUUUUCAUUUGAUUUGUUUUAUUGUUAAAACUCAAAGUAUUAUUGUGCUAUCUUUUUCAUUAUUUUCAAUUUUAUUAUUACCCUACACACAAAUUAAAAAGUUAUAUGGGUGAUAAGUUUUUUAGUGUUAAUCAUUGGUUGAAAUAAUACCAAUUUCAAAUUAUAAUAUCAAAGCAAUUUUAAGUAUAAAAAUAUUUAAUAAAUAAGGAAUCAAAAGAGAACAAUAGAUUAUCCUAAAUUUGUACAAUUUAUUUUCAUUAAAUAGGAAGUAACAUAUAUAUAUUUUUUUAAAGGAUUGAUUAUGAAUUAAGUAGUUUGCUGGAAAAAAAAAUUAUAUGUGUUUAAUUUUCAGUUAUCUUUAGUUGUAAUUUUAUUUAAAGGGGAUUUUAUAAGAAUAAUGCAGGGGUGCCAAUAGCUCGGCUCAAUUAUUUAAUACAUUGAAAAAUUCAAUAGCCCUUCCCUUUUACUUCGACAUUGGAAUUUUCUUGGCCUUCGUGGGCUGUUGAAUUUGACUCUGUUAUUUAAUAUGGGAUUUGCUGAUUUUCUUUUGGUCUUUCUGAUUAUAGGCCUCCUUUGGCCUCGUUGAUUCUGGUCUAACAUCAAUUGAGUUACCCAAUUUUGGUAUAAAAGGUACACGCUCUGAGAAAAGAGUUUUAUCAACUACUAAAAAAUAAUUUUACUUGGUCCCACCCGUUAUCAAUGGGAUCAGGGAUACUUUCAGCAAGAAAUAUAUCGAAGAGUCAGUGCUGGACUGACUCAUGCUCCUUUAGGUUAUUUAAAUUCUGUGGGUGGAGUAGCUACCGAGAUCAAUGCAGUUAAUUAUGUCUCUCCGAGAACUUGGUUAGAAGUUAUUAAAUCCAUCACUCAAUAAAUUACUGACACAAAAUGUAGAGAUUCUUAUUGGGAUGUAUGCCAUUAUUGCUCGAUUAUAUUCAUACUAUAUAUAUAUAGUACGAAUAUAGACCAGAAUUCUGAACUUCACCAAUGUCCAAUAAACUAUUAAGAUAUAUAGUUUAAUACAUUGAAGUACAUGGUAAGUAAAAAGACAAAAAUUAUAGAUUCAAUACUUGAAAUAAUACCAAUUUCAAAUUAUAAUAUCAAAGCAAUUUUAAGUAUAAAAAUAUUUAAUAAAUAAGGAAUCAAAAGAGAACAAUAGAUUAUCCUAAAUUUGUACAAUUUAUUUUCAUUAAAUAGGAAGUAACAUAUAUAUAUUUUUUUAAAGGAUUGAUUAUGAAUUAAGUAGUUUGCUGGAAAAAAAAAUUAUAUGUGUUUAAUUUUCAGUUAUCUUUAGUUGUAAUUUUAUUUAAAGGGGAUUUUAUAAGAAUAAUGCAGGGGUGCCAAUAGCUCGGCUCAAUUAUUUAAUACAUUGAAAAAUUCAAUAGCCCUUCCCUUUUACUUCGACAUUGGAAUUUUCUUGGCCUUCGUGGGCUGUUGAAUUUGACUCUGUUAUUUAAUAUGGGAUUUGCUGAUUUUCUUUUGGUCUUUCUGAUUAUAGGCCUCCUUUGGCCUCGUUGAUUCUGGUCUAACAUCAAUUGAGUUACCCAAUUUUGGUAUAAAAGGUACACGCUCUGAGAAAAGAGUUUUAUCAACUACUAAAAAAUAAUUUUACUUGGUCCCACCCGUUAUCAAUGGGAUCAGGGAUACUUUCAGCAAGAAAUAUAUCGAAGAGUCAGUGCUGGACUGACUCAUGGUAGCUACCGAGAUCAAUGCAGUCCUUUAGGUUAUUUAAAUUCUGUGGGUGGAGUAGCUACCGAGAUCAAUGCAGUUAAUUAUGUCUCUCCGAGAACUUGGUUAGAAGUUAUUAAAUCCAUCACUCAAUAAAUUACUGACACAAAAUGUAGAGAUUCUUAUUGGGAUGUAUGCCAUUAUUGCUCGAUUAUAUUCAUACUAUAUAUAUAUAGUACGAAUAUAGACCAGAAUUCUGAACUUCACCAAUGUCCAAUAAACUAUUAAGAUAUAUAGUUUAAUACAUUGAAGUACAUGGUAAGUAAAAAGACAAAAAUUAUAGAUUCAAUACAAUAUAAUUUGUCUUGUAAUUUACUGAAAUCUGAAUUUUUUGUCUUUUACCCUGUCCGUUAUUUUAAAGUAAGGGAUUCCAUUAUUAGAAGGGAACUAUAUAUUUAUAUAUAUUAAUGAAGAUGAGAAGUUAUGCGCGGGUGCUCUCAAUAAUAUUGAGGGUAUUAAUUCAAGUUCUCAUGGAUCCUCUUUUCCCUUUCCACAAUUAAAAAAACAGGAAAUAUGCAUGGUAGUUUUACAUGCAAGGUUAUUAGUGAAAGAAAUAAAUUUUUUAUCCAGUCCCAACAAAUUUUUAAAUUUUAUUAUAAAUGAAUGCAUAGAAAGUUUCAAUAAAUAUAAGUCUUGAGAGUAAUAUAUAUGUGUAGGUUGUAAUCAUUAAAAAUAAAUAUAAGCUAUUAACUUUAGUUUUAAUUUGGUCUAUCAAGUGCAUUGUUGAAUUUAAUUAUAAAUGGCACUGAGAACAAAUUUUCACGAUGAACUGAAUAAAAUCUUCUCCAAAGGACCAAGGCUAUCAAAGAAAUGAUAGGUUAAUUUCUUCUAUAUAUUAUAAAUUAAAAUGGAAAAAACUAAAACAUUAAGUGGGAAUAAGUAAUUGUCAAAAAAUUUUAAGGGUGGGGAUAUUUCCGCUCCAAUAUUUUUGUAUAUCCAUCCCACUUCUAGAAAAUAAUUGCAGUGAAUUCACAACAUUCUCAAAAAAUAUAAAUCAAUAAAAGUUUUGUUUAUUUAAUCAAGUCCUUCCAUUAACUUUUUUAUUAGGUUUCUUUGACCAUAUUUAAUCAUAAACUUUAAUAUAAGUUUUAUUUUACUAUUUUAUUAUUAUGAUAUAAAAUAAUCAAAUUGUCCCAAAAAACAAGAGUUACUGUAUCUAAUAAUUUAGGUAUUUAAUUUUGUGACUUAUAAUACAUUUUUUUAAAUGAAAUCUAAUUAUUAUUUUCACCACACUUCCAUGUAAAUGACAUAUAUUUGACUGUCCAAUAAUUUACAUGAGUAUUGUGCCAUAAAGACACCAAGUUAGUUUAAUUAAAAUUUAAUAAUCAUACUAAUAAAGUAGUAAUAGAAAAAAUGAGUUUGGUAUAAAAUUAGAAAAAUAUUGAAGUUAAAGUAAAUUCUUGGUAGUGUUGCCUUAUAAGGCUAAAAUAGUCAAUUUAAACUUCUGCCAGAGCAGUCUUUAUAAUCAAAUUCAAAUAUAAUAAAAAAAUCAAAUUAUGAUAAAUUCAGUUAAUUAAUUCUCCAAUGUUCUUCUUUAUUUGAAAUUUUUUAAAAAUAAUUUACACUUUGUAAUUAUUUUUAAAACAUGGGGUGGGUUUACAGAAAUUUUGGAAUGGAGAUAUCAUCACCAUAAAUAGAAACAUUGAAUACUUGCAGCCCUUGGGUUCCAUUGAAAUACCAACAUAAAACUGUUGAGUUGAUUUUGUUACUACUUAGUCAAAAUAAAAUUCCUAUUGUUAAAGGUGACGUUAUUUGUUGAUUUUAGUCUUCCAUGUCUUUAGGAGUCAGUUAAACUUGGUUCCUGUUUUGUUGCUUGGUUCGUUAUGUAAGGCUAUUUAAUAGCCAAAGUUAUUCUCAUUUUAAUAACAGUUAGAAUUCUUCUAUACUCUGUAGCUUUUAACAUUUGGUAUCAGAGCUUUUCUCCAGUGGGCCUGAGAAUAGAAAGCUGCAGCUUUUGAGUGACUUGUAUUCAAGAAAAACUAGAGAAGAAAGAGAUGGCAAGUGAAGGGAGUUUUGUUCAGCCUGCGAUUCCACGCUUCGAUGGUCAUUACGACCAUUGGAGCAUGCUAAUGGAGAACUUCCUUAGGUCCAAAGAAUAUUGGAACCUUGUGGAGAUUGGUUUUGUCGAGCCUGCAGACGGAGCUGCUGUAACGGAAGCACAGCAAAAGAGCCUCGAUGAGAUGAAGUUAAAGGAUAGGAAAGUGAAGAAUUAUUUGUUUCAAGCAAUUGACAGGACCAUCCUUGAAACAAUUUUAAAGAAGGACACCUCAAAACAGAUAUGGGACUCGAUGAAAAAGAAAUUUGAAGGUAAUGCUCGAGUGAAACGUUCCAUCCUUCAAGCACUAAGGAGAGAUUUCGAGACCCUUGAAAUGAAACCAGGUGAAAUUGUUAUUGAUUAUUUCUCAAGAGUCAUGUCAGUAGCUAAUAAGAUGAGAAAUUAUGGAGAGGAUAUGCAAGAUGUUAAAGUGGUAGAGAAGAUUCUUCGAUCAUUGACUGAGAAGUUCAAUUAUAUUGUUUGUUCAAUUGAGGAGUCAAAGAACAUUGAUCAGCUUUCAAUUGAUGAGCUAGAAAGUUCACUAAUUGUUCAUGAGCAGAAAUUUCAUAGGAAUAAUGGAGAGGAACAGGCGCUGGAGAUAACACAUGAGAAUAGUUCAGGAGCAAGAGGUCGUGGUAGAGGAGGUUUUCGAGGAAGAGGAAGAGGACGGGGCAGACAACAAUUUGACAAAUCCACAGUGGAGUGUUAUAAUUGUCACAAACUUGGACAUUUUCAAUGGGAGUGUCCAAGUAAUGAGAUAGGAGCAAAUUUUGCAGAGACUCAAGAAGAGAUGUUGUUGAUGGCAUGCGUAGAUGUGAACAAGGACAACAAGGAAGAUAUGUGGUAUCUUGACUCGGGCUGCAGCAAUCAUAUGUGUGGAAAAAAGGAAUAUUUCUCAGAUCUAAAUGAAAAUUUUAGAGAUUCUGUGAAGUUGGGCAACAAUUCAAGCAUGACUGUAAUAGGAAAGGGUAACAUCAGGUUACAAGUGAAUGGAACAACACAAAUUAUUACCGAAGUUUUCUAUGUACCUGAAUUGAAGAGCAACCUGUUGAGCAUUGGGCAAUUGCAAGAAAAGGGGCUUACUGUUCUGUUCCAACAUGGAAGGUGCAAGGUGUUUCAUCAUAAGAGAGGUUUGAUCAUGGAUACAAAGAUGUCUGCAAAUCGAAUGUUUAUAUUGCAAGCUAUUUCUAAACCUAUAACAUCUGUUUGUUUCAAUACAAUUACUGAGGAUCUGGUGUAGCUCUGGCACUGCAGAUAUGGACAUUUGAGUUUUACGGGUUUAAAAACUCUUCAACAAAAGGCAAUGGUGAAUGGUUUACCACAACUUAAAACUCCUUCAAGGCUAUGCAAGGACUGUUUGGUGGGCAAGCAGCACAGGGAUUCAUUUCCAAAAAGAAGCAGCUGGAGAGCUUUCCAAAUCCUUCAGUUGUUACACGCUGAUAUUUGCGGACCGAUCAAACUGAUCUCCAACAGCAAGAAACGGUAUUUACUUACCUUUAUUGAUGAUUUCAGUAGAAAAACAUGGGUUUUCUUUUUGACAGAAAAUCCGAAGCCUUUGAUGUUUUCAAAAGAUUUAAGAUCCGAGUGGAAAAAAAGACAAACACUCCACUUCAAGCACUGCGAACUGAUCGAGGAGGAGAGUUUACAUCACAAGAAUUCAAUAAUUUUUGUGAUGCAAAUGGUAUACAGAGACAGUUGACAGCAGCAUACACACCACAACAAAACGGAGUCGCAGAACGAAAGAACAUGACCAUUAUGAAUAUGGUACGAAGCAUGAUUUCAGAAAAAAGAGUCCCCAAAACCUUCUGGCCUGAAGCAGUCAACUGGACGAUACAUAUUCUAAAUCGAAGUCCAACAUUUGCUGUGAGAAAUAUGACUCCGGAAGAAGCGUGGAGUGGAAUCAAACCUUCGGUAGAGUAUUUCAGAGUCUUUGGCUGCAUCUCUCAUGUUCAUGUGCCUGAUAGCAAACGAACAAAACUAGAUGAUAAAAGUCAGAUUUGUAUUCUGUUGAGAGUAAGCGAGGAGUCGAAGGCUUACCGGCUUUAUGAUCCUAUUUCACAAAGGAUUAUUAUAAGUCGAGAUGUUGUGUUCGAGGAAGACAAAAGCUGGGAUUGGGACAAUAAGUAUGAGGAAGCAAUUGCAUGUGAUUUGGAAUGGGGUGAUCGUGAGGAAAAAGUGGUGGAGAUCGACAGAAAUGUAGGGAGAAGUGAAUCUAAUUCUGAUGCUAAUAUUGAAGAAGGGGAGAAUUUUUCCUCUGAUUCUCCAGCCGAGGAAAGCUCACCUAGCUCGAAUGAAGGGAGAAUUAGGAGACCACCAGCUUGGAUGCAAGACUAUGAGACAGGAGAGGGACUAUCUGAAGAAGAAGUUCAGUUGGCCAUGUUUGCAACUGCUGAUCUUAUUCAUUUCGACGAUGCCGUAAAAAGCGAGAAAUGGAGGAAAGCCAUGGAUGUGGAAAUAGAAGCAAUAAAACGGAAUGAUACAUGGGAAUUGACAGAAUUACCUGAAGGUGGAAAGAAAAUUGGAGUGAAAUGGGUUUACAAAACCAAGUUUAAUGAGAAUGGUGAAGUUGAUAAACACAAGGCAAGGCUUGUAGUGAAGGGGUACUCUCAGCAACAUGGGGUAGAUUAUACAGAAGUAUUCGCACCUGUAGCACGUAUGGAAACAAUUCGUUUGGUAGUAGCUCUUGCAGCUCAAAAAGGAUGGGCUAUCUAUCAGCUAGAUGUUAAGUCGGCAUUUCUAUAUGGUGAGCUGAAUGAAGAGGUUUUUGUGGAACAGCCGCUUGAUUAUGUGAAAAAGGGUUAUGAACACAAGGUUUAUAAAUUAAAAAAAGGCACUCUACGGCCUUAAGCAAGCACCGCGUGCUUGGUAUAGCCGUAUAGAAGCUUAUUUUUUGAAAGAGGGUUUUGAGAAAUGUGACUAUGAACAUACUCUGUUCAUCAAAACAGAGAAAGAAGGGAAAUUUUUUAUUCUGAGUUUGUAUGUAGAUGAUCUCAUCUUUACGGGCAAUGAUGAAUUGAUGGUCUCAGAAUUUAAAAGUUCCAUGAAACAUGAGUUCGAUAUGACUGAUCUUGGCAAAAUGAGGUAUUUUCUUGGUCUUGAAAUCUUGCAGAAUUCAAGAGGUGUGUUUAUCAGUCAGAAAAAAUAUGCGUUACAGGUGCUGCAAAAGUUUGGGAUGGAUGGAAGCAACUCAGUUCAAAAUCCAAUUGUUCCAGGUUGUAAACUUGUGAAGGAUGAAAGUGGUGUUAAGGUUGACAAAAUUUAUUUCAAACAAAUUGUGGGUAGUCUCAUGUAUCUUACAGCUACUCGACCGGAUGUGAUGUUCGUAGUGGGUUUUAUCAGUAGGUACAUGGAGAAUCCUACUGAGCUUCAUCUCCAAGUAGCUAAAAGGGUGCUGAGAUAUUUGAAGGGAACACUUGAUUUCGGAAUUUUCUAUAAGAAGGGAGGAAAUAAUGAACUCAUUGCUUACACUGAUAGUGAUUAUGCUGGGGAUUUAGAAGAUAGAAAAAGCACUUCAGGUUAUGUUUUUUUGUUGAGCUCAGAAGCAGUAUCUUGGCUAUCAAAAAAGCAACCAAUAGUGAGUCUCUCCACUACUGAAGCUGAAUUCAUUGCUGCGGCUUCUUGUGCAUGUCAAACAGUUUGGUUGAAAAGGGUGUUGGAUAAUUUGGGUCUGAAGCAAGGUAAGACAACUAUUAUUCAGUGUGAUAGUAGUUCUGCAAUCAAACUUUCGAAGAACCCAGUAAUGCAUGGUCGAAGUAAGCACAUAGAUGUGCGUUUUCAUUUUCUUCGGGAGCUUACAAAGGCUGGUACUGUAGAAUUGGUCUAUUGCAGCACACAAGAACAAUUAGCCGAUUUAAUGACUAAGCCACUCAAGCUGGAUGUCUUCCUAAACCUGCGUGCAUCAUUAGGAGUUUGCUCUGAAACUGAUGUAAACUGAUGCAUUAGCAUUCAGUUUAAGGGAGGAAAUGUUGAGUUGAUUUUGUUACUACUUAGUCAAAAUAAAAUUCCUAUUGUUAAGGGUGACGUUAUUUGUUAAUUUUAGUCUUCCAUGUCUUUAGGAGUCAGUUAAACUUGGUUCCUGUUUUGUUGCUUGGUUCGUUAUGUAAGACUAUUUAAUAGCCAAAGUUAUUCUCAUUUUANNNNNNNNNNNNNNNNNNNNNNNNNNNNNNNNNNNNNNNNNNNNNNNNNNNNNNNNNNNNNNNNNNNNNNNNNNNNNNNNNNNNNNNNNNNNNNNNNNNNNNNNNNNNNNNNNNNNNNNNNNNNNNNNNNNNNNNNNNNNNNNNNNNNNNNNNNNNNNNNNNNNNNNNNNNNNNNNNNNNNNNNNNNNNNNNNNNNNNNNNNNNNNNNNNNNNNNNNNNNNNNNNNNNNNNNNNNNNNNNNNNNNNNNNNNNNNNNNNNNNNNNNNNNNNNNNNNNNNNNNNNNNNNNNNNNNNNNNNNNNNNNNNNNNNNNNNNNNNNNNNNNNNNNNNNNNNNNNNNNNNNNNNNNNNNNNNNNNNNNNNNNNNNNNNNNNNNNNNNNNNNNNNNNNNNNNNNNNNNNNNNNNNNNNNNNNNNNNNNNNNNNNNNNNNNNNNNNNNNNNNNNNNNNNNNNNNNNNNNNNNNNNNNNNNNNNNNNNNNNNNNNNNNNNNNNNNNNNNNNNNNNNNNNNNNNNNNNNNNNNNNNNNNNNNNNNNNNNNNNNNNNNNNNNNNNNNNNNNNNNNNNNNNNNNNNNNNNNNNNNNNNNNNNNNNNNNNNNNNNNNNNNNNNNNNNNNNNNNNNNNNNNNNNNNNNNNNNNNNNNNNNNNNNNNNNNNNNNNNNNNNNNNNNNNNAUUACUACUACUACUACUACUACUACUACUAUUACUAUGCCCAAAAAAUCAAUUUCCCUCUCAAAAAUCUUUUAUUUUUUAUGUACAUUAUAAUAUUUAUGUUUUAAAUAUUAAUUAAAUCAAAUAUGUAGAGCUUAUUAUUUUUCUUUAAACAAAAAAAUUAACAAGAUCACCUAAUUUAUUAUUAAAAUAAAAAUAAUCAAACUAAUUAAAUAAUAAAAAUAAUUAUUCAUUACUUAAUUUUAAAUUAAUGGAAAUUAUUCCAAUAAUAAUUCUUUAAAAUAUUCCUACCGAACGUAUUUUAUUUUUUUCAUUUUUAAAAUUAUUUUUGAAAAUGAUACGAAACACAUUUUUAAUUUUUAUAAAUAAAUUUAAAUAACAUUUUCAUUCUCAUUUUUGUUUCAUAAAAACAAUAUUUAGAAAACAAAUACCGAGCCUAAAUGACUCCAAUUUUGAUUCUUCAAUCAGCCCCUAGUUAGUUCAAAAGAGAUAGUAAUUCUCUUUAAAGUAUAUAAAAUUCUCACACACAUAUAUAAAUUUAUGAACUAGAGGCGUGAUAAAUAAUGAUCGAUUUUUACAAGUGGACAUUGUAAUUGCUUUGUUACAAAAUAACAUCGUUUAGCAAUAAUUCACCUAAUAAUUUUCAUGUAAGAAAGUAUAUGUGUGUGUGUAUAAAACUAAUAUGUAUAAAACUAACUUUGUGUAAACAUAUCUUAUUUAGAAUAUUAUACUUGUAUAUAUGUGUAACAAACAGAAAGAGGAUACCUCAGAGACCAUGUCGUUUAACACCAUUCCCAAAAGCUCGAAGAUACCAGUAUGAUAUUUAUCAUUACCUAAAAAGUUAAGAACCAUACGACCUCCAGUCUUCAACUCUUAUGACCAAAAUUUGAGAAAUGAUGUGAAAUCACUCUCAAAUUGAUCCAAAAACACUUUAGGCACACUAGGAGGGUUAUAAAUUUUUGCUAGGCAAACAUCCCUUUUAUUCAAUAAAGGAAUUCUACGUUCACUUACUAGCUCUGUGGGUACCUAUUAAAGCAUAAAAUUGAGGUAUUAAUAAGAAUAUGAUUUUGUACACUAUUUAUAUAAGUUUUCAAUUUCUUAUUAUCUUUAAAAAGAAUAAAUGGAACAGGUUCGUCCACCCGAGAGAGCCAGUGAUGGCAGAAAGAAGAGUAAACUAAGUUUAGGAAACACGGAAGAAAUAGCCUUCCUUAGAAAGGACCAGGGGAAAAAUGAACCAAAAUCUUCAUGGCCUUUCGUUGUCUUCAAUCUCUUAUAAAAGCUGGGAGAGAUUUGGAAACGGUAGUAAAAGCAUGCAAUAUUGGUGGCUUAUGUUUCAAGCGGCUGCAAAUAGUGUCCUGUACCUCUAUAGCUUGCCAUGUUGGUAAAAAUACAUUAGGCCCUGAAGAACAACCCCAUAUCUGUAAGUCUGAUGCGAUCUGGGAAGCCAUUGCAAUACAAGUCAAAUGAGCUUUCAUUUAGUAAAGGCUUUGCUUUCAAGGUUGCUUCCCUCUGAGAAAAAAAGGGAAAAGAAAAGAAAAUCUAUAAACAGAAGAAAUUAGAGUGUGAAGCAUCGAGAGAGAGAGAGAGAGAGAGAGAGAGAGAGAGAGAAAGAGAGAGAGAGAUUGAUGUUUAGAUAUUGACCGAAUGAGCUGAGUUGUUUGCUUAGCUGUUAUCUCCAUUCUCCUUCAUUCAUGAAUUGUCAAAAAAAAAAAAUGAUUUGGAUUUCGUCCCCUCUACUUUUUAAUGAAAAAACAUAUUGAAAUAUAAUUGAAGUUGCUGUAUAGUUUUGUUUUGCUACUCUACAAUCUCUUCAAAGAAAAUAAGCAAAGCCAACAAAGAAAUAUUUGGAAAUUGACAACAGAUACAUUAAUGCAACCCGAAUUGUCAAAAGAUGUCAUUAUAUUUUUAAGAAUAAUUAUAGAAUCACAAGCAUUUUUACGGACAAUCUUUUAUAGAUUGGGUCAAGAUGAUCGGUCAACAAAAAUAUUAAAUUUUAUUUUCCACAUUCAUUUGUAUAAUAAUAUUUAUACGAACAUAUUUAUUAUUGUAGAAAAUAGGGUAAACGCUCGUUUCAUCCCUAUAUUUUAAAAUUAGUGCUUAUUUAGUCCAUAUAUUUUUAAAAAUACCUCAAAAUAUCCCUACCCUUAAAUUAUUGACAUCCCUGCUGUUACUUUUUAUUUUUUUGACUUGCUUUUACAAUAUUAUCCUUUUACAAUAAUGUUUCUUUUUAUAAAAUUAAUAAAAAGAAAAAAAAUUAAAUUAUCAAUUUAACCCCAAAAAUAAAAUAAAAACAAAAAGAAUAUAUAUUAAUUUUUGUGAAAGCUUACAUGCGUCCAAAAAAUUUUUAUUGUAAAAAUAAUUAAAUUACCUUUUUUUGGACAUUAGUAAUAAAAAAAUUAAUAUAUUAAUUCUUCAAUAGUGUGUUACAAAUAAGUAACAUAUAUUAAUUUUGUUUCUAUUUUAUUUUUUGAGAUUAAAUUGAUAAUUAAUUUUUUUUCUUUUUACUAAUGUCCAAAAAAAUAUUGUAAGAGAGUAAUAUUGUAAAAAUUAAGCGAAAAGCAACAAAAAGUAAGAGGAAAUGUGUUAAUAAUUUAAUGUCGGGGAUGUUUUGAGGUAUUUUUAAAAAUAUAGGGACUGAACGAGCACUAACCUUAAAAUAUAAGGACUAAACGAGAUUUUACCCCAGAAAAUAUAAAGUAGUCAAUAAAGCGCUAAGUGUUACCCCCAACAAGUGUGCGUCCCCAAGAAUGGGGAGCAGGAAUUCUACUCCCAGGGUUCCAUCCCCAGGAUUGGGGCCUUAGAAAAUAUGCUCCCAGGAAUGGGGGCAGUGGUUACAGCUCUAGGAAUGGGCCCUAGAAAGUGUACUCCUCCAAGAAUGGGGAGUAGGGAUUCUACCCCAGGGUUCCACAAACAGGAUUGGGGCCUUAGAAAAUAUGCUCCUCCAAAUGGGGAGUAGAGGUUCUACCUUCAGGAAUGAAACCUAGAAGCUGUGCUCCCUUAAGAAUGGGAAGCAGAGAUUCUACCCCAGGGUUCCACCCCCAAGAUUGGGGCUCCAGAAAAUAUGCUUCCCUAAGAAUGGGAAAUAAAGAUUCUACCUCCAGGAAUGGGUCUUAGAAAGUAUGCUCCCCCAAGAAUGGGGAGCAGGGAUUCUACCCCAAGAUUCUACCCUAGGAUUGGGCGUCCAAAAAAUUUUUAUUGUAAAAAUAAUUAAAUUACCUUUUUUUGGACAUUAGUAAUAAAAAAAUUAAUAUAUUAAUUCAGCAGUGUGUUUCAAAAAAGUAACAUAUAUUAAUUUUUUUUCUAUUUUAAUUUUUGAGAUUAAAUUGAUAAUUACACUAACCUUAAAAUAUAAGGACUAAACGAGAUUUUACCCCAGAAAAUAUAAAGUAGUCAAUAAAGCGCUAAGUGUUACCCCCAACAAGUGUGCGUCCCCAAGAAUGGGGAGCAGGAAUUCUACUCCCAGGGUUCCAUCCCCAGGAUUGGGGCCUUAGAAAAUAUGCUCCCAGGAAUGGGGGCAGUGGUUACAGCUCUAGGAAUGGGCCCUAGAAAGUGUACUCCUCCAAGAAUGGGGAGUAGGGAUUCUACCCCAGGGUUCCACAAACAGGAUUGGGGCCUUAGAAAAUAUGCUCCUCCAAAUGGGGAGUAGAGGUUCUACCUUCAGGAAUGAAACCUAGAAGCUGUGCUCCCUUAAGAAUGGGAAGCAGAGAUUCUACCCCAGGGUUCCACCCCCAAGAUUGGGGCUCCAGAAAAUAUGCUUCCCUAAGAAUGGGAAAUAAAGAUUCUACCUCCAGGAAUGGGUCUUAGAAAGUAUGCUCCCCCAAGAAUGGGGAGCAGGGAUUCUACCCCAAGGUUCCUCCCCAGGAUUGGGGCCCCAAAAAAUACGCUCCCCCAAGAAUGAGAAGUAGAGGUUCUACCUCCAGAAAUGGGCCCUAGAAAGUAUGCUCCCCCAAGAAUGGGGAGCAGGGAUUCUACCCCAAGAUUCUACCCUAGGAUUGGGGCCCCAAAAAAUAUGCUCCCCCAAGAAUGGGGAGUAGAGAUUCUGCCCCCAGGAUUCCACCCUGGGGCCCCAGAAAAUAUGCGCCCCCAAGAAUGGGAAGUAGAAGUUCUACCUCCAGGAAUGAACCCCAGAAAGUGUGCUCCCCCAAGAAUGGGGAGCAAGAUUUUACCCUCAGGAUUGGGGCCCCAGAAAAUAUGUUCCCCUAAGAAUGGGGAGCAGAGGUUUCACCUCCAGGAGUGGGCCCCAGAAAAUAUACUCCCCCAAGAAUAUGGAGCAGAGGUUUCACCUCUAGGAAUGGGCCCCAGUGUGCUCCCCAAGAAUGGGAAUAAGGAUUCUACCCCAGGAAUGGGCCUAAGAAAAUAUGCAGGAAUUAUACCCUUAAGACCCCCAGAAGCCAUGCUCCCCAAGAAUGGGGAACAAGAAUCAUGUUCCCCCAGGAACAUAGAGCAAGAAUUAGGUUCCCCAGGAACAGGGAGCAGGAGUGGAGGAUGGCAAAAAUCAUGGUUCCAGACAGCCCUUGACUCAGUUCUAGAUUAUGGAUCGCACAAGAAAAGUCAAGUCCGAGUAGAGGAGCUAUCGUUGAAGGACAAUAGAAGGGCAUUGCUUGGCCUAGAAGCAAAUUAAGUAGAGUUUGACUCAGAUACAACUUAUGAAAAGGUAGAAAUACUUUGUAAUUAAAAUCCUAGAGGAUAGAGGAAAGUUAGAUAGAGUUCAAGUUAGAAAAGGACUUUAUCUAUAGAAGACUAUAAAAGCAGAGGUCUCUCAUAGUGUAAGGCAUCGAAAAAAAAAAAUAGCAAAGAGAGAGAAAGUCAAGUUGUAAGUGCGAUCUUAAUAAAAUAUUUAUCUUUCUCUACCCGUGGACGUAUGCCAAAAGCCGAACCAUAUUAAGUCUCUGUGUCUUUUCAUUAUAUCGCCCCCGCGUAAAUUAAUUUUCUAAGUUGACUAGAAAUAUGCAUCAACAUUUAUGAUUAUAUUAUUACUCUAUUUUUUAAGGGCACAAGUGUAUCUCAAUGGUGUUUAUAGAAUUAUAUAUAGAUGAUUCUUUCAACAUAUAUAUUCACAAGUAUAAUUUAUUAAAUGAUUUUAUGAUUUGUCAGGAUUAUCCUUUUGAAUAUUUCUUUUUGUAUCUAUGAAGGACACAUAUUCAUAAUAUGUAUGUUAUUUGAGAUAACCUACUAAAAGGCAAAGUUAUGAUAACAUAGUGGUUUCUUACCCCGAGUCUCCAUCAUUUUGUUAAUUCAUGGAAAAUUAUGGUGUGUUUUGUCACGGAAUGAGUAUAUUGCACAACAAACCCAUGCAGUGCUUAUGCAACUAUAGCCCAACAUUUGCAAAGUAAACCUAUUAAGCUUCUCGUCUAGUUAAAAGUAUGCGAAAUUGCUUACGAAAGAGCUAGAGAGAAAAGCGAGCAAUUGAGACAAAGAGAAUCAGUGUUAUUCACAAGAGUGUGUGCACAAGAGAGCUUGAUAGCUUGCAAGAUUACUUGCUUGAGUUGCUUGCUGAAAAUGCUAAGCGCCAUACUUUAUUUAUAAAGAAGUUUGCUUAGUUCUAUAAGGUUCUAACUCUAAAGAGUUCUCAAGACUUAGUGAGAGCUCUCGUACCUAGCAAAGCUUAGAUUGAUAUAGGAAAAUCUAUGUACAAACUAUAUGUUACAAUACUCUAGCAAAAUCUGGAGAUUUCUUAGUUAUGUACAAGUGAGAAUAUACUAGAAAAGACUAGUGAUAGAAGCUUCUAGAAUCAAGCAAAACUAACACACCUUGGCUUAUAGAUUUAACCUAUUCGGCCUAAAAUUUCAGGUGGUUCACGACAGUUUGCUACAGUUUUUGGAUUAGUGCUUUAUGUUUUAAAACAAGAAAAAAAAGAAAAAAAGAAAAGGCGUUUUGGUGGCAUUGUUUUUCUGCCUAUUUUCACGUUGUGUGAGAAUGAGUGCAACUCAUUUAAAAACUUGUCACAGUAAAUUGAAAAAUAAUAAUUUACUAUUACAUAGACAGUGUUCUAAUUCUGGGACCCAUGUUAAACAAAAGUAAAACAUACAUAAAUAGUGUGUGGGUGUAAAUUGCAUGAAUGUAACUUAUCAUUUACCAUAAAAUAUAGCUAUUUAUUUUACUGUGCGUGCACAUAAACUAUUGUUUCAACCAUUUUUUUAUUUUAUUAUUUUUAAUAAUAUAAUAUUAUUAUUUUCAAAGAACAAACAAUCAAACAUAUAUUUGAUUAAUUUUAUUUUUAAAUAUUAUUUUAAAUUAAGCUAUCAAAUAUGUUUUUUUUAUUCACCAAAAUUAAUUACUUUUAUAUCAUAAAAUAAAAUAAGUACAAAAAUAUAAUUUAAAAAAUAAUACCAAAACAAAACUUAGUUGUGUUCAAUCAAAAUCAAAUGUGACCCACGAAAUAUAAAGCAUAGCCAUUUACUUUACUGUGCACGCAUAUAAACUACUGUUUCAACAGUUUUUUUAUUUCUUAAUUUUUAAUAUGAUAUUAUUGUUUUUAACAAACAAAUAAAUAGACAUAUGUUUGAUUGAUUUCAUUUUUAAAUAUUAUUGUAAAUCAAGCUACCAAAUAUGUUUUUAUAUUCAAAAAAAUUAAUUAUUUUUAUAUUAUAAAAUAAAUACAAAAAUAUCAUUUAAAAAAUGAUACCAAUAAAGAACUAGCACGUGUUUAAUUGAAUCAAAUGUGACCCACGAAAUGUUUACUUUACUAAGCACGCAUAUAAACUACUGUUUCAAAAUUUUUUUAUUUUUUUAUUUUUGUUGUAUCAAAAUUAUAAUAAGCCUAAAAAAAAGCCCACAUGAGUAUAGGCCAAAUAAGAAGUGACCUAGGUCCAUUUUAAAUCAAACGCCUAAAGAGCAAUUUUUGGGCAAAAACGCUAAAGGUAAGUUUCUACAAAACGUGACCUAAAUCGAUUUUUUACAAAAGCGACAUAAGUCUACUCUUUAUAAAGAAGGACCUAGGUCCAUUUUAAAUAAAACGCCCAAAGGGCAACUCUUCGACAAAGCGCUAAAGGUAAGUUUCUACAAAAAGUGACCUAGAUCGAUUUUAUACAAAGAGCGACCUAGGUCCACUCUUUAUAAAGAAGGACAUAAGUCCAUUUUAAAUAAAACGCCCAAAGAGCAACUCUUUGGCAAAGCGCCAAAUGUAUAUUUCUGCAAAGAACGACCUAGGUCCACUCUUUAUAAAGAAAGACCUAGGUCCAUUCUAAGUAGAACGCCCUUCGAAAAAGUGCCAAAGGUAUGUGUCUACAAAGAGCGACUUAUGUCCAUUCAUUAUAAAGAAUGACCUAGGUCCAUUUUCUACGAAUAAUGACCUAGAUGUUCAACAAUUACUUGGAAGUAACAUUCUACGAAAGUUACAUACAUGCGAUUGCUAGGUCAUUAUAAAGAAUGACCUAGGUCCAUUUUAAAGAAUUACUUGUAACCUUCGUAGAUGUUCAGCAAUUACUAGGUGAUUAUAAAGAAUGACCUAGGUCCAUUUUCUACGAAUAAUAAUCUAGAUGUUCAGCAAUUACUUGGAAGUAACAUUCUACGAAGGUUACAUACAUGCGAAAUUCCACAAAACCAAUCCUCUUUAAAAGGAAACAACAUAAGGGCUGAAGUGCUUAAGCCCAACGAAUGUUAAGAGCUUGAAAUCAUGACAAGUGUUCAAAGAAAACUUGUCAAUGAGCAAGCUUGACAUGUAAUGAUAGGUGUCUUUAUACAUGAGUUUUGCGGACACUUGUCACUAAAAAAAUACCACGUGUCGUGAUGACACCUUCACCUCAUUAAUCAAAUUGCCUAUAUAAUGAUCAAAACUUCCCAUAUCAGAGGCCAAGAGAAAAAGGGCAACGAAAUGUUGUCCUUCUUUCUUUAAAUUCUCUUUUUAUAAUCAAAAUUGAAAUGCUGACUUAAGCGUCAGAGGGUCAUGGCCGGCAACCCUGACACCCUUUGACAAUUUCAUUUCUUUUGCAGAACCUUUGACAAUAGAAACUUUCAUAUCAUGGAGAGAUGAUUCACAAAGCUUAAUAUAGAAAUGAAUCUGAAGUAAAAAGUUAAUAUGUGUCGAGCAAAAAAUUGCAUUGACAGCUGGCGCCGUUUGUGGGGAUGAAUAAAAAGCCAAUGUGAUCAUCUUGAGCAUGGAUGACAACUAUAACUACUUCGAGCUUGAUGCUGAUGAUGAAAUUUCUAGGGAUGGCAAGAUUUAUUUUUGACGACAAAGAUAUGUUGUAGAUCCUGGAAGUGAAUCUACAGUCCCAAUACAUCCACCUAACCUCUAAUAAAAUCCAAAUCAACAAUUUGAUGCAUAACAUCUAUAGCCAGAUCCAAACGUUUAGCCUCGUCGCCAAGGUGCGGCAGGAUUGCCCGACUUUAAAGGCAAAUAGAGCAGCUGACAAUAAACUUCAAUAGAAUGUUCGAUUAAUUUCAAGCCCGAAAUGAUGAACAAGCUAACUGCAACAACUUUGAUAGCAAUGCAGCAAACUCCGGCUCUUCCCAGACAAGAUCAAAAAAUGAUUUGAAUGAUGAUAAUUUGAAACAUGCUCUCAAUCAGAGACGGACACGACAAAGAGCAACUUGAGAUAAUAAUGAGCCAUCUGAUUUACAAGAGAGAAUGCAAAGGCUUAAACAAAUGGUUCAUGGAAUGAGACCACAAGACGAUAUGAUGGCUGAGUCUGAACCACCAUUUACACAAGAAAUCAUGAGAGCUAGAUAACCGUCAGGGUUUUGACUUCCAUUAAUGGAGCCUUACGACUGACAAAUGGAUCUUAUGGUGCAUGUCGAGCUAUAUCACUCUUUUAUGGAAGUUCAUGACGUGUCUUUGGCCAUUUUAUGUCGGGCUUUUCUUCUCACUUUAUCUAGGGCUGCAAGAAGGUGGUUUCAAAGGUUAAAGCCAAACUCUAUUUCUUUAUUCAAAUUGAUCCGAGAAUUUAUGAUGCAUUUUUGUAGUGCAAGACAAAGAGGAAAACCAAUUACAUGCCUCUUGACAGUGAAACAAUAUAAGGGUGAAUCGUUAAGGGAGUAUGUUCAAAGGUAUAAUGCUGAGACCACUCAAAUGGAUGGAUAUGAUGAUGGGGUUGCUCUUUCCAGGUUAAUGGAAGGCCUACAGAUAGGAAGACUAUGGUGGUCAGUAAUAAAGAAUCCACCAUCAAUAUAUUAAGAGAUGCUCUCUCAGGCUUAGAAAUAUGCUAAUGCAGAAGAAAGAUUUCAAAGUAAGAAAAGGCGAGGAAAAGGUGAAUCAAGUAAAAAAAAAAAGAAGAAGGAAGACAGGUGUGAUGUAACACUUGGACGACCCGAUCAAGCUUCUAGAGGGGAUCAAUUCCGCCCUAAGGACAAACUUAGCUCUCAAGAGCCUCUUUUUUGGCCUCAUAUACAAUUUACUAACUAUAAUGAGUUGAAUGCUCCUAGGGAGCACAUUUUGAUGCAAGUGAAAAAUUCCACUUUGUUUAAAGCUCCUCCUCCACUGAAAUAUGAUCGUUCACGGAGAAACCAAAAGAAGUAUUGCGACUUUCAUAAAGAUGUUGGACACGAUACAUCUGAGGUUUUGACCUCAAAGAACAAAUUGAAAGUUUGAUGUGACAAGGUCAGCUACAAGAAUAUGUCAAAGGCCAAAGUAGUCGAGAAAAUAAAGACCUACAAAAAUAUUUAAGAAAAGACAAAGCGAAAAAGAAAGAAAAUGAUAGUGAUGAUAAUAUGUCUGAUGUCAACCAUAUUUGGGGUAGUCCUCUUGCUGGUAAUUCUGGCAAGGUGAGGAAGAACUUAGCCAGGCAAAUAAGGCAUGAGCCUAGUGGGCUGGAAAUAAAUUUAACAGAUCGCCUACAGAAUUCAAGGUUUCAUGACACUCCAAUAAUGUUUUCUAAAGAGGACACUCAGGGCAUUCAUCACCCUCAUUGUGUGCCAUUGUUGUAACUCUACUUGUGGCAAACAAGCGACUUCACCGAAUCUUAAUUAAUAAUGGAAGCUCAGUUGAUAUAUUAUUUCUUUCAGCUUUUGCAAAAAAUGGGAUUGGAAAGAUCCUAAUUAAUGCCAUACAUUACUCCAUCGCAUGGAUUUGCUGGGGGAAGUGUUAUCCUUGAGGGAAUGAUUGAGCUUGUUGUAUCCUUUGGUAAAACUCCGACUAAAGUUACUUCUAUGGUUCAAUUUAUAGUGGUAGAUCAACCGAGUGCAUACAAUUCAGUCUUAGGUCGACUAACCUUAUAUGCUAUUAAAGGCCGCAACUUCUAUUUAUCAUUAUACUUUGAAGUUUCCUACGGAGGCUGGCAUAUGAGUGUUCGAGGAAAUCAGAAAGAGGCUUGUAAAUGUUAUGAGAUUUCCUUCAGGAAAAGAAAUGAGUCAUUUCAAAUCACAAGUCUGGACCCCAAAACAGUAAGGGAUGAUUAACAAGCGAAUCCCAUUGAAGACUUGGUCGAGAUUCCCCUUGGAGAUGAUUCAACAAGGUAGUUAAAAUUGGGUCCUAAUUAGUCAAUCCACUUUGAGAAGAACUUGUGGAUUUCCUAAAGGAAUACUCAGAUGUGUUUGCAUGGACUCACCAGGAUAUGCCGAAAAUUGAUCCGAGGAUAAUUGUUCAUCGCUUAAGUACUAAGCCUCUUACAAAACAUGUUCGACAAAAGAUGAGAAGUUUGAAUGCUGAGAGAGCUGCAGCUGUUAAAGAUGAGGUGGACAAACUCUUAAAGGAAAAAUUUAUUAAAGAAACUAGGUAUCCACAAUGACUUGCAAACGUUGUCAUGGUAAAGAAAGCCAAUGGAAAGUGAAGGAUGUGCGUAGACUUUACUGACCUCAACAAGGCAUGUCCUAAUGAUCGCUUCCCUUUGCCACGAAUUGAUCAGCCUGUAGACGCCACAGCUGGGCAUGAACGUUUUAGUUUCAUGGACGCCUAUUCCGAGUAUAACCAAAUUCGGAUGCAUGAGCCUGAUCAAGAAAAUACUUCAUUCAUUACUGAUCGAGGCCUUUAUUGUUAUAAAGUCAUGCGUUUUGGGCUUAAGAAUGUUAGGGUAACCUAUCAAAGGCUCGUGGAUGCAAUGUUUGCCAAUCAGAUAGGUCACACAAUGGAAGUCUAUGUGGAUGACAUGCUGACAAAAAGCAAAAACUCAAUUGAUCGCAUCAGAAAUCUCCGUAAGACUUUUGAUAUUUUAAUGAACUUCAAGAUAAAGCUUAAUCCAGCUAAAUGUGCCUUUGAAGUGGCCUCAGGAAAGUUUUUAGGCUUUAUGGUAAAUUAAAGAGGAAUUGAAGUUAACCCUGAAAAAAUCCAAGCCUUGGUCAACAUGAAGUCACCAAAGAAUGUGAAAGAAAUCCAGCAGGUAACUGGGUUAGUUGAUGCUCUAGAUCGUUUUGUCUCAAAGGUUAUUAACAAAUGCCUUCCUUUUUUUAAAGCCUUAAAGAAAAUGAAAGAGAUGAUAUGGACUGAAGAAUGCAAAGAAGCGUUUCAGAAGCUAAAAGACUAUCUCAGCAAUCCACCGCUUUUAGUCAAACCAUCUAAGGGCGAGUUAAUUUACAUGUACUUAGUAGUUUUUAACUCAGCAACAAGUUCCAUUCUUGUUCGAGAUGACAAUGGAGUCCAAAGGCCGAUUUAUUACACAAGUCAAGCUUUGCCCGAUGCAGAGAUUCCAUAUUUAAAUUUAGAGAAUGUUGUUGUAACGCUAGUCAUUUCAGCGCAGAAAUUGCGACCAUACUUCUAAGCCCAUGAGGUCAUCGUAUUAACAAACCAACCAUUAAAACAGACUUUGGCAAAACCUGAUGUGCAAAACCUGAUGUGUUAGGAAGAUUGGUCAAAUCAGCAGUAGAGUUGGGUGAAUUUGAUAUCCAAUUUAAGUCUCGCACUUUAGUUAAAGGGCAAGCAGUAGCAGAUUUCAUUACAGACUUUACAGAAGUAGAAACUCCAUAUUCAGAAGUUAUGGGAGAACAAUUCGAGCAAUGGACUCUUUAUGUUGAUGGCACAUCUAAUAGUAAGGGCAGUAGAUGAGGAUUGAUUAUUAUCACAUGGAUAAAACAGAAAUUGAAUGUGCCCUGCGAUUCGGAUUUGAUGCAACUAAUAUAGAUGUCUUAGUCCAACUCGAAUCUACACCUGAAGGAAAUUUGUUGAGGUCAAUCCCAAUUGCUACGAUCCCAAAACCAAGUAUCAUACGACCAGAGGUUAAAGAAAUUGCGACUACAGAUCGAAGGGCAAUAUGGAUGGAGCCUAUUGAAAAGUAUUUGAUAAACAGGGAGUUACCAGCAGAUAAAAAUGAAGCUCGAAAAGUCAGACUUAGAGCUGCCAGAUACCUGUUUGUUGAUGGUGAACUAUACAAACGAGGCUUCUUUCUUCCGCUCUUGAAAUGUCUUGCUCUUGCGGAUGCAAAUUAUGUUUUAAGAGAAAUUCACGAGGGAAUAUGUAGAAACCACUUUGGUGGCAGAAUGCUAGCAUACAAGGCAAUAAGGCAAGGAUAUUUUUGGUCAAUCAUGCAUGAAGAUGCCCUUGAGUUGACGAAGAAAUGUGAUAAAUGUCAAAGGUUUGCUAAAAUUCCAAGUAGCCACUGGAAGACUUAAUUCCUUUGUUUUCACCUUGGCCUUUUGCCCAGUGGGGUAUUGAUCUUAUUGGCCCUUUGCAUACAGGAAAAGUCCAAGUAAAUUUUGGUAUUGUCGCUAUAGACUACUUCAUUAAGUGGGUCGAAGCAGAGCCUUUGGCAACAAUUACUGAAAAUAAGACAACAGACUUCAUUAAAAGAAACAUCAUUUAUAGAUUUGGAGUCCCUCAAACCAUCAUCACUGAUAACAGCAAGCAAUUUGACAAUGCCAGUUUUAAAGCCUUCUGUAAGGCCCUUGGCAUAACAAAUCACUAUUCCUCUCCAGCUCAUCCUCAAGCAAAUGGGCAAGUAGAGGCAACCAAUCGAGUGAUAAAGCAAACCCUCAAGAUUAAGCUUGAAAAAGCUAAAGGUGCUUGACUGGAAGAGCAUCCCUUUGUCCUAUGGUCAUACAAAACUACUCCAAGGAUACCCACCGGCGAAACCCCAUUCUCUCUGGCUUUUGGCACUGAAGCUGUAGUUCAUGUAGAAAUAUGAAUGCCAACUUAUUGAGUCCAACAUUUCAAUCUCGAGCGCAAUGAUGAUCUUCAACUUUAAAACUUAGAUUUCUUAGAAGAAAAACGAGAUCAAGCAAUGAUCAGAGUGGCUGCUUAUCAAGGGAGAGUGGCUCGAUAUUAUAAUGCUCGUGUAAAGAAUCAAUGUUUUAGAAUUGGAGAUUUGGUCUUGAAGAAAGUUCUUCCUAAUACGCAAGAUCCAGGGGUUAGGAAUCUUAGGCCAAAUUGGGAAAGACCUUACAUUAUGAAAGAUGUUGUAAGGCCAGGGACCUAUUCCCUUUAUACUCUUCACGCUAAUAUCCUGAGGCACGCUUGGAAUGUCGAGCACCUUAGAGUGUAUUAUCAGUAAAGUCUGAAAAAUUUUAUAAUCGAACAAGUUUUCUUAUUAACCUACGGACUAAUAAAAGAUUGGUUGCCUUAAAUUUCUUUUGUUAUUCUUAUAAUGAUAUUAUGCGAAGUGACAUUGCAUUAUGUUAAACUUGUAUAAUUCAUAAUGAGCACUUAGUCAAUUGUGAAUUCAAGUUACGAAAAGCUUAAAGGCUUGUUAUCGCAGAAGUUUUAUAAACAUAUAUGCAGUGUCAACCUAGAGAAAUUGUUAGAAAUAAUUUUCUAAGCAAAACGCCCACGGGAAAAUUGUAACAACGGGACCUAGGUCUUUUCUUGCAUAGGAUGACCUAGGUCCAAUUCCUUAGAAAUAAUUUUCUGAGGAAAACGCCUGCGAGAAAAUUAUGACAAAUGGACUUAGAUCUUUUCUUCCAUAAGAUGACCAGGUCCUUUAUUCCAUAGGAUGACCUAGGUCCAAUUCUUUAGAAAUAAUUUUUUGAGGAAAACGCAUGCGGGCAAAUUGUAACAAAGGGACCUAGGUCUAAUUCCUUAGAAAUAAUUUUAUAAGGAAAACACCCGUAGACAAAUUGCAACAAAGGGACCUAGGUCUUUUCUUGCAUAGAAUGACCUGUGCAAGAAAUGACCUAGGUCCAAUUCCUUAGAAAUAUUUUUUUUUUAGAAAACUACCCACAAGCAAAUUGUAACAAAUGGACUUAAGUCUUUUCUUGAAAAGAAUGACUUAAGUCCAAUCCAUUAUUUCUAAGGAAACUACCCAUAGGCAAAUUGUAACAAAAGGAUUUGGGUAUUUUCUUGUGAAAAAUGGCCUUGUUCUAGUUACUUAGAAAUGUUUUUCUAUGAAAAAUAUCGAUCGGCAAGUUGUAAUAAAAAGACGUAGGUCAUUUCUUUUAAAAGAAUGUCCUAAGUCUGAUUGCUGAUAAAAAUUUUUAAAUCAAACGUCUACAAGAAAAGAUCUAUAUAAAGGAAUGUAUGGUGUUAAGUCAAAUCGACUUCGAAUAAAAAUUACUUGGUCAAAAUUAAGAAAUUUUAGGCUAAACUUUCAUUAGGAAAAUAAAGCAUUUCAUGCUGCGAGUUACGCCGAAAAGAAGCCAAAAUUGCAGCCAUGAUUACAUCCGUAGAAAAUUAAAAUCCAACAAGAAAGAAAAAUUAAAAUGCUGAAAAAUGAUCUUAGGAACAAUCUAAGGAUCCAUGAUGUGUUCACCCUCCUCAACAUCCUUGCACAUCUCAUCAUCUAACUCAGGAGGACGAAGGUGAAGAUCUCCAUAGCAAUCAUCAAAACCCAGAGUCGCAGGUAAUAUGAUAUCUGAUGGUCAACCGAUGGGGACUUCAUUUCCGCCACUCGUGUACUCUUCAUACUCUUUAUUUCUAGCUUUUUCAAUUUCAGCUUGUGCUUCCAAAAGUUCAUCCUCAAAUUGUUCAUUUGACUCUUCAAGAUCUUUUACACGGGUUUCAAAACUAGAAAUCCUCUCAGCAUCGAGAGCAAUUAUUUCUUCAGCCUUUUUUUGCUCCUCUUUGGCUAAAUGCAACUGACUUUCAAUUGUUAACUUUUCUUUAUGGAGGGCAAUGAACUCAGAUUCUAAAUUCUUUUUAGCAGCAAGAGCUUGAGAUAGUUCUUUACUUGUGGCAGCAACACGAUCUUCGGCAGCCCUAACUCAUGUUUCAUAGGAUGAAAAAUGCUCCGAAUGCUACAAAAAAAUAAAAUAAAAAAUAAGGAGAGGCAGAAUAAAAAAUGAAGGGUAAACAUAAUGAAGGCAAAAGUUCUUUACCUUUAUAACAAGUCUCACUACAACCUUGAGAGACUCUAUGGCCCCCAAAUCCUUCACACUCGAUCCUCCAGCCUCACUUACAAAUUGGUCCCAAUCAACAUCAUCGGCUUGAUGAGCGCGAACUGGUGAUGAAUUAACACCUUAGGCAAGAACCGUAGAUGGAUCGAUGAUUUGAUCAACAGUAAAUUUUUUAGUCACUUCUUUCGGCAUCAAAGUUUGGACUAAUGUACCAUUAUUCUGAUCCUUUGUCUGUUGCUGGGAAGUAAAGCCCUUCUCCAUGAGUCGUGGCUUCUCCACGUUCUUUGUCUUAUCUGACAGUCUCAGCCUCUCAAUGGGUUUUGCCUUUUCAGAUAACCUUGGCCUUUUUCUUCUUUUUUUUCCUCCAACAGGUUCAUUAGUUGAAGAAUCCAUUAUACGUUUAGUUGACUGAAUGGAUAAUGGACUACUUGGAAUUAUGUGAUUCUCGGUGAAAAUAUUGAAUAAGCAUAGGAAGUUGCAAUCACGAUCUUCUGGAGGCAACUUUUGAGCUGACCUAAUGUUUUUCGCCUCUACUCCACGGAUCGUGGGUCUUUUCCAAAUAUCUACAAUUAAGAAGUGAAACUAAGGUUAGUAAAAAAAUUAAAUAUGUGCCACAUAAUAUAUAUAUAUAUAAAUCGCACUUGGUUCACGAAAGUGUGUUGGAACCCGAACCCGGGCAUCAACGACUUCAUCCCCAAACUCCCAAUUUCCACUAACCAAAAAAUAAAAAUGCUUCCACCUCUUGAUUGAGAUGUGAACAUGAUUAAGUAAAAUUUCAUUGGAAUCUUCAUAAGCUUUGAAGUGCCAAAUGUCAUAAGUUUUGGGGUUACGACAUAAAUGAAAUAGAUAUUGGAACUCGAUCACAGACGGAUCUGAAAAUCCAAGCUUCCUCCAUACAACCCACAUUCCAAUUAUCGCUCUCCAAGCAGUAAGAACUAGCUGAGCAGGAGCAGUCCAAAAGAAUGUAGAAGCUUUCAAAUAUUUGGGGCAAGAGGAAGAGAAGCUCCAACUUUGAACAUUGCUUUUGUAAACCCAACACAGCCAGUAGGGGGUUCGCUAAUCAAAUCACUCUCCAACAAGUUCAUUUCAAUAGAACGGGGAAUUUGGUACAUGAUCUGCAGUAUUUCGACACCGACCCAAGUAAGUGAAUUACUGCAAUUGUCCAUGGUCCACACACUAGAAGUCUUAGCGCAAUUUUUGUCAUACCAAACUUUAAAGUUAUUUUCCCCAUCCUCAGAUUCAAUUUUAACGCCUACAUGUUUGAAUGAAUCCUUACUACAAGUCUCGCCAUUGGUUGCUUCAGUUUCAGGUAACUUGGCCAUAUUAGGAACCUAUUAAUCAAACUCUAUGCGAAUUCUCAUGCUAAAAGCUAAGUCUUUGCAUACGAAAAUUAUAUAUGUGGUUACAUUUAUUUAAGUUUAUGUGAAUAAGCAUGCAAAAAUAAAUAAAUAAAUAAAAUGGCUAGAACUUUACACGUGUAUAUAUAUAUAUAUAUAUAUAGCCAUGCACUGAUUUGUGCAUCCACAUACAUCAUAUCAGAAGUUUCAAUAAACAUGCAUAUAACAUUUUAAUAUAUGCAUAUAUUAAAUUCAACAUGCAUGCAAAUAAUUAAAUCUUCACUUGCAUGCAAAUUGCUAAGUUUUCACAUGCAUGCAAAUUGUUGACGUUUCAUAUGGACAUUUUAUUAUAUGUCAAUAAAUGCAUUUUUUUAAAUAAAAAGAAAGAACGGAAAAAAUACCUUACAGCCGGAGAGACACCAAAAUUGAGCACUGCUCUGGCGCGAAUCCGUGAAACUCCUUCAAAAAAUGCUCACCCUCUUCACUAUAAAUUGAAAGAGUCUCCCUCUAAGGUAAAUUCUCUCAUUAAGUUUUUAGUAGUGCUUGUGAAUAUAUUAUGGAGUUUUGAGGGUUUUUAUAGAUGAGAGGAAGGGGAAUGCCAUAAGUCAUUUGUUGUAAUUGGGCAAGAAAAAACAAAGAUCAUCGGAAAUGAAAAAACAAAGAAAAUUAAUAGGAAAUGAUAUACAAUUUUUGAAUUUCAAAAAUUGAGUUAAGCCCGCACCCAUUGAAAAGCCAAGGCUGGAAGCCAUAAAAUGAUUCAAGCCUAACCUAAAGCACAUGAAGUAAAUAAUAGUAAUAAAUAAAGUCUAACUUCUCAAAUUUGAAAAAAUAGACUGGGGGCAUCUGUUGUACCAAAAUUAUAAUAAACCCAAAAAAAGCCCACAUGAAUAUAGGCUCAAUAAGAAGUGAUCUAGGUCCAUUUUAAAUAAAAUGCUCAAAGGGCAAUUCUUUGGCCAAGUGUUAAAGGUAAAUUUCUGCAAAAAAUGACCUAGAUCGAUUUUCUACAUAGAGCGACCUAGGUCCACUAUUUAUAAAGAAGUACCUAGGUUUGUUCUAAAUAAAACGUCCAAAGGGCAACUUUUUGACAAAACGCUAAAGGCAAGUUUCUACAAAAAGUGACUUAGAUCCAUUUUCUACAAAAAGAGACCUAGGUCCACUCUUUAUAAAGAAGGACCUAGGUCCAUUCUAAAUAAAAUACCCAAAGGGCAACUCUUCGGCAAAGCGCUAAAGAUAAGUUUCUACAAAAAAUGACCUAGAUCCAUCUUCUACAAAGAGCGACCUAGGUCCAAUUUUUAUUAGAGGUGGCCAUUGGGCCAGACGGCACGAGGCAUAGCACAGGCACAACACGUGUCCGUACAACAUGGCACGACACGAGUACAUUUCGGUAGAGCACGCGGCACAGCACGCACGUGGGCUAUGCCUAUGAUGCCUCCACCUCAUGAAUCAAAUUAUCCAUAUAAUGAUCAGAACUUCCCACAUCAGAGGCCAAGAGAAAAAAAAAAGGGUAACAAAAUAAUGUCCUUCUUUCUUUAAAUUCUCUUUCUAUAAUCAAAUUUGAAAUGCUGACUUGAGCAUCAGAGGGUCAUCGCCGGCAACCCCAGCACCCUUUGACAAUUCAUUUCUUUUUUGCAAAACCUUUGACAAUAGAAACUUUCAUAUCAUGGAGAGAUGAUUCACAAAGCUUAAUAUAAAAAGAAAUUUGUAGCAAAAAGUUAGUUAUUACGUGUCGAGUAAAAAAUUGCAAUGACAAUUUUUUUAAUAAUAUAAUAUUAUUAUUAUUUUCAACAAACAAGCAAUCAAACAUAUGCUUGCUAGAUUUCACUUUUAAAAAUUAUGUUAAAUUAAGCUAGCAAAUAUGUUUUUAUAUUCAUCAAAAUUAAUUAUUUUUAUAUUAUAAAACAAAAAUAAAAUUUUCAUUUAAAAAAUAAUACCAAAAAAGAACUUAGCAUGUGUUCAGUCGAAUCCAAAGUGACAGACCAAAUAUAAAAUAUAGCGCCUUUACUUUACUGUGCAUGCAUAUAAAUCACUGAUUCAGCAAUUUUUUUAUUUUAUUAGUUUUUAAUAAUAUAAUAUUAUUAUUUUCAACAAACAAAUAAUCAAAUAUAUAUUUGGUUGAUUUCAUUUUUAAAUAUCAUGCUAAAUUAAACUACCAAAUAAGUUUUAAUAUUCACCAAAAAUAAUUAUUUUUAUAUUAUAAAAUGCCCAAAGGGCAACUCUUCGGCAAAGCGCCAAAUGUAUAUUUCUACAAAGAACGACCUAGGUCCACUCUUUAUAAAGAAGGACCUAGGUCCAUUCUAAGUAGAACGCCCUUCAAAAAAGCGCCAAAGGCAUGUGUCUACAAAGAGCGACCUAGGUCCAUUCAUUAUAAAGAAUGACCUAGGUCCAUUUUCUAUGAAUAAUGACCUAGAUGUUCAACAAUUACUUGGAAGUAACAUUCUACGAAUGUUACAUACAUGUGAAAUGCUACAAAACCAAUCCUCUUUACGAGGAACCAACAUAAAAGCUGAAGUGCUCGAGCCCAACGAAGAUUAAGAGCUUGAAAUCAUGACAAGUGUUUAAAGAAGACUUGUCAAUGAGGAAGCUUGACACGUAAUGACAGGUGUCUUUAUGCAUGAGUUUUGCGGACACUUGUCACUAAAACAAUGCCACGUGUCAUUAUGAUGCCUCCACCUCAUGAAUCAAAUUAUCCAUAUAAUGAUCAGAACUUCCCACAUCAGAGGCCAAGAGAAAAAAAAAAGGGUAACAAAAUAAUGUCCUUCUUUCUUUAAAUUCUCUUUCUAUAAUCAAAUUUGAAAUGCUGACUUGAGCAUCAGAGGGUCAUCGCCGGCAACCCCAGCACCCUUUGACAAUUCAUUUCUUUUUUGCAAAACCUUUGACAAUAGAAACUUUCAUAUCAUGGAGAGAUGAUUCACAAAGCUUAAUAUAAAAAGAAAUUUGUAGCAAAAAGUUAGUUAUUACGUGUCGAGUAAAAAAUUGCAAUGACAAUUUUUUUAAUAAUAUAAUAUUAUUAUUAUUUUCAACAAACAAGCAAUCAAACAUAUGCUUGCUAGAUUUCACUUUUAAAAAUUAUGUUAAAUUAAGCUAGCAAAUAUGUUUUUAUAUUCAUCAAAAUUAAUUAUUUUUAUAUUAUAAAACAAAAAUAAAAUUUUCAUUUAAAAAAUAAUACCAAAAAAGAACUUAGCAUGUGUUCAGUCGAAUCCAAAGUGACAGACCAAAUAUAAAAUAUAGCGCCUUUACUUUACUGUGCAUGCAUAUAAAUCACUGAUUCAGCAAUUUUUUUAUUUUAUUAGUUUUUAAUAAUAUAAUAUUAUUAUUUUCAACAAACAAAUAAUCAAAUAUAUAUUUGGUUGAUUUCAUUUUUAAAUAUCAUGCUAAAUUAAACUACCAAAUAAGUUUUAAUAUUCACCAAAAAUAAUUAUUUUUAUAUUAUAAAAUAAAUACAAAAAUAUUACUGAAAAAAUAAUACCUAAAAAAGCUUAGCAUGUGUUCAAUCGAAUCAAAUGUGAGCCAUGGAAUAUAAAAUAUAGCUAUUUACUUUACUGUGCAUACAUAUAAACUGCUGUUUUAAUAAUUUUUUUGUUUAUUAUUUUUUAAAAAAUAUAAUAUUAUUAUUUUCAACAAACAAACAAUCAAACAGAUUUUAUUUUUAAAUAUUAUUUUAAAUUAAGCUGCCAAAUACGUCUUUAUAUUCACCAAAAUUAAUUAUUUUUAUAUUAUAAAAUAAAUAAAAAAUAAUACCAAAACGUAGGGAUGGCAAAAUAACCCGGACUCGGCCCGGGCCCGGACGAAUCCGGAUAAUUCGGGCUAGGUUGAACCCAUAUGGGAGUGUAAAAAAAUCUGGAUCCAGAAUAAAUUUUAAUAAUCUGGAUGGAUCAAGGUCCGAUUCCGAGUUUGGGAUAACCCGUAUAUCCGGAACCCAGACCCAGAUAUUCUUAUUUUAGCAUAAUAUUUAAAUAAUUUUUUAAUAUAAAAAAGGGAAAAAAUGUUGAUGCCUUAAUCAUCCUUUUCGUCCUCCUUCUUUUCUCUUCUCUUUCUUUUCUACUUUCACAGCCGCCUCUCUUCACCUUUUUCUUUUCUCUUCAUCAAAUCAUCAUUUUCGUUCUCAUUCACUUCUUCUCUUCAUCAAAUCAUCCUUUUUCUCUUCAAUUAUUCUCUUCAUCAAAUCAUCGUCAUCACUCCUCAUCGCUUCGCUUCGCUGUGUUCGCAUUCAUCAUCAUCACCAGCCUUCAUUUGGCUGUCGUUUCUCCAUUGCGAUCUCUGUUUUGGCUGUCGUUCAUCCGCCUUUUGCGAAUUGCGCUGGCGGCUGUGACGUGUUCAUCAUCAUCAUAUCAUCAGCCACCGAUGUUCAUUACUUCGCCGAACACCGAUUGUUGAAGUUUGUGAACCAAAUCCGUGAAUCACGAUUUUGAGUUGUAGACAUGGAUUUGUAUUUUGUGAGUGUAUGUCAUGGAUCUGUAUUUGUAAAUGGUUUAUUGUUUUGAAAUUAAAAAUCUAUAAAAUUAAAAUGGUUUAUUACUUUGUAUUUGAUUUAUGUUGAAUCUGGUUUUGCAAAUUUGUAAAGUGUAUUUGAUUUUUUUUUUUAUUUGUAUGUGAUUCGGGUUGAAAACCCGCAAUCUGAAAACUCGUAAUAAUCCAGGUUUAACCCGUUCCGGACCCGGUAUCACAAAAACCGGGUUUAAAUCCAAGUUCGGUAUAACAUUUUAGUAUUCGGGUCCGGAUCCGGAAAGGCCAAACCCGGACCCGGACCCAGAUUUUACCAUCCCUACCAAAACGUACCCGUAAUAUCAUUGGACUACAAGUAAUGUUAAUCAUGUGGAGGUUACUAAAAAUGGUCGGCCAGAAGUAAAAGUGUGCUACUUAGUGGCGAAUUGUACUGUUUGUUAAAAAUUGGGAUAUGCUUAGUUUCACUAAGCCAUAUUUUUUCAGAAUCACAUCGGCCAAAAAAUAUGGUUUGCUGCCACUCAUUAUUGGAUCGGAUGCAAAGAAUGUAGCAGAUAUGAUGUUAAUGAAGGCUAUGCGAAUACAAACUAUAGAGUGUUCUUUUUUUAAAAGAAAGUAAUUAUAGAAUUAGGGUAUGUUCGGGUUGCAUUAGGUUCCCAUACAAUUCCUAUAAAGAUUCUCAAAUAAUCAACUUUUCAAAUAAUUUCCUAAAAUAUUUGGUAAAUCAAGAUUAUGAGAAAAUCACUUGUUAAAUAAUUUGUAAAACGUGCUUGAUGAUAAAUCAUAAAUGUGUCAUGGCUGGGUACGUUGACCAAAUAGUUCAUAUUUGCGGUAAUAAUAAAAAUGUAACCAUUUAUCUUCCGAUAAAAAUAAUUCAUUUAGCAAAUAAAUAAUCAUUCAAUAAACAAAAUAUAUGAAAUUUAAUAAAAUUGUUCCAUUAUCAAAAUGUGUACCAUCCCAGCAUAGACUGUUGGUUUGAAAAAUAUUUUACAGCGAAAAUAUCUAGAUCGCAAUUCUCAUACAAUAUAUAAAAUUAGCAUAAUCUAGAAAUUGUACUUUUGUUUUUUUGUUAAAGUAAUCUAGGCUCCCAGAUCACGAUCCGUCAUCACCAAUCUUGUUAGAUCACGAUCUAUCACCAAUGAUCUUCCAGGUUAUGACUCAAGUUUAACCUGCACUUGACGUGUGAGCGCCUUUAUCACUAAUAAAAGCAACUAGCAAGAGAAAAUAUCUCUAUCAAAAUUAGAGAGAAAAACUUUUUUCUCUGAUCCGUAUAUUGUGGCUCCUCUCACCCUUUAGAGAAAACAAAUCCUUUUAUAUCUCUAUUUGGUGGAAACCCUAGACUCCAUAUUUAUAUAUUUUUUAAUUCUAUUAAAUCAAAUUUGAUUUAAAUUAAAAAAAUAAUAAAACUAAAAGUGGCGUUACUUUUUUUUGUUAUAGGGGCCCACCUUGUAAAAUAACACAAGGCCCCUUACACACAAGCAUAUUAAAUGAAGCCUCCCACUAAAUUAUAUAUUUAGGCUUUUAACUCAAAUAACUAGUUAUCUUACUUUAAAAGUGGCGUUACUUUUUUUUGUUAUAGGGGCCCACCUUGUAAAAUAACACAAGGCCCCUUACACACAAGCAUAUUAAAUGAAGCCUCCCACUAAAUUAUAUAUUUAGGCUUUUAACUCAAAUAACUAGUUAUCUUACUUAUUAAUCCAGUAGCGGCGCAGUCAAUUAAAUGAGCUAACCCGGGGAUCAUAUGGGUAGGUACAAAAAUGGCUACAAUAAUUAAGUCUGUAAUUAAACUAGUCCAAUUAUUUAAUUCCAAAUCUACUCCACUAAAAGAUUGGAAUUGAUCUCCAUAAUUGUAUGCUAUGUAGGAUAGUGUUCUCGAAAAAUAAUUCGACUCAUGCCAUAUUAAUUUCUUUACUAAACAAUCCUUUGUACCACAUCGCUAAAUAAAUUGAUAUCUCAACUGUCCAAUCAAUUUAAUUACAUCUUGUUCAUUGACACUUACUGGUUUUCUCUAAUGAUCAUUUUCAACAUACUAAUUACGUUGACACACUCUAGCCAGAGAAUUCUAUGAUCAAGUGCCGAAAACCCAUCAAGAGAUGUGUUGUACAAAUUCUAUAUUGUUAAUCUAUAAUCUCACUACUCAUAAUUGCUUCCACCAAGAUACUGGGUAAUCUUGACUAUAAAUGUAUGUCGCGCCCAUUGGUAACUCAAAUGAAAUGACAAUCACAAACAUGAAACCAUAAUUAACUCAAGAUUAAGAUUGCAAUAAAAUCAAUGCCUAUGAGAUUUAAUAAGUCUGACAGUCAUUUCAAAGUUAAUUAAAUCUUAUAUGUGAUUCAGUUCAAUGCAGUCAAACUACAUUAGUAAAUUCAUACAUGAUUAAGACAAAUCAUUCAAUGAAUUUACUAUAGUCUAAACAUAAAUAGAGCAUUCAACUCUAUUUAUCAACUACGAACUUAAUUUAUUUAAUCACAAGAUAACUUGUAUUUAUGUCUUCUGUGAAUCUAUAUGAUGAUCACAUAAAUACAUAUAAUAUGAUUAAACGGAUCUUAUUCAAAAUAUUUAUGUAAUUGAAAAUAUCUCAAAUAUUUUAUUAAUCUAAAAAUAAAAUAAUUAAUAUGGUUUAAAGAGCACAUAAUCCCAACACAAUCGACUGACAUUGUUACCUUUAGUCCACAAAAAUGGUACCAAAGUGAAGAUUGGCGGCAUGAAACCACUACAUAAUGGUCAUUGCUUGUCGAUCUAUUAAAUAGCAAUGGCAUUGCAUCAAAUAUUCCCCAAUUUUGAUGGUGGUGUGCGGUGGUUGUUGUACUAUUUGGAGUGUAUGCUUUGCCACCAUCUCUCAUUUUCCAACUGGAACAUUACAAAUACAUAGGUCAUAUGAUUUUGAGUUUGAUAGUAUUGGUGGUAUCCAAAUAGCACUUUCACAAUCACCGACAAUGGCAUUGGUGAGGUCACUAGUUACCAAAAAUAAUUUUGGUUUUUCAAUUUUAUUUUUAAUUUUAAAUUUUAAAUAUUAAAAAUUACAUUUUUUUAGUGUAGGGAUAUUUUUGAAAGUUUGCUAUAAAAUUAGGGUAAUAUUGUUAUUGCAAAUUACAAAUCAAAAUUUUAAAAUCUACUCUUAUAAACUUUUAAGAGUUACUUCAAAAACAAAUUAUUUCAUAAAUAAGAUUUUGUGAUGAUCACUCUUGCUAUGAGUUUACCAAAUAUAUUUGAGGUAAUGGAUUAUCAAGUAAGUGAUUAUUUGGCAAUCUAAAGCAAUCCUAAACAUACACCUAGGUCCUAUUUAGGAUUGAGAUGCUAUAAUUUUUAAGCUAAAACUACUGUGGAAAAAAAAAUUGUAAUUAUCAAACAAAAGUUAAUAAUAUGUAGUAAAUAUAAAUUUUAAAUAAUAAUUUUGACAAAAUUAUUAAAGAUAUAAUAGAUUUUCUAUUAUACAAGUGAAAAAUCAUAUCAAUAUAACUUCCAAGUUACAACAGCUAAUGUUUACCAAACACUUUAGUACUGUAUUUUUUAAGUGACAGCUGUCCAACCUCAAUCCCAAAUAUACUCUUAGAUUGUCAUUAUCUUAAAAGGUAAGAAUCAUAUGGCCUCCAAUCUUCAACUCUUCAAAUCAAAAUUUGAGAAAUGCUGUGGAGUCACUCUCUAAUUUAUCCAAAUAUGCUUUAUGAUUAGAUUUUAUCCCUGCACAUUUAUUUUUUUUAAAAAGUUGAUUCAUGAGCCAUUCAUUCUCCCUAAAGCACACUAAAUCUUAAUUUUCUCUCUCUCCAAAUGAUCUGAAUAUCUUGCAAAGGUGGUAGCCCAUCUGGAUUCUUUGAUGGUGUAAUGUCAGCAAACUAAGUUAGUAAUGGUUGCACUUCUUCAUGAACAGUCUUCACCUCGAACUCAUCUUCUUUUUCUAGCUUAUUGCAACCUUCACAAUCUUCCUCCAAAGACCCUUCACAAUGGUCAAAAAAUUAUUCCUCUAUAUCCUAGAAUUCUUAUUCUAGUUCGUUAAAGGCACUGAAUGAACCUUCUUCCUAUCUACCAAAACUUAUACACAUUAUUCCUUCCUCUAUGGAUUGCAUCAACAUUGAACUGCCAAGGUCGUCCUAGUAACAGAUGAGACACAUCCAUAACUACUAUAUCGCACAUCACAUAACUUUUAUAAAUCUUUCUAGUAGAGAAAGAAACACGACACACCUUUUUUACAUGUGCUUAUGUAAAGUGCUGAAUUUUUUUUGUUAAAAGUCCCAUCAUGUCAACCGACGCUUUUAAAUUAUGCUCUCCCUGCUACCACUAUCAAUUAUCACAUUGCACGCCUUAUCGUUGAUAGUGUCACGUGUUUUGAAAAUCUUAUUUCACUGGCUAUCUUUUUUUAUCUUUAGCGCCAAUAAAACCUUCUACAUAAUACAAUUCAACAUCUCCUCUUCAUCUGCUUCUAACUCUAGGGCUUCUUCAUCAUUCGCAUCUAUAACAUUAUCUACUUCGCCAACUUCAGCCUCUACCAAAUUCAAAUUUUUUGUACAACAGUCAGUCGAUCAAUGCCCUAAUUCCUCACAUCAGCAUAGGCUUUACGUCUGGGUUAUUAUAUAUAUGUGGUUCGUAUUGCUAUUGCCUUGGUGAUUGUUGUCUAGGUGGCUGCUGUCUUAGCUGUUGCUAUCAUGGUUGUUGUGCCUGACUACUACCUACCCAUGUUUUAUGCUUAUUUUUAACCCCAACACUGCUUGGUUUAUUCUACACACUAAUGAAUUGUUGUUGAGUUCUAAAAACUACAUUUUGCUUCCGUUCUUCCAAUUUCUAUGUACCCAUGUCCCAAAUGGCAUUUACAAUCUGAUCUUGUAUCUCUUGUUUUAAUCCACCAAGAUACUUCGCAACUAUCCACAACUCUAGCUUAUCCAUAUUGUUUCUUGUGUGUAGAUGAUAAAAUUCCUUUGUAUAUUCAUCGACAUGCGUUCCCUUGUUUGCAGUUUUGAUAUUUUACAUACAACUACUGUUGAUAAUCCACUGGUAGGAAAUACUCUUUCAUCAUCCUCUGCAUUCUAGGCCAUGAUUUGAUAAGUGGUUUCACUGCAACUCUUCUUCGAUUCUCUACAUGUUGCCACUGUGCAGAUGAUGUGCGCUUAAACUUGAAUGCCACAAGCUUAACCCAUUUCUCUUGGGGAAUCUCCAUAUAUUAGAAGAAAUUCUCUAUAUCUGCUAUCCAAUCUAAAAAUUCGUCAACAUGCAUUCCGCUAUAACAAUCUGCAAUAUCAAUAUUAAUCUUGUAAUCUGAAUUCUUUUUACACUUCCCGUCAUAAUCCUCUAUCUUUUUUUUCGAAUUACUCUAUCACUCUUCACGCACAUGUAGCUGCACCCGCCUUGCGAGUUCUAAAUUCUGAGGAAUUACUUUGCGAUUGAUGCCUAAAGGCACUACAUCACGAUUAAAGCCUUGAUGUAUCUCUUAAUAGUAAUAAUCUUGAGGUUGUUCUUCACGAUUUACUCUUACAACAACUUCCUAACGAUUAACUCCUUCCUGCUAUUCUCUCUCUGUCAUGGAAAUCAUGAGACCCUUGAUUACUUGCUCCAUCGCUGCCAUUCUCGGGUUAUACAUGUCCUCCAUGACUUGCAAGACUACUUCUCUUACCAUAUGUCUGAUAGUCUCCAUAUACGUUGUCUGCAUCCCUUGGUCAACUUCUUCGAGGUGGUGCUCCUUUGUUUAUGUGGUCGUACAAUGAUGACAGGUGAACCUGCUCUAGUACCAACCGAUGAAGUGAAAACAUAAAAGGUUGAAGAUAGUUAAAACAAGGUUUCUAAAUAAUGAAGUUUACGGAGAAAUAUUGAAUUGAUAAAGCUAGGGCUUUGGCCUCUUUAUAUUUGAAAUAUUAUUUUAUAAUAAAAUUCUCCUAAUCUAAAUAAGAAAAAGAACAAAUGGUGUCCAGAUCCAAAUUCAAAAAAAAAUAUAUAAAAAUUUUAGAAGAAACAGAAAAAAUGGGGAAAUAUCUUAAAAUUAAAAAACGAUCAGGAAAGAAGUAGACUUUUUGACUUGACCACAGUGCAGAACGACACAUGGAGUUUUGGGUUUUUUUUAUCACGACCUUUGAAACAAUAUAUUAUACGCCGAAACCAGACACCUGUAGCCCAAGUUAUGGCCUCCAGAAGGUAUCCUGCUCGUCAUAAACAACAUCUUACAUCAUCAUUGAAAAAAAAAAGCAAUGUCGGUGGCUUGUGAUUCAAGCGUUGGCAAAUUUUGUCGAGGGCAUCUAUAACUUCCCAUGUUGGCAACAAUGAAUUAGGCCUUGAAGAGCAUCUCAUAUCUGUAAGUCUUAUGCAAUCCGAGAAGCAUUGGAAAACAAAUCAAACAAGAUUUGUUCUAGUAUAAGCUUUGCUUUCAAGGUGGCCUCCUUUUGAAUACAAGAAAAUAUAUUCAAUAUAUAUAAAUGAAACAGAAGAAAAUAGUAUAUAUAUAAUGAAACAGAAGAAAUUAGUAGUGUGAAAAAUGGAGAGGAGAUGAUGAUGACCCGUUUCAAUGAGUUAUUUGCAUAGCUAGUGCCUCAUUCUCCUCCAUUCAUGUACAUAACUUGUUCUAUUUCCAUGGCUUCAUAUUUGCAAGAGACUUCCUCUAAUUCCAUUGCCCUUCUAUGUGGCUCCAGAGAAAAGAUUCUUUCCAAGUAUUUUUUGAAAACUCUUUAGAAAUAGUAUAAAGAAGGUAAAUUUCAAUCUUUUUAAUUCAUGAACAAAAAGGCUUAAUUUAUACAAGUAUUUGAAAUAUGAAAAAGGAAUUGAUACAAUUGAUAUAAUUCAAGAAUAAUGAUUGAUUAGUAAAAAAUGAGUUAAUCAAUUUUUAUGUUUAUUUACAAUCAAUCUUUCUUAAUAAAUCAUUUGAUUGAUUGUUCUGUUUCCAUGAAUUUUGUUUGAUUCUUAUCAUCCUCACUCAAUCCAGCAAGGGAAAUGUUUUUAAACUCUUAACUUGCCUUCAAAAACUAUAAAUACUUUAUUUUUAUUUACAAUCUCAUAACUGUCAUGCAAAAAAAUUAGAAAGCAUUCCUUUGAAGUUUGUCUAAGAAAUCUUUCAAUUAUUUUCAUGUACACUUUUUUUUAAAGACUGGGAAAAAUCAAAAGUAAUAAACUCUUUUGAUCAAGGAAUUCUUUUAAUAUAAAAGCUGUUCCUUUGAUUUUUUUAAAUAAAAUCUUCACUCAAGCAUUUUAUCUUCAUUCCUUCAAUUUCGACAUUGAGUUUUUUUUUUUUUUUUAUUUAGGAGGGAGGUUGCUCAUUUGUCCCUACCAAAAUCAAUAGAUAAACUUACCUCCUAAGUUUUUUCAUAAUAAUCAAUAACCUCCCUACCAUCAUAAUUUUAUAAUAUUAUCCUUAUUUUUAAAUAUACUUUGAAUCGUGUUUAUUAUUAAUUAAAUAAAUUAUAUAAAUAGAAAUUAAAACAAAAAAUUUAAAUACUAAAAAUAAGAAUUUUUUUUGUGUGAAUAAAAAAUUAAUAAUAAGAUAUUUUUCUUAUACAUUUUUGUUAUUUUUAAAUAUCUUUCUUUAUAAUAAAUAUAUAUUUUAUAUUCCCAAGGUAAAAUAUCAAGUAAGUGACCCAUUUCUUUUCCUUUAAAUUAUUUAUACGAGAAGGGGUUAUUGACUAUUGUAAAAAUAAUAAUGGGUAAAGUGAUAUAAAUUGAUUUCAAAAGAGGGAAAACUAGCAAUAUCCCUAUUUAGAAAACCAUUCCAUUGACUUGUCAAGAAAAACAACAAUUUUGAGGAUUCCUUUUUAUUCCCUUUUUCUUUUGACAUCUUUCCUUUGUGAUGGUGGAAGUGGUGGUGGCAGUGAGAUUUUUAUUUUUUUUUUCAGUGAAGAAAUUAAUAACAACUAAGAAGGAUCUCACAUCUCCCCUAUUUAGAUCACCAUGCUCCAUGGCUAAACCCACGAAUUUGAAGACUCUCAAUCCCAUCAAAUACCACGAAAACGUUUUAGAAAUAUUGUAAAGAAGAUAAAUUUCACUCUUGUUAAUUCAUGAGCACAAAAGCUCAAUUUAUACAAGUACUUGAAAUAUGAAAAGGAAAUGAUAAAAUUAAUAUAAUUGGGGAAUAAUGAUUUAUUAGCAAAAAUUGAGUCAAUCAAUCUUUCUUAAUCAAUAAUUAAGAUGAAGGAAAUCAAUCAUUUGAUUAAUAAUUUUGUUUGCAUCAAGACUGUUUGAAUUUUAUCAUUAUUUCCAGUCGUAAGGAUGAAAAUAGAAAAUAUAUUAGCACAUAAAAUUGUCAAGUUGUAAAUUGUGUAGUAUCAAAGACAUGAGAAAAACUAUUAUGGAACAAACGCAUGUGUUAUAUAUGUGACUAUGUGAGCCCUUUCGAUAAUAUAUUUUGACACAUAUAUUAUACAUAUAUAUUUUGAUGUUGACUAAUUAAUCAUAAUAAAAGAAAUAAUCAUUGCUUACUGUAUGUGUAAGAAUAUUAUCACAUUAAUUUGUUGAAGGAUAUCAAUAACAAUGAGUGAAUGGAUUUUAAUGGAACUCUCUCAUCUAUAUUUUCGGUUUAAUGGAGUUUAAUGUGUACUAGAUGACAAAAAAAGUUGCAUUAUUGUGCUUAAUUUUUAAAAGGGAAAGUCCUCGCAUCAUACCAUCCUUUGAGGAGUUUUACUUAAAUAAAAAGAAAAAAGAAAAUCGAACCAUCCAUAAAAUUAUAUUCAUAUCCUCUUCAAAUCCAAAGUUUGAAAUUUAAAUUUUAUGUUUAUUAAAAUAAGUUUAAUAGACAAAUUAAAAAAUCUAAGUAGAGUUUCACUCUUCAAAGUUCAAACCCUUAUUAUUAUUUUAUCUUCUUAUUUUUCAUCACAUGAGGUUCGUAGUGACAUUGAUGUAGGAUGUUAUUUUAGGAUUUUAGGAUAUUAGGAUUUUUUUUUCAUUUUUUAAUAUCUUCUAUUAAAAAAGUAGAGUUAAUUAUGGUAUGGGCCGGUGCUCUCAAUAAUAUUGAGGGCAUUAGUUUGAGUUCUCAUGGAGCCUCCUCUUAUUUUCCACCAAAAAAAAAAAAAUUAAACUAUUUAUGGGUGGGUUUAUUAUGUCCAAUGUCAUUAGUGAAAGUAGUGAAUUUCUGAGCUAAUCCCCAUAGAUUUUUAAGUUAUAAAUGCAUGUAUCUGAAGUAUUAAUAGGUAUAACUCUAGAUGGUAGUAUAUCUGUGUAGAUUGUAAUCACGAAAAAUAAAUAUAAGUUAUUAACCUGAGUUUUAAUUUGUUCUAUUACGUGCAUUCCUGAAUUUAAUUAUAAAUAGCACUAAGAACAAGUUUUCACAAAGAAUUGAAUAAAAAAUCUUCUCCAAAGGGCAAAGGCUGUCAAAGAAAAAAAUAGAUUAAUUUCUUUCUUAUAUUCUAAUUUAAAAUGAUAAAAACUAAAACAUUAAGUAGAAAAAAAUAAUUGUAAGAAAUUUUAUUGGUGAAAUGAUAUGUUAUAAAAUGAUAAUAUCUAUAAUAAUAAUAACAAAAAUAAUAGUAAUAAAAAGUGCUUAAAUAAAAGCAUUGGAUACUUGCAGCACGUGGGUCCCAUUGAAAUACCAACAUAAAACAACAUAAAAUAACAAAAGAAAAAUACAUUGAUAUAUAACCUAAAUUAAUACGAACCAUAGUAAUUUUACGUAAAGUGAUACGUAUUUAAGAAAACACAAACAAACAAACAAACGGCAACAACAAUGAGGACAACAGAGCCUCAUGUAAGACAAGAACUGAAAGCAAUAAAUAUACAAAACAUUUAUUUUAUUUUUUUGGAAAUAACAUAAUUCAUUUCUUUAUCAAGUAAAUGAAGAGAACUGUGUGAGCUCCUAGCCCCAUUUCCAAAUGUGCACUUAUCUUGAUUGUAAAUCGAUGGAACAAAUCAUCCAUGAUUGCACUUCCAAAAUGAUUGGCCAGAAGGGACUCUGAGACUGCUCUUAUAUUAUUUGCCACGUGCUUGGCUCUUGCGUGCUUGUUAAACUCCAAGCCUUUGUUAUCAUUCUCAUAGCCCACUGACCAACUUAUAUGUGAUGUUUCAAGCUGAUGGAUGUUAAAGGAUCCUUCUCUUUCGAUAACUUGUCUUACUUCUUCAACACAAGGGUAAUAGAUUGGAUAAUUGAAUGACUCCAAUUUUGAUUCUUCAAUCAAACCCUAAAUAAGUUCAAAAGAGAGUAAAUCUCCUUAAAAUAUGUAUAAUUUUUACACACAUAUAAAUAUUUGUUACAAUAUAACAUCUUUAAUGAGAAUUUACCUAAAAAUUUUCAUAUUUUCUAUAUGAAAAUAUGAAAAUUUAUAUAUAUAUAUGAAAAUAUGAUAAUGUGAAAAUAUGAAAAUAUGAAAAUUUUCAUAUUUUCAUAUAUAUUUUCAUAUGAAAAUAUAACACAUAUAUUUUCAUAUAUGAAAAUGUGAAAAUGUGAAAAUAUGAAAAUAUGAAAAUAUGACACAUAUAUGAAAAUAUGAAAAUAUGAAAAUAAAGUUCAUAUAUAUAUAUAGAAAGAGAGAGAGAGAGAGAAAUAUUUCAGUCAUGAAUUUUAAAGUGCGGGAAACCUUUAAAACAGCAUGGUUUGUAAGCCUUUAAAGCCGUGUGGUUUUAAAAUUUUCCUGGACUUUUCUGCACUUUAAAAUUCCUGACCAAAAAACUACUAUAUAUAUAUAUAUAUAUCAUCUUAACUAACUUUGUGCAAAUAUACUUAUAUGCAUUUGUUCAAGAGAGAGAGAGAGAGGAUACCUCAUAGACCAUGUCAUUCAACACCAUUCCCAUUAACUCAAAAACACCCGUAUGGUGUUUGUCAUUACCUAUAAAGUUAAGAAUCAUACGACCUCCAAUCUUCAAUUCUUCCCAUCGAAAAUUGAGAAAUGAUGUGAAAUCACUUUCAAAUUGAUCCAAGUAUGCUUUAUGCACAUUAGAAGGGCUACAGGUUUUUGCUACGCAGACAUCCCUUUUAUUUAAUAAAGGAAUUCCACAUUCACUUACUAACUCUUUGGGUACCUGUUAAAGCAUAAAAUUGACGCAUUAUAAGAAUAUGAUUUUGUACACCAUUCUUUAAAAGAAUAAACGGUACCUGAGAGAGCCAAUUAAGACAGAAAGAAGAGUAAACCAAGUUUAGGAAACAUGGAGGAAAUAGCCUUCCAUAGAGAGACCCAGGGGCUACACCUAUGAAACAUGAACCAAAAUCGUCAUUGCGCUUUUCUGUCUUCAAUCUCUCAUAAAAGCUUGGAAGAGAUUUGGAAAGAGUAUUGAAAUCAUUUCCAGGAAGAUCAUUGAGAAAAGCAUGCAAUAUUGGUGGCUUAUGUUUCAAGCGGCUGCAAAUAGUGUCCAGUGCCUCUAUAGCUUGCCACGUUGGCAAAAAUGCAUUAGGCCCUGAAGAACACCCCAUAUCUGUAAAUCUGAUGCAAUCUGGGAAGCCAUUGCUAUACAAAUCAAACAAGCUUUCAUGCAGUAAAGGCUUUGCUUUCAAGAUUGCCUCCCUCUGAGAAAAAAAUGGAAAAGAAAAGAAAAUUGAUAAACAGAAGAAAUUAAAGUGUGAACAUCAAGAGAGAGGGAAAGUGAGAUUGAAGUUUAUAAAUUAAAUUGACCGGUGGCGCUGAGUUUUUUGCAUAGCUGUUUUCUCCUUCUCCUCCAUUCAUGAACAGAACUUGCUCUACUUGCAUGACUCCAUUUUUGCUAGAACCUUGC